UCCGGUUUGGAGGUUGACGUUGGAGAUUCCCUAAGAACAUCGAAACCGGCAAGCUCCACAUGGGCAUAUUGUCCCAUAUGUGACAAAUAUAGAAGUCAUGCUAUGUGAUCAAUAUUUUGUCAAAUCAGGUGUACUGCUCAUUUUAGUAUUGUGUAUCAGGACUCAGCCUUAGCUAGAGUUUUUUUUCUAACAUUGCUUAGCUAGCGUUUUGGUGUGGUGUUGUGAUGUAUAGCUGUGAGCUAGCACGAAUAUGAAAGUGGGGACGGGGUGCUCUUGAUUACAAUAAAUAAUACUCCUAAGAGGAAUUUUANCUUCCCAAUGAACCUCUUGUUAAUUUAUCUGCUUGGCUAGUAUUUGGUUAAACUACAAUCUGCUUAUCCUAAGAACUUGUGUUCCCACAAGUCAAUGGAUACCAUGAACAUGAAUGGAGCAUCAGGAACAUUUAGUUUAUGGUUGUCUGAUGCAAUAGCUGACCACAACAAGGCACAUAGACCGACUGGCCAAGCAUUAUUGCCCGAAACCCAAACAAUCUAGGGGAAUCAUUGAAAGUUCACCCAGAUUUGUGGCUCGAUACUGUCUCCCCGUGGCAUCGCCUGGCACGACCUGCCAUGAUUGACCUCCCGCAACCUACUGUAUGUACUCGAAGAAAGUGCAAUACGGGCAAGCACAAGGAGCAUUGAUUAGUCUUAGUUCAAAUUUAGAUUAAGCUACACUAAUAGUAGUAUUCGUGAGGUUCAUGUAGCCGUUNNNNNNNNNNNNNNNNNNNNNNNNNNNNNNNNNNNNNNNNNNNNNNNNNNNNNNNNNNNNNNNNNNNNNNNNNNNNNNNNNNNNNNNNNNNNNNNNNNNNUGUGAAAAUGUUGAAAAGUUGGGCAAUUGGUAUCAUCAUUUCACCCACAUAGCAUGUGCUAAAAAGUUGAAGAGAGUUCCGACAAAACUGGAUGCUCUUCGUGUAUAAAACGGACAAUCUCCCUCGAAGUAUGAGGGUUUCGAACGAGAACUCAUCUAUUACAAAGGGAUUUUUAUUUUUUUUGUAACUUAUUUUUAACUCCAUACWUUUUUGUGUUCAAAAUGCACCAUUCAAAGGCACAUUACAAAUUUUCAACAAUUUCUUACUUCAUUUUGUAUUUUUCGUGAAUUUACUUAAUUUUUUGAAUUAGUUUACCCUGAAAUUGAAAAGCACUACAAAUGAACUCUAAAAUUAUUGAAAGUUGGCAUGGUAUCAUUAUUUCACCCACAUAGCAUGUGCUAAAAAGUUGAGAGGGUUUCGACGAAAACUGAAUGCACUUCAUGUACAAAAUGGACAAUCUCUCUCGAAGUAUUAGCGUUUCGAACGAGAACUCAUCUGUUACAAAGGGAUUUUCAUUUUUUUGAACUUAUCUGAACUCCAUAUAAUUUGUGUGUUCAAAAUGCACCAUCAAAAGGCACAUCGGAACUAAAGUUUUCAACAAUUUCUUAAUUCAUUUGGUAUUUUCGUGCAUUUACUUAUUUUUUGAGCUAGUUGACCCUGAAAUUGNNNNNNNNNNNNNNNNNNNNNNNNNNNNNNNNNNNNNNNNNNNNNNNNNNNNNNNNNNNNNNNNNNNNNNNNNNNNNNNNNNNNNNNNNNNNNNNNNNNNGCACAAGCGCAGCACAUCUAACUAGUUUGUUCUGGUCCAUUUAGUAGCAAAACAAACGAAACGAUCUUGGUUUUAAGAUUGCAAUUUUUAAUCAAUGAUCUUCGUUUUAAGAACUAUUUAACAAAAGUUCUAUAAAGUUUCAAUUGACUAAAAACAAAACAAGUAUUUUCUAUAUUAUUAUUAAAAAAAUUAGUUCAUUACUUGUUUUUCAAAAACUUCAAAAAUCCCCAUUUUUACGAAAUAUCUAAUAUAUUCAAUAAUUGGUAAAACUCUCUGCAAUUGUUUUCAAUUUAUUUGUCGGUUUCUAAAAAAAACUGUUGACAAACAUUUCUAAAAGUGUGCCAUUUAAAAAAUAAGUACUCUAAUAUUCAAUAAACUCCACUUAUUUUUAUUAAUAAUACUCCCUCCGUUCGAAAAUACUUGUCAUAGGAAUGGAUGUAUCUAGAUGUAUUUUAGUUCUUGAUACAUCCAUUUUUAUACAUUUGUGCGACAAGUAAUUCCNNNNNNNNNNNNNNNNNNNNNNNNNNNNNNNNNNNNNNNNNNNNNNNNNNNNNNNNNNNNNNNNNNNNNNNNNNNNNNNNNNNNNNNNNNNNNNNNNNNNAAGCUUAGGAUCCCAAUGUGCUGGAAAGCAACCUACCACGGCCAGCCGAUUCCAGAAGGAUAUGCUAGGGUGAUGGUGGAUCAAAUACGGGUGAAGGGGAGAUUCGGCUGGGUUCUUCUCUAAAGACUGCAUGCCUAUAGCGGAAGGAGCUCAUCCACCUUCCGAACUGGAUGCCUUCGCCUCCUCUCUUCCUCCGGCGAGUCAGGGCCCGCCUCCUCCUCCGCCUCCUCCGGCGAGUGAUCAGGGCACUCAGCCUCCUUCUCCGGCGCGCGACGGCCCUCGGCCUACGCCGGCGUGCCCGAGCAGCCAGCUGCCUCCUGCUUCUCCGCCUCGUCAACAAGGGCAGAAGAGACCGGCCGCCGCUCUGGCUCCUCCGCCUGGUAAGAAAGGAAAGACAGUCGCAGCCGCUCCGUUUGCUCCGAUGUGUAGCAGUACAGCUAGAGGCAGGCAAUACAAAUACGGUCCUUCUCUGAAGCCUCUAGAGAAGUUACCAUACGAGAGGAGCCCGGAGGAAAACGAGAAGAUCGUGGAAGCCGAAGUGAAGAACUUCUUUGAAGGGGUGAAAGCAAAAAAUCAUCCACCUCCGGAGGAGAAGAUAGAUCCGGUAAAAACAAAGUGUACUCUGGCUGCCCUGAAGAAAUCACCAAAGUCUCCGACGAAAGGCAACUAUGAGCGCAUUAUUACAAAGUCAUUUAUCAAAGCGCAGCGGUCGGGAAGUACUGUCAGUGAUCAAAGGUUAGCAGACCGAUGAGCUGGGAAAAAAGUUGCCCAGCUCGGCGAACAAGCGAACCAAUCGUUCCCCCCGCUCAAGGUGUCUAGCGAUAUCGUCGCUAAUCAUCUGGGGAUCUUGUUGCACGGUACCAAUCCUGCAGAUUACCUGCCCGAUGAUGCACAUUUUGAUUUAUUGGAGGUGGACGAACACAAAUACGUGUACGGGAAGCCUCUCGUCAAAGAUGAAAGAUCUCUAACAACGAUGAUGCGAAGAUUCCAUGAUUGGUACAUGAAAACUUGCAAAGAGUCUGGGGGAGUAAUAUUUUGAUGCUGAGAGUUAGAAAGGAGCAUGACCUCGUUGGACUUGAACUGUUGAUGGUUCCAUUUGAGGAGUUCUUCCCGUUUUUCAAUCUAAAGGCCCUCAAUAAAUUAAUGAUCACUUGCUACUGCCUGUAAGUAGUACUACUUCUGUCAUUAAGUCUCUAUAUAUAGGUCAGCUCUUUCAUUGCAUGUAUUUUUAAUUAUCCUCACUAUAUUAUAUGCAGAUUGAAGAUCGUCGAAUUGAAUAAAAGACAAAUCGGUGAUAUUGGGUUCAUUAACACAAAUCUCGUAGAUGCAUUUAUGAUUAAAUCUCAGGCCAAAGAUACCGAGGCCAACCUGCUACAAUCGUUUGUAUUGAAUAAAAACAAAGCUAUAAUACUCUUCCCUUACGAAUUCCAGUGAGUGUUACUGUCUUGUGCAUAUUCGGUUUCCCUUAUUAGUCAAGGUUAUAGUAAUGUACUUGAUGAGUUAUGCAUGCGUGCGCAGCUUCCACUAUAUUCUCCUAGAGAUUAAGCUUGAGCAGGGACUAGUAACCGUCUUAGACUCGAGACAAAAAGAUCCCAACGAGUAUGCGGACAUGACUGGAAUUCUAGAGAAGUAAGUUAAAUCGAUCAUUAUCGCACCAUAUCGGCAAGUUUGUUCAUUUCUGAUAUCAAGUAAUUGUUUUCUUUGUCUGACAGGGUUUGGAAAAAUUUCACCGCAGAAACUCCGGGACUGCCGAAGAAGCUGCAAUUUAGACACCCGAAAGUAAGUACUAUAGUAGCAUGUUCCAUGCAUCUCCUAGUGAUUCAAGCGCUGGUUUCAUCAAUACCAUUUAGCAUGCUUGCUAACUAUCAGUUUGCUUGACCUCUAUUUCUUGUAAAGUGGUUGUGGUAGGAACCAGGGAAUGAUUACUGUGGAUACUACAUUUGCGAGUCCAUCCGCCACGUGACUUGUGAGCAGGGCUACUCUGACAAAUAAUAUGACAUGCGUAAAUAAUAAUAUUCACAAUUUUAUUUUAUUACCAUCAUUUGUGUUUAGUUUCAUUUAUUCAUAUAUAUGUAUUGACCCCCUUCUUCAAAUUAGAUAUAUUGGAUGCGGAAUGAACUCCUACCAGCAGAUCGUAUGUGAGGAAUUCAAGAGGAAUUGGCGGCAUUCUUUAUUGACCACGUGAUCGCUAAAGACAGAGAAUACCAUGUGAAACCGAAUCAGUUGAAUUUUAAUUAGGAGAUUAUAUUGUAAGAGAUAAUUAUAUUGUAUAUAUGUAGCCAGUAGCGUCAGAUAGAUAUACGAGAACUUGUAGUUCGACCAAUCUCUCAGAGAAGGAGAGGUGGUCGAUAUCACUUCUCUUUGUAUGCAUAUGUUCAUGACGAUCUUCUGUUUCCUUCAUUUGCUUACUAGCUAGCGUGUCUAGUCCUCUCUAUACGUAUAGUAUGCAGCGUCGACCAAGCACGGAGAUAAGAGAGGACACUUCUCUCUAUUCAUUAGCUAGCUAACACAAUAUAUGGAACACCUAAAUUAACCCCCUAAAACCCCCUAACCCCCCCUUCAAAAAAACCCAUCACCUGAAAUGCUGACGCAUGGAUGCCUUUUGGUCCUGGUUGGUGUCACCAACCGGGACUAAAGGCCCCCCUGCCAGGGCUCGCCGCACCGGCCACGUGGAGGCCCAUCUGUCUCGGUUCGUGUAAGAACCGGGACUAAAGGCCAAGGGCAUUAGUAACAACAUUUUAGUCCCGGUCCCGAAACCGCGACAGAAGGCCCUUACGAACCGGGACAAAAGGCCCUUUUUCUACUAGUGUGAUGAGAGAGACCGAUCGAAAGAGCACACGUGGAUGGCUAAAUAGCUAGCUAGAUCUAGUUGUUGGGGAGGAUAGGUGAAUCUAGCUAUCUAACUAAUGGAGAGGGAGUUAUGGUGGAGGGGGCAUUAAUAUAAUGGGGAGAGGAAGAGAUGUAGGACAAAGAGAGAUGUGAGAGAGGCCAUUUAUGAAGUAGAGUUAUGGUGGAGGGGGACAUUAAUGAGGAGAGAAGAGAGGUAGGAGGAAGAGAGAAGAAGAACAACAAUCGUGUGGAGAGUGGAGAGGGGAAAGGAGGGGGAGAGAGGUCAAAGUGGGGAGAGGAGGGGGAGGGGGUAAAAAGGUGGCACCAGCCGCAACUAGCAGUAGCGCUGCAAACCAGAAAUCCCUGCUGCUAUGCUAUUAGUAGUAGUGCUUGUCACGUGCGAGCACUACUAUUAAGUGGGGCCAACUAGCAGCAGCAGCGGUGCUGCAAAACAAAGCGCUACCGCUAAACACUUAGCAGUAGCGCUGGAUUUUUGGCAACGCUGCUACUACAGCUACCGUCGGUGGCAUCAUCUGAUCCCACAUAGUAGUAGUGCGUUUUUAAUAAGCAGCGCUACUGCUAAGGUGUUAGUAGUAGCGCUUAACUGGAUCAACACUACUGCUAAUUAGUAGCAGGGUUUUCUUUUUUCAGCGCUACUAGUGAGGUCCUGCCUAUAAGGUUUUUCCUAGUAGUGCAUCCCCCUUCUCAACACCGCUCGUUCACCUCCUUCCCAGUUUUCUCGAUCCCCCAAGACACCCGACGCUGCCCGACUCUACCGGAAGCUGUCACAUCGACGUACCUGAACGUCGACCCUGUUGGAAAUAUGCCCUAGAGGCAAUAAUAAAUUAGUUAUUAUUAUAUUUAUUAGUUCAUGAUAAUCGUUUAUUAUCCAUGCUAUAAUUGUAUUGAUUGGAAACACAAUACUUGUGUGGAUACAUAGACAAAACACUGUCCCUAGUAAGCCUCUAGUUGACUAGCUCGUUGAUCAAAGAUGGUCAAGGUUUCCUGGCCAUAGGCAAGUGUUGUCACUUGAUAACGGGAUCACAUCAUUAGGAGAAUCAUGUGAUGGACUAGACCCAAACUAAUAGACGUAGCAUGUUGAUCGUGUCAUUUUGUUGCUACUGUUUUCUGCGUGUCAAGUAUUUGUUCUUAUGACCAUGAGAUCAUAUAACUCACGGACACCGGAGGAAUGCUUUGUGUGUAUCAAACGUCGCAACGUAACUGGGUGACUAUAAAGAUGCUCUACAGGUAUCUCCGAAGGUGUUCGUUGAGUUAGUAUGGAUCGAGACUGGGAUUUGUCACUCCGUGUGACGGAGAGGUAUCUCGGGGCCCACUCGGUAAUACAACAUCACACACAAGCCUUGCAAGCAAUGUGACUUAGUGUAAGUUACGGGAUCUUGUAUUACGGAACGAGUAAAGAGACUUGCCGGUAAACGAGAUUGAAAUAGGUAUGCGGAUAUUGACGAUCGAAUCUCGGGCAAGUAACAAGCCGAAGGACAAAGGGAACGACAUACGGGAUUAUAUGAAUCCUUGGCACUGAGGUUCAAACGAUAAGAUCUUCGUAGAAUAUGUAGGAUCCAAUAUGGGCAUCCAGGUCCCGCUAUUGGAUAUUGACCGAGGAGUCUCUCGGGUCAUGUCUACAUAGUUCUCGAACCCGCAGGGUCUGCACACUUAAGGUUCGACGUUGUUUUAUGCGUAUUUGAGUUAUAUGGUUGGUUACCGAAUGUUGUUCGGAGUCCCGGAUGAGAUACAGGACGUCACGAGGAGCUCCGGAAUGGUCCGGAGGUAAAGAAUGGUAUAUAGGAAGUCCUGUUUUGGUCACCGGAAAAGUUUCGGGCUCAUCGGUAGUGUACCGGGAGUGCCGGGAGGGGUGCCGGGGACCAUCGGGAGGGGUGUCAUGCCCCAAGGGGUCUCAUGUGCUAUGGGAAGAGAUAAACCAGCCCCUAGUGGGCUGGAAUAAGUUCCCACUAAGGCCCAUAAGGUUUGAUAAGGAAAAAACACAAGGUGGAAAGAGUUUCCAAGUGGGAAGGUGGAAUCCUACUCCAAGUAGGAUUGGAGUAGGACUCCUCCACCUCCAAUUUCGGCCAAACCUUGAGGGUUUGAGGCUGCCUCUUCCCUCUCCCUCCCUCCUAUAUAUACUGAGGUAUUAGGGCUGAUUUGAGACAACUUUUCCACGGCAGCCCGACCACAUAUCUCCACGGUUUUACCUCUAGAUCGCGUUUCUGCGGAGCUCGGGCGGAGCCCUGCUGAGACAAGAUCAUCACCAACCUCCGGAGCGCCGUCACGCUGCCGAAGAACUCUUCUACCUCUCCAUCUCUCUUGCUGGAUCAAGAAGGCCGAGGUCAUCGUCGAGCUGUACGUGUGCUGAACGCGGAGGUGCCGUCCGUUCGGUACUAGAUCGUGGGACUGAUCGCGGGAUUGUUCGCGGGNNNNNNNNNNNNNNNNNNNNNNNNNNNNNNNNNNNNNNNNNNNNNNNNNNNNNNNNNNNNNNNNNNNNNNNNNNNNNNNNNNNNNNNNNNNNNNNNNNNNNNNNNNNNNNNNNNNNNNNNNNNNNNNNNNNNNNNNNNNNNNNNNNNNNNNNNNNNNNNNNNNNNNNNNNNNNNNNNNNNNNNNNNNNNNNNNNNNNNNNNNNNNNNNNNNNNNNNNNNNNNNNNNNNNNNNNNNNNNNNNNNNNNNNNNNNNNNNNNNNNNNNNNNNNNNNNNNNNNNNNNNNNNNNNNNNNNNNNNNNNNNNNNNNNNNNNNNNNNNNNNNNNNNNNNNNNNNNNNNNNNNNNNNNNNNNNNNNNNNNNNNNNNNNNNNNNNNNNNNNNNNNNCAAGGGUACGUAGAUCACCCAUCCCCUCUCGUAGAUGGACAUCACCAUGAUAGGUCUUCGUGCGCGUAGGAAAUUUUUGUUUCCCAUGCGACGUUCCCCAACAGACCCCCUCCGCAAUGGAGAAUCUAGGAUCCUAUUCAUUCUUCAAUAAUAAUUCAUUUUUAUGAAUCAUAAUGGUAUUAUUGAAUAAAUUAUGUGUCAAUUUAUGUGUAUGUGUUCAUUAGUGCAUCUGCACAAGUAGUAUACUCCCUCCAUUCCCAUAUAUAAGGCCACUAUGGAGAAUACAUUUUGCAUCUAUAUAAGGUCACUAACAGUAAUGGAGAUAAAAAUUAAUGGUGUUUUCUAGUAGUAGCAACUUAUUUAAUAUACUUGCAUGCAUGUAGGCAUAAUGACAUUUAGGUUUUUUCUUCUCAUUAUUUUUUUGCAUGCUGAUGUCUACCACACAACUUUUCUUGUAGACUCGUGUUGGGGUUCCAAGCACAGAGUUUUAUAGAACAAUAGCAAAUUACCCUCAAGUAGAUGACAUAAACCUCAUACCAAAGCCAAACAAACUUUGCUUCAUGGAUUAUAGUCAUCGUUAGAUGGUCUUCAAAUCUGGAUGUAUUUUUUUGUUAUUUCUAGUUUUCGUUGUACUACCAUGAUUGAAGAUGAAUAGAUUAAAAGUUUUUCUCAUAAAAAAAAGCAAGAAAGCCUCGUGCUAUAGGAAAAAUUGGUUGGGAUCGAGUCCGUGUCCUUGCUGUCUCUCUCUCUCAUGCUCCAACGACAAGAGGAAGACUGAAGGAAGAAGAAGGACACAGGGACACAAGUGGUGUUUUGCCGGCGCACAUACGCCCAGCCGCAAGAACGGCUUCUUCCUCGAGCACGAACUCGAAACCACACACCUCAGCGAGCUACACAGGGGAGAGGUGUUAUAUACCCACGAGCACUAACAUGCCAAGCCUCGCCUCACACGCAUUCGUUCCCCCACUUACCACGUCCCGAGCGCUCCGCGCAGCACGCGAUCGCCGCGGCCUCUCCGCGCGCCCGACGCGGUCUACUCCCCUUGAGCCUCGCCAACUAACGAAUGCAGCCCCGCGCACACCCGCGUUGGCUCAUGCACGCACGCACUAAGCGGCCACAUGCAACUAACCCGGCUGCUAACCAACUAACCAACACACGCGCACAUACACUACUUGGACAUUAGUCGGACAUUGCCCAUACACUAGUUGGACAUUGCCCACACACACGUACGCCGCGGACCCGACGCGCCCGACACGCCCAGCGUGCGUCCAUACGCGCGCCCGACGUGUCUGGCUUGUCGCAGCGACUUAUUUCGUCCAACAUUCACCCCCUAAGCCGUGGCUCAGAGGAGCCCGACGUUCUCGAAGUCGAAGUCCGCCAACAGUGCUUGCUCCGCCGUCGGCUCCUUCCUCCGCUGAGGGCAGUCCCUCUUGAAGUGGCCGCGCUCGUUGCAGUUGUAGCAGUGCCCGCGUCGGUUCCCACGGCUGUUCGACACCACUCUAUUGUCGUCAUCCCGUGCACCGCCUCGCCGAUGCUCCCGCGCUCGCCACUGCUCUGCCGUGAGCAUGAGCUGGCCGUCCGCCCGCUCGCCGCCCGCUUGUCCGCAUCGUCGUAGCCGCUCGUCGAAUGCCUUCAGACGACCCAACGCCUCCUCGAAUGCCAUGGUGGAGACAUCACAGAACUGCUCGAUUCCGGCCACCACCGCGUGCAGACGGUCCGGCACGGAGUCGAGUAGUUUCUUCACCAACGCGUUGUCUUCCAGCGUCGAUCCCAGCAUCGCGAGGCGUGCCGCCAUGCCACCGAGCUUCCCAGCGAACGAGUUCAGCGUGUCGUCCUCCUACAUGCGCAGAAGCUCGAACUCUCCUCGAAGAGUUCCCAGCCUCGCCGCCCGGACUCGGUCCGCCCCGACGAACCUCGCCUUGAGGCUUGCCCAGACCUCCGCCGCCGUCUUCUUGGACGCAACCUGCAGCCGAAGAUCCUCAGAGAGCGCGUGGAACAGGUACGCCCGCGCCGGCUUGUCCUUCUUGGCGAUCACGACCGCCGCCCCGUCCUCCGGCGGCUCCACCGCCUCCCACAGCCCGGCGGCGUCCAGGUCCGCCUCCACCUUGAUUGCCCACGUGGUGUAGUUAUCAACAGUGAGCAUCAGGGACGGCGUUGACAUGAUGCUCCCCGACCAGCCGGCGUAUGGGACGAGCGCCAUCUCCGACGAGCUUCUCCCUCAACGUGGCUCUGAUACCAAAUAUUGGGGUCGAGUCCCUGUCCUUGCUGUCUCUCUCUCUCACGCUCUAACAACAAGAGGAAGACGAAGGACACAGGGACACAAGUGGUGUUUUGCCGGCGCACAUACGCCCAGCCGCACGAACGGCUUCUUCCUCGAGCAUGAACUUGAAACCACACACCUCAGCGAGCUACACAGGGGAGAGGGGUUAUAUACCCACGAGCACUGACAUGCCAGGCCUCGCCUCACAUGCACUCGUACCCCCCACUCACCACGUCCUGAGCGCUUCGCGCAGCACGCGAUCGCCGCGGCCUCUCCGCGCGCCCGACCCGGUCUACUCCCCUUGACCCUCGCCAACUAACGCAUGCAGCCCCGCGCACACCCGCGCUGGCUCACGCACGCACGCACUAAGGGGCCGCAGCCAACUAACCCGUCUGCUAACCAACUAACCUACACACGCGCACAUACACUACUUGAACAUUAGUCAGACUGUAUCCAUACACUAGUCGGACAUAGCCCAUACACUAGUACGUCAAGGAUCCGACGCGCCUGACACGUCCAGCGUGUGCCCAUACGCGCGACCGUCUGGCUUGUCGCCGCGGCUUAUUUCGUCCAACACAUUUCAACUCACGGACAGGACAGGACUAGAGAGCAUCUGCUAAUGACACUGCAGCGGACAGAUACGCGUUCGUGACUCUGCUUUCUUGCACAAAUCACAAAGCAAACGAACGCCCGAGUUAGGCAGGAACUUUGCGAGUCUGCUUGCCCGCGUCUUAUUUGUUUGCUAUUGCCACCUGUGCACAUCCAUCAACGUGGAUCCGGGUCUCCAUCAGGUCAACAAUAUGCUCCGUCUCACAUAUCGCAACAACACCGUAUCCGACAAAGCAAGGACCAGUUAUUCUUGUAGAACGGCUGGAUUGGUGUCGCCUGAAAUACUUGUCUAAGACCCAACUUUGUUCGAUGGCAGCCAUAGAUAAUGUUUCAUCGGGAUCUCACAAACGGAAAGCAUCCUGCUUAGCCUUCCCGAAAUUCAAAGCAAGGCCAGCAUAUCUUUCCCAACUUUCUGAUCCCUCCUACUCCUAUCGUGCAGUGGGCGGCAUUUACUAGUGCCAUUUUUUGUUGAAAAUAUUUAGAGCACAUACAAAUUUAACUGCAUAACGGUAUGAGUUUUUUGUUUCGGAAUAAUGGAGGAGUGCGUGUGUGACGUCCGAGAAACGAGUGAAGACUGAAGAACCAUAGGAAAAAGGUAUGCUAUUUAAAGAUUGAAGAUGUGUGAAUUAACUGUAGCAGAAAGGACAAAAGCCACUUGCAUACCCUUGAUCAAUGUCGCGAUGUGCAAGCCGCCAACCAUUCUAUUAACUAGCGGGCCCGUUGUUUGUUUAGUUGUGGCUUAUCCAGUUACUCCUUCCUUUUUGUUUAUAGGGCUUAUGUCUAAAAUCUUAUUAACAAGGAUACACUAGUGUAAUGUUCAUGCGUUGCCACGGGCCAUAAAUAUACUUUUACCAGUUGCAAAUAUAAGCACAAUGAAUGUCAAAAUUUAUAUGCAUAGAAAUUAUAGUAUGUUACAAUGAUAAGUACUCCCUCCAUCCAUAUAUAUAUAGGACCUAAUGCAUUUUUCGAGAUUGCCUUUGACUAUUGAUAAGAUUAAUAUAGUAUAUGAAAUGUAUAAUAUAGAAAUUAUAUUAAUGAAAGCUCCUUUCACGUACGAAUUUGAAGAUAUGCUUUGUGUAACUUGCAUGUCAUAUAUUAUUGCUCUAGCAUAUGGUCAAAGCUAGCAUCGAAAAACACAUUAGACCCUAUAUAUAUGGAUAGAGGGAGUAAUUGAAAUCAACUUCAAUGAUUCAAGUAACUAUCUCUUACAAACUAAGAUCUACUUGAUGUGUUUAAGACAUUUUUUUACCAUGUGAGGAGUGUUGUGUUCAGCUUCAUUGCAUGGCACAAUGUAGAUCAUUUGAUUGAUAUUUUUCUAAAAAUGACUUGUUAUGCUAGAUGUGGUGUUGAUGUUAACGUAUAGAAGCUCCUCUUUUCACUACACCACGAUACCAUAUUCCCUACAGAUGUGUGUUUAGAAAAAUAACUAUUGGUGACCAACUGUUGGUUAGGAAAACUUCUAACUGAUUAUUGGUCGGGAAAACUCAUGUUCGGCGACCGAUAGUCUGUCGAGAAUGCCAAAAUAUGUACCAUCCAAUUGUGGGUCGACAAUACUCCUAUCAACAAUGAAUGGUCGGUCGGCGAACAAUCCCGACCGACCGGCAGUAGAUAAAUGGGCCGACCUGCGAUCAACGCGCGCAUGCAUGAAAUUUUCGUAGCGGCGCUCAUUUUGCCCUAGCCCGCGAAGCCUUCCUCAUUUUCUUUUCCUUCGCCACUCCAAAACCUAAUCCCCUCUGGCUCCCACGCAUCUUCUCCCUCCUUUCCAUGCCGCCGCCGGUUCCCCUCGUAGACUCAUACGAGUCUCAAAGCUUAGCAGCUGUGAGUACAGCUCCGGAACCGUGACCAGCUCGACCCUAGAGCACAUGGUCGAGACCACUGGGUCGAACUCCUCAUCGUGUCCGGCAAGGAUGUGGGAGAUAAUGUCCUCCUCAUCAACCUUCUUUCUUGAAGCCAUUAAUUCAUCACACAAAGUUCUGAUCUUACCAACGUACUCGGUGAUGUUUCUGUUGCCUUUCUGAAGAUUUGCCAAUGCGAUCCGAACGUUGAUGGUCCUCGCACUCGUUUGUGAGGCCAUCAUCCCUUGAACGGUGUUCCAUAGCUCUGCUACGGUGUGGCAAAUCGCCAACUGGAUCGCCAUCUCGCAUGGUAACGAGGUCAGCAGGUAGGAGAAUACCUGCUGAUGACGUGGCAAACUCCGAGUUCGGAGCCUUGGACUUUUUUUUGCCGUCAUCGGCGGUGACCUCAAUGGUCAUGGGUGGCACGGUCGAGGAAUUCUGCCAUCUGAGCCCCCCUGAUCGCCGACAGCACGAUCACGCGUCAUAGUGCCUCGUUCCCUCUCGUAAGCUUCUUUGUUGCGGUGUGCACAAAUGGAGAGGAGGUGAAGGAAGUGGAAGAGCUUGCCAUGGAUGAUUUCGAGGCCUACUCUGAUUACCAUGAAAGAAUUGGUGGAAUCGUAUGCUUCGUUAGCAGGGACGCGUGCAUGUUAUCUAGAUCAACGAUGUAUAAGAUAUGGCGGGCUGUUGCAAGUCUUGACCCCUAAUCCAAGCUAUACAAGAAAUAAGAUCAUAUCUAUGCCAACAACCUGCCGAGGUUAAACACAACAGACGCACACAUACACCUAUCAUGACAACCGUCACGUUACGACACAAGCAUAUAGUUUAACAGAUAUAACAGAAACUCAUUUGUUUUUAAAAAAGAACUUUGUUCAGUCAAGCAUUGUAUCGGGAGGACAGAGAACUGUAAACCUGGCCUCGGUGUAAUGAGUUGUGUAUGCAACCCACACAGCUAGAGUAUUCAAGUAAAUUAAAGGUGGAUCUUGAUCUGGCAAAAAUAGAUGGAACAAUAUUUAAAGAUCUGCUCAUCUCAUUGCCGAAGAGCAGAAGAGGCGUUAAUAUCGUUGUGCGUUGCGUUUAUCAUGGUAGCAACGUCCUUGCUUACUGUGCAUUUCCGCUAGGAUUGAUCUCGUGACCUGAAGUUGUCGGUGCAUCUACCGGUUAACGUUGCACGAGUGAUCAUGCUAGUUUCCUCAUACUAGUGCGCUUGGCUGUCGUAAUUGCCUAUCGUGGUACUUAAGUAGGGGGCAAACGAUAUAGGCGACCGAUGGCACGAGAGCAUUGGCCCACAAGGCCACAACAAGGAAACGUCGUUAGCGAGUAGCAACCAAUGCAAGCUAUGGCUGUUGGGAGACGUGGCUCCAAAUCUACCGAUGCCUCCUACUCCUACACCUGAUGGCCAGGGAACACACAUCAACCAAAUAACUAUUUUGCAAUUGAUGGACCGAAAGAUUUUGAACUGGUUUGGAUUUCAAGUGCAUUCCCUUGUGAGAUGUAGGUUCUUGGUGCGGUCCAUGCGUGUGAGAGCAAGACUUGGUACUGGAGAAAUGGGAACGGAAAGGAACGCCUUGGUUUUAUAGAUGCGACGAGGAAGUAGAAGAAAUUUAUUUACACGUACAGGUUCUUCAUCAGUUUGUUGUCUCGCUGACCUGGUACUGGCUGUAUUGUGGACCCAUGUGACAUGCGAGUUAUAAGUGCGGUCUCGGUGCAAUAUGGGAGAGCUGGUCUCUUGUAAGUAAAAUCUCACCACCAGACAUCCCCUUUUUUUGUUUUCCAUUUUCAAUUUUAUUCUUUUUUGAGGGCUGAGAGACCAGCCGGCCGGUUGCACUUAGGAACAGAUCAUUAUUUUUAAGAUUUGGUAGUCACAAGCAAGGAUUCUAAAGCAGAUUCAACAAUAGUCGAUCAACCUUGAAAAUUUAGUUCUGAGUUUUUAUUUAUUUGAAAGGGGGUAGGCAAAUAGUACGUUAUAACAUCUAUACUUAUACUAAUUAGGCACUCUUAAGAAAUUUCCGCGUUAAUCAAAAAAUAGGAAUCGUUAAUCUCGUGAAAUCGAGUUAUAACGGUGUAGAUUAGCCAGCUUAAAAUAGAAAGAAGAAUAAAGGAAUGAAAUCAGUUAGAUAAAAAAAGAUUAGAAAGGACCACAGUAUUUUCACGUGUAGUUAGGUGGAUAGUAGUCAAGAUUAAAAAACAAUAAACCAAAAGAGAUACGAUUAGCUUUCCUUCUUUUCAAAGAAACCAAAAGAGAUCAAUAUCUAUCUAAUCUCUCCCACGGUUGUUGAUAGAAGUUCAAAUAAAAAUAAAAAUGCGUGGAAAGGUCCACAUGCCAGUCACCAGCGCAUGUUUAAGUCAUGGGUGCGUCUCUCAAGCCCUCCCAACUACCAUCAAAACGUCUAUAAAAAAGCAUAACAACAUUGUUAGGCCUCACGAAAUCAAAUGAUCCGGAAAGAAAUGCUGGUAACAAUAGAAAGCAUCCGGCAUCUAGCCAAGACAAACUGCCGAGUGCUAAGGAAAGGAAGUUUUGAAGCAAAUUCAUACGGUGCCCAGUGGACUGCUCUCUUAUUUUUUCCUUGGAGUUCUAAUGUACGUGUGCAUUCUCUGUUCUUAGAGUAUUUUGUUAUCAACUUGCAAGCUGAACGCGCUUUCAAAUUGGAUCCCCUAUAUGCGACUAAGAAAACUUUGAAAUAUUAUUUUAUUUGCUAAUUUUCUUUGUUUGUUUUAGUUUUUUUUUUUUGCAGCAUCAAUGGAAAGCCACCAAUGUUUUAGUUUUCUGCUAUGUACAUUAACCAAUGGUUUAGAUGGUAAUUCCGAACAAUCUCAGUAUAGAGAAUGAAUCACUAUUUACACUAUUUAGAAUAACAGAUUUUUACUAUAAAAGUUUGUUAUCUUUUACGCUCGCCCAUAUCAGUUUCUUUGAUUCUGUUAAUUAUUUCUUUGCUGCUAUACCAAUAUACUACGCUUCAGAUUUUGUAGAUUGCUGCAGGUUGUCGGACAAGUUGUUUCACCCAUUCAUCUAAUCACAACUUCGCGAGUUCACAAAAAAAUAUCCCGAGGCAAAGUGCCAGAGUGCUGAGAAAAGGAAGUUUUGAAGCAAAUUAUGGUCAUACAUCAACUUUGUACUUACAUAUGUAGGAGAAGUACGAGGAGUGCUAAUUAGUUAUCCUGGAGUGCAAAAAUGAUCGCCUUUCAUGUACUAUACAUGAUAUUUUCCGUAAGACAAAAUACACUAUCUAUUGAUAAAUUGAAGACAUUUUGGACAUAGCACAGUUACAAAGCCUUACUUUGAUCUUUGAGUUUUAUAUCAUAUGUUAAUAAGUCACAGAAGCCCUAUGAUAGUGUGGAACUAUUUUUGACGAAUAUUUUACGUUAGUAUUGCAAAUGAAGUAAAAGAACAUAUUUCUAUAUAUUAAUAUAGUCAAAAUUGGAGAAGGUUCUUCGCAAAAUUUUCAGCGCCACUCCAUCAAAUUACAACCACAUGUUGCAUGAAAUAUUAUUAUUCCAUAUUCAAAGUAACAAAAAUGCAUUAGCCUACAUGUGACGAUUAUUUUAGGCAAAAGUAAUUUUUUCUCCAAAUAUAUUUUUGCUCAAAAUGUUUUGGACAUAUGUACAUGUAUAAGAGGUCACGUCCAUAUGUUUAAGCAAAUCAUUAGUGUAUUGGGCAGGUCUAGAUCCUUCCCGAAUAAGAAAAACAAACAUAUGUGCAGGAAACAGUGUGUGCAUCACAUGACUAUAUCUACCUUUUUCAAAAUUCCCUAUAUGACGGACUUUGGGAUUCCAACAUUUGGCUUACAACCUCAUACUCCCUGUAUAUGAAAUCAUGUGUUUUUAACCUAUCUGAUUAGGUAAACAUUCAAACAAAAUCAUUAAUCAAUAUAUGACCAUAACAUAAACAACAAGAUAAAAUAAGAUAACUAGCCCGUGCGAAUGCAUGGGUUGACGACUAGUUGUUCUAACUAAACAAGGCAAGUUGCUAUGUUUUUAUGUGUUAUCAACUACCAUAUAGGAAUUUAUACCCUGAAAAAAAAACUACAUAGGAAUUUAUAAACAAGUACAUUACCUUAUAAUUACAUCAUUUAUAUAUUAUUUUGUUCAUUACGGGGAACAUAUCUGUCAACAGAUCUAGUGAUAUUGAUUUGGUAGUGUUAGCUGGCAGCCCGUGAGUUCGUAGCAACGUAUAGUGUUUGAUUUAUAGCUUUUUUUAAUGAAAGGGGUUUCCCCCUGCCCCAUUUUAUUAAAAUGAAGCAACAUUGUCUUCCAAACCGUCAAAAGCCACUAAAAAGAACUAAACAAACCAUAGGCUAGGCAAAAGUCGAGCACUUGAAAUGUUAACAACCAACAAACCACAAACUGGGCCUUAGAAUGCUUUUAUUACAUGCCAAAGAAGGAAAAAACUAGAGAAGACUACUCGGCUCCCCGAUGAUCCCCCAACAUCAUCUCCACGUGAUCCGAAGCAACUCCCCACGCCUCUUGUUCAACACCUUGAUAUAGUCUCGUAGAAGAACUGCCUGAGCAUAGGUGAAUAGUAUUUUCCAUUGAUUUAGGUAAAACUCUGGCUUGGCAAGAAUGUAUUUCACACUUCUCCAAGAUCGGCCUUGAAAGCAAAAUUCAUUCCUCAGUUUCCAAAUGCUCCACAAGGAGGCAGCAAUCAUCAUGUUUAGUAAAGCAUUAGUCUUAGGACUACCCACAACGAAAUAACAUCAUCAAAGCUUGAAAUUUCUGGCUUGUUAAACACUUCAGAGAUAAAUCCCCAAAGUUUUUUAGCAACCACAAAGUCAAAGAACAAGUGUUGGACUAAUUCUUUACAGCUACAAAAGAGACAAGUAGGAUCUUCCACCGGUCUAUGUUUUUAAGGUUAUCUCUUGUUAAAACUUUAUUAUAUACACACAAACAUAAAAAAUAUGUAUUGAUCACACUUUACACCUUCCCCUUCUUCCGUACCCGACUAGCACCUCUCCCAGUGGGCAAUGCCGCCGACGAAGAAGCACCCACGGGUGGUGUCAUCAGAUUGUCUUCCAAGGCUCUACGGAGAGAUAGGGGUGGAAUGGAAGUACCACCCCUCGUGUGAGCCGCCGAAGAAGAACCUGUCGAGCGAUCUGGACCCGCGCCCACCAUCUUUCAACACAUGUUGACCUGCCAUGAUAAAGAUUAAGAGAAAUUAUUCCAACAUAAAAAAAUUGAAAAGCUAAGAACUAAAUAACAACUACAAUAACAUCAACCACUACUACAACAACUACGAUAACAACUACAACAACUACUACAACAAUCCCUAGCGCUGCCCAUGUCGGUUAGCUUCUUUAGCCUGGUUGUGUAAACCAAGUUGGAUGGGAGCAAUAUAUAUGCACACACACUAGAUGAUAGGUAGGUACAAGUAAAUCUGAUAAAAACACAGCGACAAGGUGGAUGUUGUGUAGGCAUAGCAAUAAGAUGAAUUAUUUAUUUAACUUGCUAUAUGUUCUGUUAAAUGAACUAUAGUCGCGUUGGACAAAUUGCACAUCCACUCCUCGUACAAAGUGAGGUUGUUGUACUCCACUACAUAUUAAGAUCAAAUAUAAAAUAUACAAGGAAGUAAUUUCAUUUAGCUACAAUUGUUUGUGCCAAAAUCUUUUUGAAGCCAAUAUACCACAUCUUGUUAUGUAUUGAAUACAUAUAAUCAAUAAAAUCAAUAGAUGGGUGAUGUUCUGAUACAAAAUGAACAUGUAAAGAUUAUCAUCUUUUGUAAUUAGAGCCCAUGGUACCGAUGGUCUAAAGAUGUUUAGUACAAUGACGAUGAUAUGGUGGACAUGCUCCAUUGACUAAAAGGGAGCACACUGAAUUUACUUUAUGGAUUUUUUAGCUACCUUAAAUAUAAGAGAGUCCUCCAAAAUUAAUUCAUUGGCUAGAAUGAAUGUUCAUGCUAUUUUUGUCAUAAUUAAACUAUACAUGGUUAUAAUAUGUACUAAUAAUAUCAAUAAAUCGCAACAUAUUCCGGAUAACCAAAUCUCAACAAAAUAUAUAUACUGCAAGCAAUUCCAAAAUAUAUAUACUACGUAGUAUAUAUAUAGUACGUAGUAUACAUUCAUUGCAAGAAAAUCUCAACAAAAUGUUGGAAUUAAAAUUUCUUUUUAGAUUCAUAUAUAGGGAUGGGGUGUGGGGGCUCACCAGCAGGGGCAGUUGUGGCGUCGUGGGCGGCAGGGCCGGGGGUGUUGGGGCGGCGUCGGGGGCGAUGUGGCGGCGGCGGCGGUGGGUGUCGGGGGAGGAGUGGAAGAGAAGAAGAGAGUAAGAGAGUGAGAGAGAGAGAGAGAGGGUCGGGGUGGGGGCGGGACGGCCGUUACAAAAUACUACAGCUUUGUCGUCCGCUGGCUGACGACAAAGGGUCUAGACUCUUUGUCGUCUGCCUCCGGACUCUUUGCCGUCCGCCAGCAGACGGCAAUGAAGGUACUGUAGUUUGACCUAGCGUUCCCUCGGUCAGGUGGGCCCAGUCCAAAGCUUUGCCGUCAGCUGUCCUAAUCUUUACCGUCAGCCACUGACGGCAAAGAAGUGACUCAUGGCAAAGACAUUCUACGCCAUCAGCCUGUUCUUUGCCGUCAGCUUUUUGGCAGCGGACGGCAAAGACACUCUUUGCCGUCAGCUAGCUGACGACAAAAACCUGAAUUCCACUAGUGUAGGUAGUACUACUUCCUUUGGGGUGUGUAAAUCGAAACUCUUUGUUUAGACCGGGAACCAUAUUGGCGAAAUUCGUCCAAACCCUGCCAGGCAAAGAAAAUGAGUACUUCAUAUCAGGAAAUUAACGAAAGUUGCAUUGCCGAUAUGGUCUCGGUACAUUGACUGAACUUACUUCUUGAGCAUUGCAGUAAUGUUCUCAUAAUCCUAUUCGGCUUUAUGUCUCGAGUCUAAGACAUUUACUACUGCCCUGCCAACGUCAAUGAUAGCAGAAUAAAGUGGUCUCUGCGCACGCAUAUAUAACUCUUCAAUUAUAUUACUUAAUUAACAUCGAGUAAGCGAAACCGAGUUUACAAAGAAGACAACAACACUCACUUGAAGUUGUAAGGAAAUAUUAUUUCCACUUUUUUUAUGUAUAAGGAACGAGUUUAGCAAUUUCUCCUCGGUCUCUUUGAUUGAGUUUCGUACCGUCAAUUCAUUUACACCAUCUGGGAUAAUGAACCCAACGUCGACGAUUCCUGCUUUUUUUAAUUCGACCAACCGGGACUAAAGGAGGAUACGAACGUUUGUAUGAACGCUCGCCACCACACAUGAGUCCCGGUUUGAUCCACCAACCGGGACUAAAGGGGAUACAAACGGUUGCCGGCCUAUUAGUCCCGGUUCUUGACUGGAACCGAGACAAAAGGGGUGAGACGAACCGGGACCAAUGUCCCACGAUACCCGGCCGGCGCCCUGGCCUCACGAACCGGGACCAAAGCACCAUAGGUCCCGGUUCGUACUUGAACCGGGACUAAUAGGAUUUCAGGACCUGGACUAAAACCCUCUUUUCUACUAGUGCAACAUGAAUCCUUUCGAAGAUCUGUCGUGCGUAGCACAAGUCAAACAAACAUGACACAUCGUAGCACAUGUCGGCCAGGGAUUACUUGACAUCUCCAUCGAAGCUCCUUGCAAAACGAAGUCGCUCCAUCUCUUGCCUCUAUCUUCCAACGCUGCUCCACAAAUGUUGCUCCAAGAAAGAAACGAUAUCGUAGUGCUGCCAUCGUCCAAUCUGGGAGAUCAAAUCCUAGGAUUUCCUCCGAAGCAGCACGAGUUGAUCGACAGUAGUUACUCGAUGAUGCCUUCAUCAACGUAAUGGUGCAGAACGCCGCCAUCGCCCGGCGCCGGCUUGGUUUUCACCGUCAAGUAUGUCUCCCCAACUCGCAGUGAGGACGGCAUGAUGGAUCUGGACAUCCAACAACCCACCCUUAGGCGGACCACCUCUGACGAAGAAGAAUACCACCAGCGCCAAGUCCAGCCUCCAUGAUGAGAAGGGCCAUCAAACUCCAGCACCAUCAGUUGUCGUGCCCGACGCGAGGCCAUGCACAACCACCAACGACAUAUCACGAUCUCCUCGAGGAUGCCUCCCCGACCUGCCUGGGGGCUAAUCCAAGGCCGAGCACAGGCGACCGGACCAAGCCGGCGAGCAGCUCCAAGGGGAUCCCGCACCACUCCGUCCAGCCAAGGUGCCACCACCCCCCGCGCCAUCCAGAACCGGUAGGUCGGUCGCCGGCUACCGAAGCCAUCACCACCAGGCAUCCCUCCUCGUGCAACCCUCCAAGCCCGCCACUGUGGCAGCCAAGUUCUGGCUAGUGUAGAUUGCCUCACAACGAUCCCGCCUCACGAGAAGGAGAGAGUGCGCCGCCGUCGACCACGCCGGGCGGGUUUCGCCCGCCUACAUGCCCGGGCGGCGGCGAGGGGAGGGAAGGGGGAGGAGGGUCACUGUCCAGUGACGGCUAGGGUUUCCUCCCCUGCCGUCCGUAGGAACGCCAAAGGAGAAGUCGUAACUCGUCGUCUUGUCUUAUAAAAAUGGGGAGAAUUUCUGUUUCUGGCCUCUGCACCAACUAGGAAUGCAAACAUCCAUAUUAGUAUGAGUACGAAGAUAAACAUGAUCCUUAGGAUUUUUUUAAAAUGAGGAUCUAUUGGGGAACGUUGCAUGGGAAACAAAAAAUUUCCUACGCACACGAAGACCUAUCAUGGUGAUGUCCAUCUACAAGAGGAGAUUUGGAUCUACGUACCCUUGUAGAUCUCACAGCAGGAAGCGUUAAGAAACGCGGUUGAUGUAGUGGAACGUCCUCACGUCCCUCGAUCCACCCCGCGAUCCGUCCCAUGAUCCGUUCCGAUCUAGUGCCGAACAAACGGCACCUCCACGUUCAGCACACGUACAGCUCGAUGAUGAUCUUGGCCUUCUUGAUCCAGCAAGCAAGAUGGAGAAGUAGAUGAGUUCUCCAACAGUGUGACGGCGCUCCGGUGGUGGUGAGGAUCUACUCCUGCAGGGCUCCGCCCGAGCUCCGCAAAAAUACGAUCUAGAGGUAAAACUAUGGUGUCUAGAUCUGAGUUGCACAUGGCAAAAGUUGUCUCAAAUCAGCACUAAAUCACCAUUAUAUAUAGGAGGGAGGGGGAGGAGGCUUGCCUUGAGGGCCAAGCCCUCAAGGGUGCGCCGGCCAAGGGAGAGGAGGAGUCCUACUCCAAUCCUAUUCCAAUUAGGAUUGGAAAGUGGAGUCCUUCUCUUCCUUCCCACCUCUCUUUUUUUUCUUUGGUUAUCUUUUCUUGGCGCAUAGGCCCUCUUGGGUUGUUCCACAAGCCCACUAAGGGCUGGUGCGCCACCUCUAAGGCCAUUGGGCUUUCCCCGGGUGAGUUGCCCCCCUCCUGGUGAACUUCCGGAACCCAUUCGUCACUCCCGGUACAUUCUCGGUAGUGUCCGAAAACCUUCCGGUAACCAAAUGAAGUCAUCCUAUAUAUCAAUCUUCGUCUCCGGACCACUCCAGAAACCCUCGUGACGUCCGUGAUCUCAUCUGGGCCUCCGAACAACAUUCGUAACCACACAUAUAACUCAACUAUACUAAAACAUCAUCGAACCUUAAGUGUGCAGACCCUGCGGGUUCGAGAACUAUGUAGACAUGCCCCGAGGUACUCCUCGGUAAAUAUGCAAUAGCGGGACCUGGAUGCCCAUAUUGGAUCCUACAUAUUCUCCGGAGAUCUUAUCAGUUGAACCUCAGUGUCUAGGAUUCAUAUAAUCCCGUAUCUCAUUCCCUUUGUCCUUCGGCAUGUUACUUGCUCAAGAUUCGAUCGUUGGUAUCCGCAUACCUAUUUCAAUCUCGUUACCGGCAAGUCUCUUUACUCGUUCAGUAAUACAAGAUCCCGUGACUUACACUUAGUCACAUUGCUCGCAAGGCUUGUGUGUGAUGUUGUAUUACCGAGUGGGCCCCGAGAUACCUCGCCGUCACAUGGAGUGACAAAUCCCGGUAUUGAUCCAUACUAACUCAACGGACACCUUUGGUGAUACAUGUAGAGCACCUUUAUAGUCACCCAGUUACGUUGUGACGUUUGAUGCAAACAAGGUAUUCCUUCGGUGCCAGUGAGUUAUAUGAUUUCAUGGUCAUAGGAACAAAUACUUGACACGUAGAAAACAAUAGCAAUAAAACGACACGAUCAAUAUGCUACGCUCAUAGUUUGGGUCUAGUCCAUCAUAUGAUUCUCCUAAUGAUGUGAUCCAGUUAUCAAGCAACAACACUUCGCACAUAGUCAGAAAACCUUGACUAUCCUUGAUCAACUGGCUAGCCAACUAGAGGCUUGCUAGGGACAAUGUUUUGUCUAUGUAUCCACACAUCUAUCUAUGUUUUCAUUCAAUACAAUUAUAGCAUGGAUAAUAAACGAUUAUCUUUAAACAGGAACUAUAAUAAUAACUAUUUAUCAUUGCCUCUAGGGCAUAUUUCCAACACUAUCAAGAUAUUUCUUCACGAGUAGUUCCACCACACACCAAAUUUGACCCUCAAUAAAUGGGGGAAAACCCCCACGCAUCACCUGUCAAUUCUAGGAAUGAAACUCGGAUCGUUAGGCUGCACAACCGCAUACCCAACCACUGAUCCAAGUCUCUUUGUUCACCACAACCGAUUCCUAUAGACGAAGACAUCCCAAACACUAGUAGAAAAAGGGCCUUUAGUCCCAGUUCGGUUGGGCCAUUAGUCCCGGUUCGCGAACCGGGACUAAUCAACCGGGACUAAUGCUAGCCCCGGUUCGGCCCCGAACCGAGGCUAAUGACCUUCCACGUGGGGGGCUGGGAGCGAGCGGGGAGGGGUAUUAUUACCGGUUCGUAUUACGAACCGGACUAUUUCUUUGCUGUUUUUUUUGAGCAAUUUUUGGGUUUAGGGUUUUGCACUAAAUUGGAUGGGGCUGUUUUGCUGCCACCUAUUUUCCCAUUUAUUUGUUUUGGGCAUUUUUUUAUUUUUGUUUUGCACUAGAUUUGAUAGUACAUACACAUCAAUAAAGGAAAAAUUAUAUUGCACAUCUCAUCCGUCGUGCUUUGUCGAACAUAGUUACAGAAUAUAGACACGAGUUACAUGCACAUAUAUGCAUCUUUUUUACACUAUAUCAUUUCAUAUCAUUUCCGUCGAAUGACAAUAGUAUUCUAAUCGACCAUCUAACAACUCAUCAUCAUCUUAAUCAUAUGCCAAGUUAUCAUAUGAUACACAUAAAGUAAAACAUAGAAACAUCAUAAUAGUCAUCAUAUGCAUGCAUUCUAAUCGAUCAUGUCAAGUUAAUAUAAACCAGAAUAACUUGUCUCUCAUAAGACCUAGUCCUCUCUCUUAGGUAUAAUGUCAUAAAACAGAAUAACACCUAUGUCUCCAUGAUGAAGCACACAGAUCCAACGGUCUCCAAUUUGUGGCUUGCGAUCCUUCUUUAUUUCUCUCCAUGCUUCAAUUUGGAGCUUUUUUAUCUUGAUUUGAGGUUACUCGAGUAUGGAGCAUCGAACUCACCCCUCAGUGGGUUUUAAUUUUCAUUUGACCUUCUAGGUGCAUGAACAGAGGCACUAUAUCAUGUGGCAGUUGCUGUUGAAUAACAUAAUAAUAACAUAAUAAUAACCUAGUUAGCAAUGUAAUCAACACCAUUUAUGCAAUAGUAGAGCGUACUAAAUUAGGAAACUCUUACUAAGAUAUUUCGGCGAAUGUCAUCCGGCCUCAACCUAUGCACUAGUGGCAAGUAAAAUGUAUAAUCUUGGCCAAUUCCAAAAUUAUACGGGAAGGUAUCCCUAGCACUACUAGGAAAAGGCUUGCUAAUGGCGCACCUAUUUUUGCUACUAAUGGCGCACUAUAGGUGCGCCACUAGCAUCACGCCAUUAGAAUUUUUUACUAAUGGCGCACCACAGGUGCGCCAUUAGUAUCUGGUAUACUAAUGGCGCACCAGGCAGUGCGCCAUUAGUAUAGCUCAUGGUGCGCCAUUAGUAUGCCUCCCAGGUGCGCCAUUAGUAUGCUUCUCAGGUGAGCCAUUAGUAUGCCUCCCAGGUGCGCCAUUAGUAUGCCUCCCAGGUGCGCCAUUAGUAUGCCUCUCAGGUGUGCCAUUAGUAUAGCUCAUGGUGCGCCACAGGUUAUACUACCAGCUCUAAAAAUAUUCAAUUAUUAUCCUCACACCCACAAGAAGGUUCAAGAUAAACACAUAUUACACCACAAUGAAAAUAUGUUUAUAAACAUGCACAUACAUUUAACACAGGUUGACAAACAAAUUAACCUAGAGGAAGCAUAGUUUUGACCAUCUUAACAAUCAUCUAGAACAUACAAGUCACGCUCAUGCAGGACAGUUCCCUUUUCGUGUCGAAGCUCAUCCAACAGCCCUCGAUGCCACAAGUGUACCCUUCGACGCGCAUCAGAUGAUCUCUUGGAGUCCUCUCCUCUCCUGUAGCCUUCUUCAGCUGCUUCGUCGUUUCGGUGUGAACCUCGCGGUGCUGCAGUACAUGCUUGUGCGUGAUGAACUUCUUUCCACAGCCAUCCACCGGGCAGAUGUGGCGCUCAUGCAGGGACAGUUCAUUCUUCGUGUUGAAGCUCAUCGAACAACCCUCGAUGUUGCACGUGUACCCUUCGACACGCAUUGGAUCAUCUCUUGGAGUCCUCUCCUCCCCUGUGGCUUUCUUCAGUUGCUUCAUCGUUUUGGUUCUGGUUAUGUGCUUACGCCCAAACAACUCCAGCAUAGUGGCAGGGCCCACAGAAGGACCCCCCUUGGCAGCAGAUGGGUGCUCCUCAUCAUCCUUUGGAGCAGCUGGAGCCAUCAUCUUGCUGUCUCCUUUGCUCGUCUUCAUCUGCUUCUUUGCUUCAGCCUCAAUCUUCUUUGGUGGCCCUAUUCGCGAAUGGGAAGUGGCCUUUGGCUUCGGAUGGCAAGCAGGGUCAUCAAGUCUGUAUCACAUCGGAAACACAAUAGGGUUGUGGUAGUUUUGACCAGCCUGCCUUCUCCUCUAUCAAACUGUCCUCCAGAGUGAGUCACACCAUGUUGUCAUUCGCAUGCUAGCAACUUUCAACUCCUCAAACACGCCACUGAGACAAGCCUCUGCAAAGGCAGUCCAACCAAAAUUAAAUUGUGAGAACAUGGCACUAUCUAUAGUUUUUUUUUUCAUUUACUAACACAUUAUUCAUGGUUGCACACCGGAAGAUGAUAACCUGGUUACCAAAACAGUAAGAAUGCACUACAAAUGGCUCAGUUUUACUCACUGAGAGAUCAAGCAAACAGAAAAAGCUGCAAGAAUAUUCAGUGUGUCCAUUUAGAAUAACCAAAAAGGAAUGGGCAUAUCAUACAUGACAGCAUGCUUAUGCCAAAAAACAAGAAUGUUCAUAGCAAAUAAAGAAUGCACAAACUAACAACAUACCAUCAGACUAAUAUCGAUUAGAAAAAUGUUGAGGUGAGAAACAUUUAUUCAAGCUUUGGGACAACACAGAGAUGAAUGGAUAGAUACCUUGGAUCCAGAAGCUGCUGCAGACAGGGGAAGCUCCAGGGGCGUGGGUUGUGGUCGUACAUGAUCUCCAACUGCCUGACAAGGCUCAUGCAACCCAAGAAAGGAAAGAGGCCUUGGUGAGGUGACGAAUCUGCAGCAGACAGUUCUAGACAAAAACAUAAACGUUUCAUAUAACUAGAAUAAAACUAACACAGACUUAUUUAUUCAUAGGUGGAACGGUAUUCUAUUUCCGAUGCAGGAAUAAAUCAAUUUAACCUGGAUAAUUGACACUUGGAGCUAAUUGUACUUCUUAGAAUUAAAAACUUUAUUGCCUAGCAUAUUUAAGGAAGACUAAAUAUACAGUAGCAUGAAGUCAGGCCGGAAUGGUCAAUCACUAUGCCGGUAAAGCUAAUAGUACUCGUAAUUACACUAAAAGAAAUAAAAUUGCUGCUAGAGGUGAGGAAUAUAAAUUUAGGUAAACAACGUAUGUAGAAUAGCCAGAAUCUGAAUGACCACGUACUCAAAGUCUGCAAGACCAUCGUUUGUAAUCUGACUGGAAGUAUAACCAGUCUGAAAAAAUAUAAAGAGAGGAGGGCAAUUAACUUUCUGUUUCUAACGCAUGCAUAUGUAUGAUGGUUUUGCCUCCGUCCUAGAUUGGUAGCACAGCUGCUUAAAAGAAACACAAUAUUCUAACACGGGGACAAUGAAAAAUUAUGUUUCUCAAAACAGUCAUUUUUUUCCAGAUUUUGUAAGGGAUCGCCGGUGACACAAUAGGACUUAUGAGAAAAAAGCAAAGUGUGGGCAGCAACGAGAUGCUCUGCAUUUCUCUCCUCAGAAAAAAAAGAUUGGGAACUCUGUUUCAAAUACCAUGGAAGAACACAGUUUCAGCAACACUAUGGUAAGCGCAUCAACGUAUAUACGACUAAUGAGGUUCCUCUGUACAACAGAAUUUUUUUCAGGAUCUCUAGUUACCUUUGGCAUGACUAAAAAAUAGAGAGGAUACUUGGGGAUACUUGGCUUCAAUAAAAGAUAGGGUGACAAUGUAAGUGAUCUGCAAGAUAAGACACAUCCUGGACUUUACCCCACUAGUUAGUGUAUGAUCGGAAAGAUCAAGCACUUUCACUCUGAAAAUAUCAACCAGACCCAUCAUCUGCAUGUAAAAUUAAAGACCAUCCCCAAACCACUCGAACUGAAAGAUGUAAAUUUGAGCAUCACAUGCACAAAUUAGAAUCUAUAAGCUUUUACCUCGAGAGUCAAGACCUGUUAAUGAUUUUAGCCAUAAGCCGAGCUCUAGAUGAUUUUAGCCAUAAGAGUCAAGAGUCAAAAUCUAUAAGCUUCAAUACAAAUCAAUAACCCCAACCUACAGGUAAUUGAAUCAAAAUGACAAAACAACUAUCAUGAACAUGGGGGUGCUUUAGACGAUGUGCAUGGCAGCAUCCGGGGGAAUAGAGGAGUGGAGAUGGCUCACCAUUGGGGAGCUUUAGACGAUGCAGUGCACUGCCAUCAUGCCGUGGAAGGAGCAGCGAGACGUCGCCUCAUCGAAGAGGGCGGGAGAGCAUAGGCGAUGGCUGAGUAAUGAAAGGUAUUAUGAGCAUCAGAACAGGUUUGAAGAACAUAACUCCGAAUGUAUUUUGAAAGUGCUAAGCCAAACAAUCAGUAGCAGCUAACAAGUCGGUACUUUAUGAAAUUUCUGACGAACUCGGAAUAAAAGUAUAUGUCCAGAACUACGUAGUGAUGUAUGUCGACAUGUCACAAGGUACUGCUGCUUGCAGUUCAAACUUAUUAAGAUUACCACAACUUGAAAAGUAACAGAAUGCAAAGUAAUCACAAUAACAAGAAACCACCAAGGAGUCUAAAUCCAAAUAUUGCCAAAUAAUAAGGGCAUUUCAAGUAAUACCAUGGACCGUUGAGCUGAAAAUAUCGAAUUCAUCACAACCACAUAUCUACAGAUAAUCUGGUUAAGUAAGAAUAAGUACAGGAAAAUAUAUAUGUGCAUACAAAUACAGUACUGAUGAACAAGUAUGCGUACUGUUCAGGUCCGUCAGGAUAACCCUGCACACACAAAAUCUGUAUUUCAUGUUAGCAUAAGACAUGGUGUACACUACUAGAUAUCUGAGGUAGCUAGCUAGGAACUUAAGGGCUUGUAGUAAUCUGUACUUUCUUUCUCCUGGAGUGGGCAAUGGGAGUGAUUGUGUUCAGUUCAUCAUAAUAAGAACACAAAUAUAUGUUGUCUAAUCACAAGCUCUAAAAACACAAACUCUGAAAAAAAAGGAACUCUGAAAGCACAAUCUCUGGAACUCAAAACUUAACCUUGUUUCUAGGAAUUCAAAUUUGACAUUACAUUGUCCAAGAGUAAUUCUGCAAAACAAACCUGACCUCAUUUUGGUACAACAACAAAGUUGAGAUGCUGCUGCUAAAUGUUACAAACUACGAUAAUGCCCGGUGUCGCAUGAUCGAAACUCGAGAUGUAAGGUGGUUUUUCAAUGACUUACAGUAGAUGAUAGCUGCAUUUGCUCGCUGAAAAACCACCUACACGGCUUACACCUAUCUCGAAUUUUGAUCAUGCGAGGGACGAACAGAACAUCACUAGUUCUGAACUUGGUUGCAGAGGUCAAGUACAAUCUGUGCGAUUCUCGGCUUGGGUAUAGGCUUGGCCAGGUGAAGAUCCAUCCCUGCCUCCAUGGCGUCCUGCAGCCCCUUCUCCACAGAAUUCGCGGUCAGCGCGAUGAUCGGAGUGCGUAUGCCGUAGCGGCUUUCUUCCUCGCGGAUGCGCCUCGUCGCCUCAUAGCCAUUCAUCACCGGCAUCUCAAACAAACAAGAACAAUAUAGAGUUUCCAGCACUGUCAGGUCAAAUCGGAAUUUACCCGCUACGUGCGUCUGCAAUACAGCCGCCGCGUGCAGCAGCACCGUCAACGAGGCAGAGCCGCCCGUGGGACUUCCGGUGGGCGUUGGAGAGAGCGGAACAGAGUCGCCAGCGCCGCACCGGACUCGUGGGCGAGCUCUCCAGGCCACGAGAGGCGGAUCUGGACGGGGGGUAGGGAAUAGCGGCGGCACGGGAGCUCGGAUCUAUUCGCUGCGCCGACGAGGUCCACCGGAACGCGCUGGAAUCGAGCGGCGUAGGCAGCGGCGGCGAGGGUUUCGUGGGGUGGGGAGGGAGAGACGCACGAGAUAGAGAGAGGGAGGGUGUGCGGUGGGUUUCUGAUUCGUUUAUUUUGUUUUUUUCCUUCUCUUUAGUAGUGGCGCACCACCUACAUAUGCGCCAUUAGUAACCCUGGUUAAUAAUGGCGCACCUCCUCUGGUGCGCCAUUAGUAGUUCUGCAAAAAGAAAGUAGUGGCGCACCACCAACAGAUGCGCCAUUAGUAACACUGGUUACUAAUGACGCACUAGCUUUGGUGCGCCAUUAGUAGUUUGCAAAAAAAAAACCAAAAAAAAUUAUAGUAGUGGCGCACUACUAACAGAUGCGCCAUUAGUAAGCAAGUUACUAAUGGCGCACCAGCUGCUGGUGCGCCAUUAGUAGUUUUACAAAAAAAAUAAAAAUAAAAAAAAUAUAGUAGUGGCGCACCGUGAGUGUGGUGCGCCAUUAGUAUCCACCACACUAAUGGCACACCUCACAUGAUGCGCCAUUACUAUAUAGUAGUAGCGCACUGCUUGUGUGGUGCGCCAUUAGUAUCUAUAUCAUCUAUAGCCCUUUUCCUAGUAGUGUAGAAACCAGAACACCAACAAGAAAGUGGGGAAGAACAUCCUUCUCCUCCCAAGUUAGAUGUCAUCCAUACAUGUAGUGUGUCAUGUCAAUUAAUUCCGUAGUUCACUCGAAGAAACGAAAUAAGCUAUAAAUUAUAAUUUAAAAAAAUUAGUAUAUGGAUGAACACCAACUAUUUCUAAAUAUAAAUGCAAAUUACUUGACAAAUAUUGUUGAGGAACUCACAUGGAGGUAAAACAGGAAGCAUAUCGACAACCACCCAAAUAUCGAUGUUGCCUGGCAUAUUAUCUUCAGGACGAUGAUCGAAGGUUAUUUCCAUACCCUCGUGAAAUCCAUAUGCCUUGCAAAGAUCUUCCCAAUUCGGGCACCCAAAUUCUGUUUGAAAAACUGAAUUAAAUACUUUGAUAACAAAUGUGUGACCAUGUAUAGUCCUCGGGUUAGCGCUCCUCAUCUCAAUUCUCUCGUGGUCUUCGAAGCCGAGCCUCUCCAACACAUAUCUUUUUGCAUGUCAAGGGAGGAACAUAUCUCCAUUCUCGUCAAGCUUCAUGCUGAAGAACCUAUCGUCUCGCAGGUGAGGCGUGUCGCACAUACCCCGAAAGUCACUGCAAUAUUCACACUCCCAAUAUUCAUCGUCAGACAUUUCCUGUUUUAAUUUGGUAAAUGUGUAAACAACAACCGUGACACUAUAUCGAAAGAUUUGAACAUCUAUAUAUAAACAUAGGCCACUCGAACAUUCCGGCAAAAGUUAGCACAACUUAGCAAGCAAAAGUGAGAAACUCACUACUUUUUUAUGCAUUAACACCAACAAAAGGAUGAUAUUUAGGUUGGUGAAAUAUGUAUGUGCCCUUUUUCCUCUCCAAAGUUUAAAUGAGUUGUUUGAAACCAUUGGUUGUCUAAUUCAAACCUAAUGUGCCUACUUACAUGAAAUUUACAAACAUGAUUUUUUUUCCUUCUUUCUAGUUAGCCCAUCAAAAGAUCUUCAACAAACAUAUCUUGAUUUUCUUAUUAACAUGCAUCUCAAGAUGACAUCUUGAACCGAUGGCCCUAAAAUCAAAAUGGCAGCGGCCUUGGGAUGCCUAGAGCGGGACGGGAGGGGCAGCGGCGCCUGGAGGGGCGUGGGGGGCUUACCGGAGCGGGAUGGGGAGGGGGCUUACUAGAGCGGGAAAGGGGAAGGGGGCUUACAAGAGCGGGAGGGGAGGGGGCGGCGGUGACGGCGAGGGAGGAGACGGUGACAACGACGACGACGACAGCGAGGGAGGCGGCGACGGGGAGGAGUACGGAGACAGCGACGGCGUCAGGAAAGAGUUGUGCAACCUCACGACGUCGAGGGUUCGUCCGCGUCGCAAGGAGGAAGAAGCUCGAACCGACAAUUUGGACAUCACAAAUUUCCAACUCCCGCUUAUAUAGGCGGAGCUUUGGUCCCAAGUCGUGGCUCGAACAACGACUAAAGACCCCCUUUAGUCCCGGGUCGAGCCACGACCAAGGACUAAAGACCCCUUUUCAGCAGUCGGAGUGGCGGGAAACGAGGGUCUUUAGUCCCGGGUCGUGGCUCGACCCGGGACUAAAGGUGGUCUUUUGUCCCGGUUCGCCACGACCCAGGACUAAAGACCUUAGGCUGGCGGCAGUUCAAAGUUUAGUCCCACCUCGCUUGUCGAGAGGUGCUGCGACUGGUUUAUAAGCCCCGAUGCCCCCAACCGUCUCGAGCUCCUCUCUAAAGCAGGCUUACGGGCCUAAACGCACUCUAAAUUUAAAAAUUGAAAAUAUAUGUGAAAUUAAAAACAAAUCACUUUAAAUUUGGGUUGAAUUUUCUCUAUAAAUUCUCAUAUAGUUUCAAUUUUUUUCCGUUAUUUUUGUUUUGUUGUUUGCUUUAUUUAUUUUGUUUUUUUCUACUUACAUCUAAAUAUUUAGUUUUCAAAGUUGAUUUCUUUAAAAUUUGUGAAUAACUUUACUUUCAUUUUUUGCUAUUAAAAGAUUUUUUUCUCUUCUAUUUUAGUUUUCUAUUAAAGAUUUUAACCAAAAAACUUUAUGAAAAUUCUUACUUUAUUUGGUAUUUUUUGUGCAUUUACUUAUUUUUUUGAGCUAGUUGACCCUGAAAUUGAAAAGCACUACAAAUGAACUCUGAAAUGUUGAAAGUUGGCAUGGUAUCAUCAUUUCACCCACAUAGUAUGUGCUAAAAAGUUAAGAGGGUUUCGACAAAAACUGAAUGCACUUCGUGUACAAAACGGAUAAUCUCUCUCGAAGUAUCACGUUUUCGAACGAGAACUCAUCUAUUACAAAGGGAUUUUAUUUUUUUGAACUUAUUUGAACUCCAUACGUUUUGUGUGUUCAAAAUGCACCAUUCAAAGGCACAUCAGAAAUCUUCAACAAUUUCUUACUUCAUUUGGUAUUUUUUGUGCAUUUACUUAUUUUUUUAGAGCUAGUUGACCCUGAAAUUGAAAAGCACUACAAAUGAACUGUGAAAAUGUUGAAAGUUGGCAUUGGUAUCAUCAUUUCACCCACAUAGCAUGUGCUAAAAAGUUGAGAGAGUUCCGACAAAAACUGGAUGCUCUUCGUGUAUAAAACGGACAAUCUCCCUCGAAGUAUGAGGGUUUCGAACGAGAACUCAUCUAUUACAAAGGGAUUUUAUUUUUUUGAACUUAUUUUAACUCCAUACUUUUUUUGUGUUCAAAAUGCACCAUUCAAAGGCACAUUACAAAUUUUCAACAAUUUCUUACUUCAUUUUGUAUUUUUCGUGAAUUUACUUAAUUUUUUGAAUUAGUUUACCCUGAAAUUGAAAAGCACUACAAAUGAACUCUAAAAUUAUUGAAAGUUGGCAUGGUAUCAUUAUUUCACCCACAUAGCAUGUGCUAAAAAGUUGAGAGGGUUUCGACGAAAACUGAAUGCACUUCAUGUACAAAAUGGACAAUCUCUCUCGAAGUAUUAGCGUUUCGAACGAGAACUCAUCUGUUACAAAGGGAUUUCAUUUUUUUGAACUUAUCUGAACUCCAUAUAAUUUGUGUGUUCAAAAUGCACCAUCAAAGGCACAUCACAAAUUUUCAACAAUUUCUUAAUUCAUUUGGUAUUUUCGUGCAUUUACUUAUUUUUUGAGCUAGUUGACCCUGAAAUUGAAAGGCGCUACAAAUGAACUCUGAAAAUGUUGAAACUUGGCAUGAUAUCAUCAUUUCACUCACAUAGCAUGUGUUAAAAAGUUGAGAGGGUUUUGACAAAAACUGGAUGCACUUCGUGUACAAAACGGACAAUCUCUCUCUAAGUAUCAGGGUUUAGAACGAGAACUCAUCUUUUAAAUAAGGAUUUUAUUUUUUGAACUUAUUUGAACUCCAUACUUUUUGUGUGUUCACAUGGUAUAAGGAAAAGCACUACAAAUGAACUCUGGAAAUGUUGAAAGUUGGUAUGAUAUAAGGAGAAGAAGGAGAAACGACCCCCACAACAACAGUCGGCAUUCUUCUUCUCUCAUAUAUGAUGGACACUCCCUCACCGAUUUUUGGACCGUGGAUGAUGGUCGCUACUCCUACUUCCCCUAGUUCAUUACAAAUAUCUAGCACAAGGAGAAAAAGGAGAAACGACCCCCAUAACAACAGUCGACAUUCUUCUUCUCUCAUAUAUGAUGGAUACUCCCUCACCUGAUUUUUCGAUCGUCGAUGAUGGUCACUACUCCUACUUCCCCUAGUGAAAAACAAAUAUCUAGCACAAGGAUAAGAAGGAGAAGCGACCCCCACAAUAACAGUCGGCAUUCUUCUUCUCUCAUAUAUGGUGGACACCUCCUCACCGAUUUUUCGAUCGUCAAUGAUGGUCGCUACUCCUACUUCCCCUAGUGCAUAACAAAUAUCUAGCACAAGGAGAGAAGGAGAAGCGACCCCCACAACAACAGUCGACAUUCUUCUUCUCUCAUAUAUGAUGGACACUCCCUCACCGAUUUAUCGACCAUCGAUGAUGGUCGCUACUCCUACUUCCCCUAGUGCAUAACAAAUAUCUAGCACAAGGAGAAGAACGAGAAGCGACCCCCACAACAACAGUCGGCAUACUUAUUCUCUCAUAUAUGGUGGAUACUCCCUCACCUGAUUUUUUGACAGUCGUUGAUGGUCGCUACUCCUACUUCCCCUAGUGCAUAACAAAUAUCUAGCACGAGGAGAAGAAGGAGAAGCGACCCCCACAACAACAGUCGGCAUUCUUUUUCUCUCAGAUAUGGUGGAUAGUCCCUCACAAAUCACUCUACUUCUAGAGCAUUUGAAAUGAGCUAAACUAGUAGUGACACAUGAAACGAUGAAGUAGCUAACCUUUCAAAACAAUUGUGCAGUUGGUGCAUGGCCCAACCUAGAAAAAUAUUAAGGAAAAUGGAGCUUGGAGGUCGAGUUUGGAGAGGAGAAAGCUUAAGUAGUGUGACUCGGGCAUUUCAUCGAACACCUCAUGUGCAUGAACUAAAAUGGCAAGAGCAUGGCAUGGGCACACCUCAACACCAAAAAAACAGAGGAGAGGGUGGGCAGGGGUGAGGGCUUAUAUAGGUAACAUAGUAGUCCCGGUUCGAAGCAAAAACCGGGACUAAUAUCCUACCCUUUAGUCCCGAUUCUUGUCACAAACCUGGACUAAUGCUCCGCGGCACGCCAUGUGGCAGUCGCUGGAUCUUUAGUCCCAGGUUUUGCUCCGAACCGGGACUAAUGAGGUGAACCGAACCGGGACCAAUGCCUCGCAUUGGUCCCGGUUUUCGUUUGAACCGGGACUAAUGGUCUUUCAGCCGAAAGAUCAUUUUUCUACUAGUGAAAGCAAGUGAAUCUGGGUUUGAGGUGCAUUAGAUAUAUUCAAGCACGAUGGAGCCGGACCUGUCUACAACAAGGGCAUUUUCAAUAACGUCAUGGAUACCCAACGCCUCCCAAACUCUUUGAAUACGAGCACAAGUGAAGAGGAGGUGCCAAAUGGCCUCUCGUCCUAUUGAACAGAUCGGGCACUGAGGCACGCUUACUGCAGAAUUUAGUACUUCCGUAGAAUUGAGAUCCUAGUACUUUCCACGGAGAAGUACGGAGGUGACAUAGUUGAGACUGACGAAAUCAGGAUUGCCAGCAAUCAACUCCAGCUUUGGCUGUUGGGAAAACGUGGUUCGAAGUCUACCGAUGCCUCCUACUCCUACAACUACAAGUGAUGGCCAGGAAAAAUACAUCAACCCUUCCAGCUGUUUUGAAAUUGAUGGAUAACAAAGAUAGAGAACUGGUCUAGAUUUCAAGAUUAUUGGCUUGCCAGGUGUGCAUAUGCGUGAGAAGAGUAUGGACUGGUGAAAUGGAUGGGAAGAUGAUGCACUUUUCUUUUAUAUACCGUGUCAGAUAGAAGCGUUCCUACUCCUCGAAAGGAGCCGCGGUGUUUAUUUAUAUUGGGCAAAACCCUUGCCUUGGUUUACAAGAAAGGAAUAGAGAUAUGAUUCGUUUAAGGAAGAGAUAGAGAUAGAUUGAGAUUACAACAAUUAUAUAUCUCUAAGUUUAACACCGUCCCUUAAUCUCAACUAUCCUAUAUUAAGAUUCCUCUUGAACUCCUCGAAUGGUUUAACUGGCAAGGCUUUAGUGAACCCAUCUGCGACUUGAUCUCUGGAGGGAAUGAACCGUAUAUCCAACUUCUUCUCUGCAACCCUUUCUCUGACAAAAUGAAAGUCAAUCUCUAUGUGUUUUGUUCUGCCAUGAAACACUGGAUUUGCAGAGAGAUAUGUGGCUCCUAGAUUGUCACACCAUAAACAUGACACACGAUGCUGUUUAACUCCUAGUUCCUUUAACAAUUAUUCAAGCCAAAUGAUCUCAGCAGUUGCAUUUGCUAAUGACUUAUAUUCGGCCUCAGUACUUGACCUGGACACUGUGGCUUGUUUUCUAGCACUCCAAGAUAUAAGAUUAGAACCAAAGAAUACUGCAAAACCUCCUGUUGAUCUUCUAUCAUCACUACAUCCUGCCCAGUCAGCAUCAGAGAAGGCACUAACAAGAGUGGAUUUGGAGUGUUUUACCUGAAGACCCAAGCUCACAGAAUAUUUUAUGUAUCUUACGAUUCUUUUGACUGCAGUCCAAUGUAUGCUAGUAGGUGCAUGAAGAUACUGGCAAACUUUAUUAACAGCAAAAGAAAUGUCAGGUCUUGUGAGUGUCAAGUACUUCAGUGCUCCUACUGCACUCCUAUAUUUUGUAAUCUCCUCUUCUUUCAGUGGCUCACCUUCAAAAGCUGAUAGUUUUUCUGAGGAUGAUAAAGGUGUGGAUGAAGGCUUACAGUCCUUCAUUCCCAUUCGAACCAGAAGUUCAGUGGCAUACUUCUCUUGAUUUAGCACUAUGCCAUCUUGAAUUUUCUUAACCUCAAUGCCUAAGAAGAAAUGUAGAUCACCAAGAUCCUGUAAUGCAAACUCUGAACUUAAAUCAUGUAGGAGAGCAUUGGUGGCACUUUGUGAGGAGCUUGCAACUAUGAUAUCAUCAACAUAUACUAGCAAAAAUAUAGUUGUGUUUGCCUUGUUGUAAAUAAAUAGAGAAGUAUCAGCUUUGGAUGCAACGAAACCUAACCGUUUCAACUGUGAACUUAACCUUGAGUACCAUGCCCUUGGUGCUUGCUUCAGACAGAAUGCUUUAUCAAGCCUGCACACAUAAUGAGGUACCUUUUUGUCAACAUACCCAGGUGGUUGUCUUAUGUAAACCUCCUCUUCCAGAACACCAUGCAAAAACGCAUUCCGAACAUCUAGCUGUCUCAAGCUCCAUCCCCUGGAUACGGAUAUAGCUAACACAAGUCUAAUAGUUGCAGCUUUAAACACAGGACUAAAAGUAUCCUCAUAGUCCAAACCAUAUCGUUGUUUAAAACCUUUUGCAACUAGACGAGCUUUAUGCCUGUCAAUGGAGCCAUCUGCUUUCCUUUUGAUUCUGUAAACCCAUUUGCAAUCAAUGACAUUUUUACCUCUCUUUUCUGGCACAAGAUGCCAAGUCUUGUUUCUCAUGAGCGCUGAGUGCUCUUCAUCCAUUGCAUUUUCCAUUUUGGAUCUCUGAGUGCAUCAUCCAAAUUUGCUGGUUCCCCUACUACACAUAACAUGCCAUAUGGAAUAGUGCCAUCAGUUCGAACCUUUGGAUUUUUUAUACCUCUUUGUGACCGAGUCGUGACAUGAGAAGUUGCAACCGGCUAGGUUUUACUUCUUCGUAUUUGCGCUGGUUGAGGCACAGGAGAUGACACAGCCGUCUCGCUCGCAGAAGAUCCCGAGCCCCUGUGAAGAUCGCCGUUCACAGCAGAUCCGGAGGACGUCUGUGUUGCCUGCGGUGUGGCUGAUGUCCCUGAAGAAAUUGCCGCAGAGGAUCCGCCGCUGCCAACCGCCGCAUGCAUGCGCGCAGGCGACAGAGAUCCCGACGCGGGUCCCACCAAAUCUGUUGUCGCUGUCGCGCCUGGCGCGGUCGGCCCGCUCGUGGGACGCGCCAGUGUCGUGCCUGGCACGGUCGGCCUGCACGUGGGACGCGCUGUGCUCCCGCCUGACGUGGAGCUCGCUGAUUGGUGCGGGGCGAUGGAGGCGCUGACUGGCGUACGGGGUCGCGCGCGCACAAGAGUUCCAGGUGCUGCCGCCGCAGCCAGAUCUUCCUCGUGUUCUGCGCCGCCUUCGUCUUCUUCUGCUGCAUGAAAUAUGGGUGGAAAAUCUACAAAAUUUUGAUCAUUUGCUUCACCGUUUUCUGCCCCGAUUUCUCCUGUAGAAUCCUGCACACAUGGAGACAACUUUCUGGUAAUACAAUCAUCAGUUGGGUUAGUACAAUUGUCGCCCCCAUGAUCGGAAUUUUGGAGAUGUGGUGGAAGAAGAAGGAUGGCUUGUUUGAGAAGGGCUCCGGCGUUGGGAUGGAGAGUUGAAAAAGGGAAAAUUGACUCAUCGAAGACCACAUCUCGUGAGAUAUAGACUCGGCCAGUAGAAACAUCUAGGGAUUUGACUCCUUUAUGAAUGGGACUAUAGCCAAGAAAGACACAAUUUUUUGAACGAAACGCAAGUUUGCGUGUGUUGUAUGGCCUGAGAUUGGGCCAACAAGCGCAACCAAAGACACGAAGUGACUUAUAGUCAGGGGAGAUGCCAAAAAGGCGAGUGAUGGGUGUCUCAAAGUUGAUGACUUUGCUAGGUAGAUGAUUUAUCAGGUAGGUGGCGGUUAGAAAAGCUUCAUCCCACAAUUUUAGUGGCAUAGAUGAAUUUGCAAGAAGAGCUAGUCCUACCUCGACAACAUGGCGAUGCUUUCUCUCGGCUGAGCCAUUUUGUUGAUGUGCAUGGGGACAUGCAACAUGAUGUGAUAUACCAAGCUCUUGGAAAAAGAGAUUUAAUUUUCUGUAUUCACCUCCCCAAUCUGUUUGCAUAGCAAUGAUUUUGGUGUUUAGCUUGCACUCAACAAGCUUUUGAAAGUUCUUAGACAUGAAAAACUUCAAAACGUUUCUUGAGAAGAUAGAUCCAUGUGAAUUUGCUAAAAUCAUCAAUAAAGCUAACAUAAUAUGAGUGUCUGCCGACAGAGGUGGGGGCUGGCCCCCAUACAUCUGAAAACACAAGUUGUAGAGGAGCAGUGGAAAUACUAGUAGAGAUAGGGUAUGGUAGUUGAUGACUUUUAGCUUGCUGACAUGGAUCACAAAUAGACUCAACACUAGACUCAUGAGAAUAAGGAAGAUUGUUCUUGUUAAGAACAAAUUUGACAAUAACUAAGGAAGGAUGACCUAGUCUACUAUGCCACUUUGAUGAAGAGGGCUUGACAGCAGCAAGAGCUUGUUUAUUGGAUGGUGUUGAUGAAGAUAUGAGUGGGUAGAGACCUCCCACACAUUUCCCCCUAAGAAGUAUUUUCCUCGUGUCCAAGUCCUUUAUCAAAAAGAAAUAAGGAUAGAACUCAAUGAGAACACGAUUAUCAAGAGUAAACCUAUGAACAGAAAGAAGGUUUUUUGAUGUUGUGGGCACAUAUAGAACUUUGUUAAGAUGAAGAUUUUUCAUGGGGGUUUUAACAAUUGAACUUCCAACGUGAGUGAUUUUCAUACCAGAUCCGUUUGCAGUGUGGACUUGAUCAUGGCCGCGAUACUUGUCUCUAAUCGUCAGCUUGUCCAGCUCGCCUGUGAUGUGGUUGGUGGCGCCGCAGUCGGCAUACCAGUUGGUGUCGAUGCCGUAGGAGUCUGAGGCGAUAUUGGCCUCCUUGUCCUCAUAUUCAUCUUCCUCAUAGCGAUCCCAGCAUUCACGGGCACCUCCGCGAUGAUGCUUGAGACAGAUCUGGCAUUCGGGGUAGUCUCGGUGCGGUGGACGCUGUUGUUGUUGCUGAGACCGACCACCUCUCCUGCCGUUGCCGUUUGGAGAGGAUGACGAGGGUGAGCGUCUCCCUCGACCACGGCCUCUGCUGCCGCGCCCGCGUCCUCUGCCACGUGACUGGCCAUGCCCUCUGUACGCCAUAUUUGCAGAGGUGUUGUAGCCAGCUUCUGGUCCAUCGCCGAGCAUCUCCACCCUUUGAUCAAAGGCGAAGAUUUGAGCGAAGAGUUCGUCGACGGUGAUGGAGGUUUUGACAGCGCCGAUCGCCGCCACAACCGAGUCGUAGUCACGAUCUAGACCGGCAAGGACAUAGUCCACCAUCUCUGGAUCAGAGACAGGCCGACCUGCAGCAGCAAGUUCAUCGCCUAGGCUUUUCAUCUUGGCGAUGUAGGAGGUGCUCGACAUGGAGCCCUUCUUGGUGGUGGCGAUGGCAAUUCUCAAAUUGGUAAUUCGAGAUUGGGACUGCAAAGCAAACAUGGUGAUGAUGGCAGUCCACAAAUCAAAGGUAUUUUCUUUACUCACAACUUGCGCGAGGAUUUCCUUUGAUAAGGAAUUGAGGAGAUGGCUGAGAACUUGUUGGUCUCUGGCCAGCCACGGUGCCUAUCAUUGUCUUGUCCGUCUGCUGCUGCUCCAUUGUUUCUGCGGGCGCUGCAUCGGAUCCAUCCAGGAGACCGGUGACCUGCGCUCCUCGCAGGCCUGGCAUUACUUGGGCUUUCCAUAGGAGGAAAUUCCCCUUGGUUAACUUCUCGGCGGGCGGCGCUCCAAGGUUUAGGGCGACGGUGACCGAAGAAGAGGACAUGGCGAUCGGUGUUGUCGAUCGAUGGGUUUCUGGUGUGGCUAGAUAGAUGGGAAGAGGUUGGCUUUGUAUACCAUGUCAGAUGGAAGCGUUUCUACUCCUCGAGAGGAGCCGCGGUGUUUAUUUAUAUUGGGCAAAACCCUUGCCUUGGUUUAUAAGAAAGGAAUACAGAUAGGAUUCGUUUAAGGAAGAGAUAGAGAUAGAUUGAGAUUACAACAAUAAUAUACCUCUAAGUCUAACGUACCGGACGAGCAACUAGAAGGAUUGUUGAGCAACUUGCUGUCUCGAUGACCUCGCAGUAACUGCAGUGUUAGACCAUGUGUCAUGCGGACCAGAAGUGAUGUCUCAAUGCAAAAGGAUAAAUGCACCUCUUGCCAUGUCACCUACAUAUGACUACAAAGUAUAAUAUUACAUCCGAGCAUCACGAGGUUUCUUUCCCGCUUCCAAUUUCAGACUUCUUCGUGGGCUGAACACAACCAGCUAGAGUCGAUGAAGUUCCUGACAUUUGGUAUUGACUUUUUUUAAGUCGAUCCAAAGGAUCUUAAGUCGAAAAGAAACUGAACAAUUUACCGGUUAAAUAGUUGAAAACCGAGCAAAAACUGUCACAACAUCCUCGCAAAUACAAUACACUCUGGACGUCCUGACUAUCCACACAACAACAGACACCAUCGAUAAGAAAAGCAUUGUCGAGGCUGCCAUCUGGUAGCAUCCUCAUCACUCCUUCACAAGUCAGCGACUCUGACUCCACCAUCAACGACCAGCAAUGUAGCCAUAAGGGUAAGCAAGUGCCCAGGCAUGGGUAGGCUACAAUCAAAAAGCCAAUGCACAUGUCGGCGACCAGGCAGCUCUUACUAUGUCGGCCAGCGCUGGUUCUUGUAAAUAUUAUUUUAACUUAUUUGCUUGCUAUUUAAUUCUUAGUUGUUAAAAAAGGGGCAAACAGUGAAUUGACCAAAUAAUGGCUACGGCCAGUCAAUGCCCUUCAUUCGCGCAUUGACAAUACCGUGUUUGUUAUUUUUCCUCUUUUACAUUUUUUCCUUCUUCUGUUAUUUAUUUUCUUUCAGGGAUGACUAUUUACAUUCUCGAACGUGAGCUGUGAGCAUUCUUGGUACGGUCACCGCUUUCCAUAUCUGCAUUGUUGAUAAAUUAGCAAUGGAGGAGUUGGGACACCCGGAAAAAGGCCAUUACAUUGUGCGGGGUUGUUAGCUCGAGGUUGUUUCGGUAGAUAUAUACUUAUCGGAAAUCGAUCAUCGAGGAAAUCCUGCAGAGGUAUGUGUCGAAGUCAAUUUCGCAAAGUUCCGCACGCCUCCUACUCCUAUCGUCCGAGAAUGAGAUGAAUUUGUGUUCCGGUGUUCACCUUUAAAACCUCAUGCAAAGAGAGCCUUGGCUCAUUGGUUGGGCAUGUGGUUGUGCAGCCCAACGACCCGAGUUCAAUUUCUAGAAUUGACAGGUAAUGCAUAGGAAGUUUUCUCCCAUUUAUUGAGGAUCAAGUUUGGCGUGUGGUAAAAUUAUUCAUCAAAAAAAGGAAGUGAAAAUCUCUCCCAUUUUUUAAGCUUCCGCUUUUCUUUAUCCAGAUGAGAAACUGCUGGAGCGAUCGCACAUACUCCAAAUCUUUCAACCCACAGGUGUGUUCUCGCUGACGGGAGGGGCCUCCCGCUCCUCCCCACUCCCUCCCCUCCCCUCCCCUUCCCAAUCCUAGCCGCCCAACUCCCUCCCCCUCCCUUCCUCGCCGCCACGUGAGGCAGCCGCCGGGCAAGCCCGGGGCGCCAAGGAUCGUGGCGACGGGGACUUGGCUGCCCUGCCUCUGCGUGGGGAACUCCGGAUCAGAAGCGGCGGCUUCAUAGAUGAGGCACGACAAGCUAGCAGCUGUGCGGGCGGUAGAUCUGGCGUUCGAGCCGCGCGGACGGCGGGAUUCAGUGAUCGUUGGCGGCUGUCGGCGGCUUCUGCGGUGGUCGGUGCGCGCGAUCUGGUGCAUCCCCUCCUCCUAUGUUCGCCGUGCAGGCCAACCUGGUCGGGCCGCGCUUCCUUGGAUCGCCGGUUCUGUACAGGAGGCGCUGCUGGUGAUAGGGAUCUAGUUCGGGCGAAAUCCCUGGCCGGCCGCGUCGACGGUGACGCCUGAGGGCGCCGUUCCCCUCCUUGGAGGCGUUGGCGCCGCUUUGGCAACCUUGGGGCUGGGCGGUGCUUGUGGGUGGUGGGCGACGGCGGUGGUGCGGCCCUAUCCUAGCAUAAAUCUACGUCCGCUGCUUGGAGAUGGACUCGCGUAGGUGGAGGUCGUCGUUUGGCGUCAUGAUGGCGUCGAUGGCGGAGGCACCUGUCAAGGCUGGUACCUCAAUCUGCUCUGAAUAUGAACCAGUGGAAGAUGGUGGCGACGACACAUGUGAGUGUGUCAUACCGGUUUGUGUCCCUGACCCGGUAUGUGGCUCAGUCGGGGCCUCCGGCUUUAGAUGUUAGGCUUAGGUGAGAGGUCUGGGUAUUUGGCUCAACUUGCACCCCUUCAUCAUAUGGAUAAGAGUAGCGGCAAACGUUGUUAACAUGGCGGAUUCAGACAUAUUGUUGUACUAGUUUGUAAGGUCCUCGAGAAUAAUCAAUAAAAUGGUCGCAUGCAUCUCCCAGAUGCAUAGACCGGGGGUCAUCCUCCUUUUCUAAAAAAGAAAAAUCUUUAAAACCUCACAAUAGAAUAUAGAAGAUUAGGAAACCUAUCUAGAUGAUGAACAUUGUGUCAGAUAUGAAGUGUGUGAGGACAUGCGUGAAAUGAGAGCAGAGAAUGAGGGGCACUUUAAAGACCUAGACGGUUGAAGUUGGCACACAGAUCAUAAAUACCGGCCACUUCUUCAUAUUGUGGUUGUCGCAUUUGUGGGGCUAGGCUAUAAAUCAUGGCUCAUUGGUCCACACACAUGUUAGCUAACGAUUCGAUGAGCUACAUAUAUCAACCAAAAUUGAUGAAAACGUCUUUCUUCACUGAAUGAACACAGUCAGAACCUCUAAAUCCAAAAAAAUGUGAACAUCACUUCUAAGUCUGGGAACUAAACCUGGUGGUUAGUAGCGGAGUUAGAAUCAGGUAAGGACCCAGGCAGGCUGCACAGCUACAGUGUAAUACAAUAUGCUACCGUGGACAUUUUGCUACAGUCAACGAAGAAAAUCGUCGCCAUGCCCGAGUCCAAGGCCGUGGCUGCCUGCUCCAGCAUCCACCUCUACUCGGAGUUAGUUCCAUCACAAAAAACCUAACCAUUUGAGCUAUGCUUAGUAUGAACACAUAAAAUUGAUCAUAAAUUGACGGAAACGUCUCCUUUUACUGGGAAAACACCGUCAGAACCUCUAAGUCCAAAAAAAUGUGAGCAUCACUUCUGAGUCUAGGAAUUGAACCCUGAUGGUUGGUUCCACCACAGAUGACCUAACCAUUUGAGCUAAGCUCAGUUCGAACACACAGACUUACUAGUCUAUACCUAUACUAAUUCUAGACUCUCUAGAAAUUCCUACAUUAAUUAGAUUUUAUGGGCCGUUAAUCUGGUGAGACCAAGUUUUAACGGUGUAGAUUACCCAUCUAAUCCUCAGCCAAUUAUUUAGACUCUCCAGAAAUUCCUACGUUAAUUAGAUUUUAUGGGCAGUUAAUUCGAUGGGACCAAGUUCUAACGGUGUAGAUUACCCAUCUAAUCCUCAGCCAAUUAUUUUCUCAACAAUAAUGGAGGCAAACAAACACUUCGAAGAAUUCUAUAUCGGUUACAAAUAUAAAACCCCAAACUAAUAGGAUCCAAACUUCCAUGUCCUCAAUUCAGAGGAAAAAAACAUCACGAUUGAGCCAAAAAAAACACUUUCAAUUAAUUGUGUUUUACUUGGUUGAUCCAAGCUACACGUACAAGGAGCAAUCCUGACCCAACCUACACGUACACAAAUCACGUUGUUAUGGAGUCCAUGAAAAUAUAUAUUUCCUAAAAAUUAGGUCCUUCAUCACUACGAUUGCUCCAUCCUAACUAAAUUUCAAGAUCCUGGGCUGCUACAUUAGCGUACAUCACCUGUUCCUCAAUAUCACGUGAAUAAUCUCAUGAGCAGCCCCUCUCACCGGCGGGCUCCCAUUGACCGAAAUUGCUGCCGCCGUCCUCUCGCCUUCAUCCAUCCAUUGCUACCAUCCUUCAUCUUGCCUCCCUCGCCGCAAGCCAACAUGCCGGGCGUUCUUCUCCUCGGCGUAGAUUGAGGCAUCGGUUUCCUCUCGACAGGUGCAUGUAUGCAUGUAAUGCGCUUCAGCAGUCAUCGUUUCUUCUCUCAUCCAGCGCACCAGGUAGGGUUAUCUAAGCUCUAUCUCCACUCUAGCACUACCGAUCAUUAGGCACUCCUUUCCCUUUUGUACAACAUCAAGACAUAUUGUACGUUAAAGGUACUUUAUUGGUGGCAUCAAGUGGUUUACGUAGAUCUGGGAGUAGUAUUUCCUCGCAAUUUCAGUUGAAGUACUCCUUUGGCUUCGAUAUAAUCGGCUGUUAUUUGUGCUGGUAAUUUGAGUUCCAAAUCACUUCUUUUGUUUUCAUGCCAGCGACAUGUUUAGAUGGUGGCUUCAUCCGUAAGAAUUCUUCUUCUUUUUAGGCAAAAUUUCAUGAGUUAGAAUUCAGUAAUUGUGUUCUGUAUUUGAUUCAUUCAUGAUUUCGCUUGCAGGUUAAAUUAUCCAGGCACGAAUUUAAUGGUUUUUUGUGUCCGGUUCCUUCAAACAAUGGAGGGUUGUCAAACAUUUUAAGUAGUAUAGCUGAUGGCCAUCCGUAAGAAUUCUUCUUUUUAGGCAAAAUUUCAUCAGUUAGAAUUUAGUAAUUGUGUUUUGUAUUUGAUUCAUUCAUGAUUUCGUUUUUGGAAUUGCAAAGCACUUUGCCUAUUACGAAGUCCAAAUUAGACUAAUAUUUAGUAACUGAUGAUUACUCUAUUUACAGAUUGUAAACCACGUUUCCACUGCAAGGAAGAACUCCAUUUGCUGCCAAGGAGAAAUUGGUAAAAAUAUCUUAAUUAACUUGGCAGGAAGAAACGUAGCAUGACAGGGCUUGCUUGUUGUUGCCGAGAAAUGCGUACAAUCAAUUGAUUUACUUGCCAGGAAGAAACAGUCUGUGGCGGGUGAUUUAAACCUUUAAGCCUUAUAUGACCUAAUUGGAUCUCGCUAUAAAAGUCUAAAUAGAUGUAGAAGAAUGGAUGGGGAGCUCUCAAGUCGAAUGCCAAUCAUGUUUUUGCUAUUAUAUACAUUCGAAUCAUACAUCCAGUUGGGAAAUAUGUUGUAAUCUAAGUUCUUAUAUGUACAUCAGUCCAUGUGAUCAAGGAUAUCAUCAUGUACUGCAACUUCAAGGCUUCUUUAAUUUUUGUAAACUCGCCAAUGUAUCAUAGUGGUGCAAAAAUAAGUCUUCUAUCUUCGUUUAAGAAAAUCUCCAGAAAGGAUGUAUACUUGCCGGAUCAGAAAAGCAAGUCCCAAAAGGACCGAUUUUAGAGACCAUGUGAUUAUACGAUUAUGUGUAUGAAAGUAUUAUAUCAUUUUUCUUAACAUGUCUUCAUUUAUAUAUAACUCAGAUUCCUUUUUGCCAUACAAAAUAUGUUUCUGCAUACGACAACCUGAACAUAUCAUCAUAUGCAAAUAUAGGAUGGUUAAAUUAUAGGAAACUUGGUUAUACGUAUAUAUAGUUUUUGAGAGUCUGUCAAAUUCCAUGCUGAAACAAUAAUUCAGUUUUCUAUUGUUUAUAUUGGAUUAUGAUGAAAGUUAUAUAUUUACAGGCACAUGAGGAGACUUAAACUCGAGACAAUAGACAUGUAUCCUUUGCCAAUGCACCUCAACGUAUAAGUCAAAAUGGCAUGUGAAUUAAUGAAGUCUCAACGAGCUAAAGGAAAUCGCCAUUACCAUGGAAGAUCAAUAUUUUUGUUUUCAACUAGAAACUUACUGUAACAAAUUAGAAGUGAUUGGAAAUUUAACAUUUUGAAAAGUCUGAGGAGCCGGUAACCAAUUACGGUGCUACUAAAAUAUAUUAGAAAAUUGCAUGUAGUCCACAAUGAUAUAUAGUAUUACCAAAAUAUAUUUAUGUUUUAUAUAAACUAGGCCGUGCGAAUGCACGGGUUGACGACUAGUCUAUUUUAAUGCUGGACCUUUGCGCAAGAUUGCUGGCAUUCUAUUCUCCACAACAAAUUGAGAGGCAUUUCAUUCUAUAAUUGAAUUAUGCAAGCAAGUCACAAGCUACCAACCAAGAUUGCUAUUGAUAUUCUAAUCAUGGGUUGCUGGGACAUUUGGUCGCAACCCAAUUUAAAACUCUUGGCGAUACAAUUUGCAGCAUGAGCUAAUUUUGGGUGGCCAUGGCGUGAAUAUUUUUCUUUUAUUUUUAGUUCAUUAUUUUAUUCUUUUAGUGAACAUAUUUUACUGGAUAUGUCCCAUCAUUUGUGCGUAGGAAACAAAUUACGUGGAAAGAUCAGGUAGAUUGAAGGGAUUUUUUGUUGAUCGAAGCCCGGCGAAUCCAAACACAAGCCUUAGUUUUUUUUUAAAGGGAUGACCUGAGGCCUUUGCAUCUAAACGAUGCAUGCAACCACAUUAUUAAUUAUUAAUAAAGACCUUACAAAGCAAUAUAUCAUUAAUUUUGAAGCCAUAUCUUGAAAAUAUCUGUUGCUACUCCUAUCAAGUUGACGAAGGGGUGUCGAUAGUCUCAGCCGAAAACCUUGUAUACCAAAGCCUAAGAUCUAAAAUUGAAGGCCCCAACCAAGCCGUAUAUUGGGUAUGGGCACACAGAGGUCCGAUGCAUUCUCACUCGCCGUCGUUGCCGUCUACCAACGAUCAUUCUUUAGAGUAGGUACUCACGCAUCCACCUUGCAAGUCCUAUCAUCGAUGCCACCAGAGCAAAACGACACCACCUACAUAUGUGCAUCCGUCACCACACAUCCGUCGCCGAGAACCUAUUACGCCACACCGUCAAGAUUCCACAUUGCCGAUGUGUCACCUGAAACACCGCUCCACCGCAGAAACCGACCCCUAGUCCCUCGUACCAGUGCACACCUCCAAGAAUGACAAGCCCAAAGGGGCAACGACACAAGAGCGUCGCAGUAAUCCGAUCAACUGACCUAGUGUUUCCCGCGAAGGUAGAAAAUAGAAGUGUGGAGCUUCUCCAUGGCGAUGCCUUCAGGAAGGGGCCAACACAUAAGAGUGUCGCCAUCGUUGCUCUUGGCAAAUAGCCGAGAGCAAGGUUGUUAUCUGGAUUUGCUCGACGAACCUCCAUCUAGUAGCGUGUGCACGGGCGCCAUCGGUCUCUACCGCCACACAAAGGGCAGGUUGCACCGGCCAGAUCAGACCUGACCGAAGGCCAUAGCACGCAUGCCGCCAACUUAUCCACCAGACCAUCCAUCCGCCAUUGCCGAUCCAAAACCAGAUGGCGUGCUGCCGCAUCACUGGCCAGCAUCGCCACCCGAACUCCCACAGUCGCCGCCGCUUGCAGCAGCCAUCGCCUUCGUGCCGUCUAGAAUGGAUCAGUCUCGCCACCACACGUUUUGGGGGCCCAUAGCACCUCUUCAUACGGGAGAGAGGGAGUCCCCAGCCACUGCCGUCGGCCCCCGAGCAGCCCGGCAGUUACAGAGGGAGGGGAUGAGGAAGCUCGCACCCCCUAUACUACACAUGUGGAUCACAUGUCCAUUCUAGUAAUUAAACUCAGAUCAUUGAGUUGUACAAUCACAUGCCUAACCAGUGAGCUAAUGGGUAGGCAGGAGCGUUAGUGAUGUGAACCCAUAGCCGACUAUGGUCGACACCGGCGCACAAAGCGAUACUGUCCGGCCUCGUAGGUUCCUUGUAGACUGCUUGCCCGCAUUUUGUUUGUUUGCAAUUCCACGUUCAUGCCUAAUUGCUCAUCGCUUGUACCGAGUAAGGACUUCAUCGGGUAACCCACGUGGGUCCGGAUCUUCAUCGGGUCAGCAAUGUGUUCAUUGGCGCAAACCGCAACAGCACCGUACCGGGCGAAGCAAGCACCAAGGAUUCAGCUAGAACGGCUGGACUGGUGUCUCCCACAGUGCUUGUCUAAGAUACAACGUGGUUCGGUGGUAGCCCUCUGCUAGAAUAAUUCGAGGCACUCCGUUGAUCAUCCGAGAACCAAGCAAUCACACGAGCACGCCGAUUGCUAACGAGGUUCACCGAUGUAGCUACAUUCCCGGGGACUGACUAAGGGUGCUUUUUCCCGUGACACCGUCACAAUACCGCACCCUGGCCGCCUGGACGCCGGUACAAGCCGCCGGCUCCCGCGCGUACCUGUGCUAUUAUGUUUGCAUACGUUACAUCGUGUGUGUCUAUCUUCGCAUUAUAUAAGAGGCAUAAGGGUACAGGUGUCCUAAUAGGACACGAGUCCUACCUUGUCUACACACCGUACGACUCCAAGUCCAACUGUAACCUACCUUGUAAAAUAAUAUUCGACACAACACUAACAAACUCCACCUUGGCGAAUAUUCUCCACCACCUUGGAUUCGUCCAUGCGUCAAACCUCCAUGUACAUUGGACUUGAGAUACGUCAUGAGCACCACUGCUACUCCCAGACUCCAUGUGACUCCACCUGCAACUGUAGUCCCUUCUCGUCUUCUUCACAGUCAACCCUCGAGUAAAGUUAAGUCCCUUCUCGUCUACUUUGUGCUUCCAACUUCCGAAGUAUCCGUUCAGCGCCAUCACACAUUGAUCACUGACCUGCGUGAAAGUGAACAAUCCACAUAUUGAAGCCACAUAUAAGAGUUACCUUAACUCAACAUCCUUGCUCUUUCUUGACCGUUGGUAUGAAACGUGAAGGAAUUUCACCAUCGCCUUGUGUCACCCCGAGUCAAAUUCACAGUUGUCUCAUCCUUUUCUCGAAUAGUCUCUUACAUGUCCCACAGCUAUAGCACUCCGCCUCCUUCUGUACUUGUCAUCCGCACUUUGCCAUGUGCACUAAACCCCAAAAAAUAUACGGCCAUGUACUCUCUCCGCUUAUAACAUUUUAGACUUUCCAUCACUUUUUCAGAUUCUCCAUGGUCAACUCUCGUCCAUCAACUAGCACCGAUAGACCGAGUCACCAACUUCAUUCUGGUACUCAUCAACACUACUUCAGCACCCUAUACACAAUUUGUGUGACAACAUGUCUGAUCACUAGUGUCUUGGUCUGUCGAUGUGUCCCGUGCUUACCGCACGCCUCGCUGCUAUCAUCGGGUCGAGCCUCUGCUGUCCUGGUUGAGUCUCCAAGGUCGCGAACCCACACCACCGAUCAUCACCGACUGGUCCCGAGUAUCACGUCUCCAUCAGACCACUGGUACCCAGUCCGAUCGAUGUCUCUCUCGCUAUCCGCUGAAAUAGGCUUUGACUCUCCAUGCAUUUACGCCGUAGCCCCUCCAUCAGCACAGAAUGAAAUCUUCCACUAGACUCCAACUCCACCUUCAACAUGACUCCAUGUAGCUGGCCAUGCUACCCCACGCCCUGUCGACUUCAAGCUCUCAUAUGUACACAACCUUGAAUCACCCCCGUGCCAUAGCCCGUCGAAGCCACACAAGCCCUCAUGCAUGCACCAUGUGUUUCCACGCCCCAGAAGUUGGCCACCAUCAGCAUCACGCUCCUAUGUCGUCGUUGCUGAAAUCACCGCCAUCUUCUACUUGGACCGGCAUCCCCGUCGAUCCGUUAGACUUUCCAGUCCGACCCAGCCAAAACCAUGCUCCACCCUACGUCUUGUCCGCCCCUUCAUGCAUUGCUUGAUGCCAUGUGUAUGCAUGAUCCCUCAUGAUGCGCUCCUGUAACCCUAUUCGCACAUCAUCAGUCUUGUUUCCCCUUUAUCUGCCAUGUCAAACCACACCACCUGCAACCAUCAUGUCUUUUUUCCCAACGUACCAUGCAAAGAACACCGGAAGGAGUCUCCUUUUUUCAGUCUUUUUGUACAUGCAUGUAGCAGCGAGCUCAAGCUCACCUUCAUGCAUGCAGCACACGAGACUUCCUUUGACCAUUUUCUUGUCCUCUACUUUUCCACGCUAUAGAUCAAUCCGAUGGUAACCAGAACUCCAUGUUCUAACACGUAGCAGCUCUCUUGAGAAACGAAACCUCUUUUUUUCUUAACAAGUUAUGACGAUAUGCUUUAAAUCUGGCUUUCUCAUGCUAUCCUGGUUCAACAUUGCAGCGCCCCAGUCUUGCCUGCACACGCGUGUACCUGAGCCGCAUCAGGCCUUCCCCUUGCACUCGUCGCACCAGCUGCCUGCUGCCUUCAACCUCCAGGGCCUUGCCACCCACCUGGGCUGCACCAGGUCACCACGCGUCGCCUUUGACCACACGCACCAGACGUCCGCGCGUGCUGCACCCCGUGAUUCGUCAGAUCGAUCUCCAGCCGUCGUGCGCUACGUCACGUCAUCAGUGGACAAGAUCCAAUCUCGAUCGUUCUCGCCGAGUCCUCUGGAAAACGCAGCCGUCGCUUCGGAUUGAUCUGCUACUCGCACCGCAGUCUGCGAUCGCUUUGAUUUUUGAUGCCGAUGCACACAACGCACAACAUGUCUUCGUCCGGACCAGCCCCGUGAUCAACAAUGAACUUUCUACCCCAUCCGAUCUUUUGCUUCCGCCACUGACGGUGUCGACCGCACAUAGAGCUCCAUCCAUCCUUUAGAUCAACAAACCAUGCUACUUCGAACCUUUCUCAUGAUCCACUUGUUAGAAUAAUCGGAGACACUCCAUUGAGGACCAAGCCAUCACACGAGCAUGGCACCGAGAUUUGUUAACGAGGUUCUCCUCCCCGUUACGGGCGCUCCUCCCCGUAACAUCGUCACAAUACCGCACCCUGGUCGUCCGGACGCCAGUACAAGCCGCCGGCUCCCGUGCGUACCUGUGCUAUUAUGUUGGCAUAUGUUACAUCGUGUGUCUACCAUCUCAUUAUAUAAGAGGCAUAAGGGUACAUAUGUCCUAAUAGGACAUGACUCCUAUCUUGUCUACACACCGUACUACUCCAAGUCCAACUGUAACCUACCUUGUAUAAUAAUAUUCGACACAACUCUAACACCCUAGGUGAGCACAGCCAGCAUAUCCUAAUAACUUUCUGAUCCCUCCUACUCCUACCGCACAGUGGACGACAUUGACUACACAUUUUUGUUGAUUACUUAGAGCAGAUAAAGAUUGGAUUACAUCGAUCAAGAUAUGUGUUUUGGGUUUUGGGAUAGUAUAGGAUUGUGUUUGUGAGGGUCCGAGAGAUGAGUGAAGAGUGGAGAACCAGCUGGGAAAGGGAUGCUCUUUAAAGAUAUACUAAUGGUAACAGAAAGGAAGAAAAGUCACUUGAAUCACUAGUAGAAAUAAGGGUUUUUGUCCUAGCUCCAAAAACACAUUAGUCCCGGUUUCAUUACGAACCGGGACUAAUGUUAGCAUUAGUCCCGAUCCGAGCGGCAAAGACGCCGUUCGGGCAUUAGUCUCGGUUCAAAUGGGUGUCUCGAACCGGGACUAAAGGGUUUGGAGGCUUUAGUCCCGGUUCGUUUCUUGAACCGGGACUAAACGGUAGACCUUUAGUCCUGGUUCGUGACACGAACCGGGACUUAAGGGGUUCAGAUUUAAUUUUUUCUGUUUUUAAAUUUUUGUUUCUAGUUUCUGUUUUAAAUUGCUUAUAUCUUUUAGGAUAUUUGAUGUUUUUAUUGAUUCUUUUUUGCAUUAGAUUCAAAAUUUUGUCUAGUUUCUGUUUGUGCCAUUAGUUUUCAAAUUUGAAUGGUUUAGAUUUGAAUUUGUUCAAAUUUGCUUCAAACCCAGUUUUUGAAUAACUUGAGUUUACAAAUAGUUUUUAAUUUAAUUCUUUUUGCUCCCACUCAUGUGUUAGAUUAUUGUCACAGUAAGAUUUAUUUGAUUAUUUUUACAAUAAUUUAAAUUAGGAUUUUAAUUAAAACAAUAUUGUUUUGCUUAUAUAGUUGUUUUAGUUAUUUAGUUGUUGUUUUUUAUUAUUUUUAGUUAGUUCUUUCUGUAGACUUUAACAUGUUAUAGUAUGGUGCAUAUUGAAUGCACAAAAAGUCUAGAGUUGAAAUAAUUUUAAAAAAAAUGCCUUUGUAGCAGAUGGAUUUUCGUGUGAAACCUUAAUACUUCGAAGGAGAUGAUCUAGUUUGUACACGAAGUGUAUCCAGUUUUUGUCGUAACCCACUCAACUUUGUAGCACAUGGUAUGUGGGUGAAAUGAUGAUACCAUAACAAGUUUCAGCCAUUUCAGAGUUCAUUUGUAGCGUUUUCCAAUUUCAGGGUUAUUUAGCUCAAAAAAAAUAAGUAAAUGCAUGAAAAAUACGAAAUGGAGUCUGAAAAUGUUGAAAAUUUAUGAUGUGGCUUUGAAUGGGGCAUUUUGAACACACAAAAGUAUGGAGUUCAAAUAAGUUUAAAAAAAUAAAAUCCCUUUGCAAGAGAUGAGUUUUCGUUCGAAACCGUGAUACUUCGAAGCAGAUCGUUCAGUUUGUACACGAACUGUAUCCAAUUUUAGCCGUAACCCUCUCAACUUUUUAGCACAAACUAUGUGGGUGAAAUAAUGAUUCCACGCCAAGUUUCAACAUUUUCAGAGUUCAUUAUAGUGCUUUCAAAUUGCAGGGGCAUUUAGCUCAAAAAAAUCAUUAAAUGCAUGAAAACUAGCAAAUAAAGUUGGAAAGGAUUAACUCUGGCUUGGUUAACCUUAGACGAGAACUCUGUCGGGGACGGUGCUAGCAGGUGUAGUCGACCGUUAUGAUUGGACUCUUGGCUAAAGGGGGAUUCUAAAAUUUUCAAACUCCCCCCCCCCCCCGGCCCACGUGGACCAUCUUUUUUUUUGUAGAAAAUAAACAAAAAUGAUAAAAUCUUCAAAACAUAAAAUCCUUUGAGAUGUAGUUAGGUUUUAGUAUCUAGUUGGUACAGAAAUUUGGAGAUAUGAAUUUUGACCGUUUUUGCAAAAAAAGGAAAAAAAAUGUAAAACGGCCAUAACUUUUGCAUACGAUGUCCAAAAAAAAUGUUUAAUAUAUCAUAACAAAACUAGAGAAAAAUCCGGACUCGAUUUCAUCCGGGAUUGCCCGGUGAAGUUUUCUCAGAUGCUGAAAAUUCCAAAUGUAAAAAAGUUAUUUCAAAAAGAAGGUUUUUUCCAAAAAAAAUAAGAAAAAAUAAUUUUAUUUAAAAAUAUUAGGUUGUUUUCAUUGAAAUUCACUAUUAUUGUUAUUUAUAAGGUUUAUUUUAAUAAUUGUUUGUAAUUCAAAAAAUUAAAUCACGUGACAUGACAUCAAGACCCAGGUUGUUUAGGAUUAAUAGCUUACUAUUGCCAUAUAACCAGAAAGUUAAGCAUGUUCGGGCUAAAGCAGUGAGAGGAUGGGUGACCGUCCAGCAAGUUAGACGAUUUUGAAUGAGUGAUCCACGCUAGAGCAGUGAGGAUGGUUGAUUAGAGAUUAAAUUAUCAAAUAAUUCAAAGAUUUAAAAAUUGGAAUAAAACAGAAAAACAAAUCAAAAAAUAUUUAUAAAUAAAAUUUGAUUUUUUUUCUUUUCGGGUCAAACAAACAAAAUAAACAGACGGAUCUUUUAGUACAUGAAGAGCCAUUAGCCCCGGUUCUAGGCUAAAGGUCCUUUUUCUACUAGUGAAUACAUCUGAUCAACCCCGAAGAUGUGCAAGCCGCCAUACAUUCUAUAAAGUGAGUAGAAUCAACACACCGUCCCGGAGCAUGUCACUAGUUAAGAUGCUAGUUAUUUACAGUAGAGUUAGGCCUUGGUCAAAACAAAAAAUAUGUUCAAACACCACCGCGUCUUCAUGACCAAGAAAAUGAGCUAGACCGAAAAUAACAAUCAUAGAACGAGUUUAGGCGCAGUUUGACACGUCAUGGAUGUGUGUUGUUUGUUGCGUAUCACGCAUGAAAAUGGAUUCAAUGUCUUCAUUGCUAACAUGCAUAUUAAAACAAAUUAUUUUGGGAUCCCGCUCAUAGGGACGUCGCAGGAUAUGGUAGCCCGUGCAGGAGAGAUGGGUUCUUCGAACAGAUCUGGAUGAAAGCUUGCUUUCGGCUACUGCCAAGGCCGGCGAUGGCGACGCUGUCUACGUCGUUCCCUUCCUGAAGGCAUCGUCAAGGAAAAGUUCAAGACCACUCUCUACUACCUUGGGGGAAACACUAGAUCAGUAGAUCGGAUGACGGCAACGCUCUGGUGUCGUUUUCCGCUUGGGGGCGUCAUUCAUGCAGGUACACACGGGCUCGAGGGGCCAUUGGUCGGCAUCUACGGUGGAGCGGCGUUCCCUGUAACACAUCGACAUCGUAGAGUCUCGGCGGCGAGGCGCAGCAAAGUCUCGACGACGGAUGCGUGAUGAUGAGCGCGCGUAGGGAGGAGGCACUGUCUGGCGCCAUGGGGGCAUCGACGGCACGCCUUGCAAGGUCGAUGCGUCAGUAACUGUUCUGAGGAUGGAUUGAUAUAGAAGGUGGCGGCGGCGACGACAUAUGAGGGUGCGUCGGACCGGUUUGUGCCCCUGACCCGGUAUCGGCUCGAUCGGGGCCUCCGGCUUUAGAUGUUAGGCUAGGUGAGAGGUCUGGGUAUGUGGCUCACACUUUCUGUACCCCUUCAUCAUUGGAUAGGAGUAGGGACAGAUGUUGCCAACAGGACCGCUUCAGACAUAUUAUUUUAUUGCUUUGUAAGAUCUUUGUGAAUAAUUAAUAAAGUGGCUCCAUGCAUCUUGUAGAUGCAGAGGCCGGAGGUCAUUCUUCUUUUCUAAAAAAGCAAAUUGUCUGCUCGAAAGGACAAACCCUAGCUAUAUAUGUGCGUUAUUAGUUCCAUGCCAUGCACAAUUUCACGAGCUCCUCCAUGGAUUUACCAUUCUAGCGAAGGAAGAUAAAUCGAGGAGACUAGAGCACCACACCUUUAUUUUCAGAUGUGAUAAUCACAGGCAAACAUGCAACACUGUACAAAUAAGGCAACUGCCCCUCGAGUCGAUGAAAUUUCUGACAUUCCUGUUUUGAGUUUCCAUGUAGAGUACUAUUUGACAGGUAGCCAGACAGAAGGAAACUAAAAUUUCGCUUAUUAUCGAAACGGGAAAUAAUUAAGAAACAAUCACUUCUUAAUUCCGCUGAAAUACAGUACAGUAUGUGCACCGGCAUCCACCUGCAUCACAAUCACCAACCGCGCCAGGGCCGACGUUGGUUUGACAGUUGUGAAGACACGUCUUGGGGUUACACGGCCCAAGGAUGACAGGGGUCUGAUGGCAGUCUUCAGGGAUUAGCGAGCCGCCGCCAUUAGCCGUCGCUUGGAUCACCACAUCUACAUGUUCGUACAAGCACAUAAAGAUUGCAGAGAGAAAAUGAUAGUGGAAGGUUCUCCACAAAAAAAUCAUCGCAGAACAUGCAGCAAACGUACGUACCUGAGGAGAGCAGCGUUACAAGGGCAAGCGCAAGUAGUAGCAUCUUGUAGAACGACCUCAUCCUGGCUUGAUGCUGGCAGGCUGAGAGAGAGAUAUUUUUUUCGCUGGGAGGUUAAGCCAAUCUUUGCAGAUAUGCCUGGCUGCCUGCUCUGUCAAUAGGGCCUUAGAUGGCUUUUAUAAUGGACAUAUAUGCAUGCAAACAAGUGUUUGAUUUCUUUACUUUUGUUCUAACGUUUAAUUACAGUAAAUCACGGGCGCUCUUUUGCUAUCCUAUAAAUGUGCAUGUUGUAAUACAGCUGUUUAUUUAAGGGGAAGACAGCUAUUGAAAUAUCUGCACAUAUAUUGCUUACAGCUCUUAUAUAUAGUAAAAAGGCAAGUCAAUAACACCCAAAAUACACAGCUCAUCUACUGAUGGCAUUAUUAAUUGUGCAUAUAAUCGUAAAUUGAUUGUCUUGAAGGACGAAACAAGAAUCGGUUUAUGGUAAACUUCAAGGCAAUCAAUGUAGGAAUAUAUUCAUCUUUUUUUGCGGGUGAAUAUAUUCACAAUCAAUAUAAAUCUUUACAGAAAUAUGCAUAUAUUGUUUACAUAUCAGUAAAAAUGUUAACAACAUUGGUAGAUGCAAAUUACUUUAUUUUGGAAAAAAAUGUAAAGCGGGUUGUUUUUGGCAAGGUAGUCAAAAUUCCGAUCGUAUCGUGAUUCUACAUUAUGAUGUAAAUCGAUUGGAUAUCCACAUUUUCACAAUCCUACUCGAUAUGAGCUAAGGAUUUGCAAUUUUACCAUAAAGGAUCCGAUCCCAAAUCGCGAUACUGGCUAUCUUGGUUUUGGUAAGCUUCUACUACCUUGUCAAUGAAUACAUAAUUUCUUCCCAAGAUCAAUUAAUUUAUGAGGAAGGAGUACCUAACAAGUCUGCAUGGUCAUGUGUGUGCGUGCUUCUAGAUAUAUCCGACGCGUGCAGCCUUUUAGGCCACUUAGGCACGUUUAGGAAUUCGUCCAAGUUUAGAUUAAAUAUUCAGGAAUCCGUCCAGCACCAGGAUGCAUUUUGGCAUAUUUAAAGAAAUUUUGCCCGCGUGGCGGUUUGGCUUGUUCUUGCUGUUCCUUUUCUUUUUUUACUACUAGUACAAAUGCCCGUGCGUUGCACCGGGCUAGAAAAAAGUGCAAAACUUAUUUGUUUUACCAUUAUGUGGCAUUAAUUUUAAUAAAUGUCAAUUAUAAUGUUAAAUGUAAGACAUCUAUUUUUGGACGGAAGGAGUUUCUUUUAAAGUUUUAAAAUAUAAUGUAAUGCUUACAUAAAAAUUGAAUUACUUUUUUAGUAAUAAUUAUCAAUUUUAUUGAGUGGUAAUAAUGGUUUGGCAAAUACAGUACUACCGAGCAAGGUAAAUUUUGAUCUUGUCAUCCUUCCAGGCUAACCAAAUUAGGCCGCAGCGGGCACCUAGUUCAGAAGACACCACAUCACAUAUUUCUUAGCUUGAAAUUGAUAGGCAACCCAACAUUAAACGAACCAGGAGCAGAAUCAGACACACACAGAGAGAAAUCUGAACCCGAACCUCGACCUCACUUCAGGUCUGAAGUGAGUGAGUGAGGUCUAAAGUGAGGGUUGAGCGCCACAGGUAAAUUCAGACCACAGGGUUCUUAGAUCUAAUCAAUUUCAAACGUUCUGUAAAAGCAGAAAACUGAACUAAUGGCCACGACAAAUGUCAGAAGUGGAGAAGCAACCCGACCCGAGGAGCAGAGAAGAGGAAAUGAUGCUUCAUGGUAACGAGGCACAUAACGUAAGCGUAGCAAAUAGUUUACCAUGAGAAGAGGAAGAGCAUGAGGGCGCAGGCACGGGAGCCCCCCGGCUUGAGCCCGCGUCCGCAGCAGAAGCACCGGCUGGCGAGCAUGACGACGACCUGCGCGGCGGUGAGGAGGAGGAGCGCGCCGACGCCGUAGCCGGUGGCGACGUCGGAGUCGUAGACGCAGUAGUCGUACUCCUUGGCCAGAUCCGGCGUCACCGUGGCCUGCACACCAUUUUGCGUCAACUGAUUAAUCAGCGGGGCCAGGGCGGUCGCGAGAUCAGGCGAGCGAGCGAGCUUCUGGGCGUGCAGGUGUAGGUGCAGGGCUUACCUUGCUGCGGUGCUGCUCGGCGGCGACGGCGAGGCCGAAGGCGAAGAGGUUGAGGAGCAGGGCGGAUACCUGCACGAUGAUGGACGCCAUUGCUCCCUCUCUUUGUCUCUUUGUUUCCUGGGUUGCUUGCUCUGCUGGGGAAAGUGAGGUGUGGAGGACGACGGGACCCAGGGCGAUGCGCGGCAAGCAGGGAAGUGUCGGCGCCCGGCACGGCUCCGGUGGCCGACAACGAGGCGGGCAGGACCGAUUGAGGAGGCGCGGAUGGGGUUCUCCGACCCAGACCCGGCGAGAUCCAGCUCGCGAUGGGGCCGACGGGGCUCCACGGGAGGCGAGCUCGGGGCGGUUGAUCUGCCGAAGGAAUUCGGCUGAUGGCGGCGCGGCAGGACGGCGAGCUCGGAAGCUCGGCUGGGCGCGAGAGGCGCGGGAUCCGACGACUCCCGGCGGCGGGGCUCCGGCUGGCGAGGGAGGUCGAGGAGCGAGGAAGGACGCCACGACCCAGACGAUGAAACGUUUUUUCCACUUAUUAUAGGACUGCGGGUUGAUUUCUAAGAAAAAGAGGGGUUGUUUUGCAAAAACGCCAGCGACGGACGACAUAAGCGCUCCGAAGGUGUGCAUGUGUGGUUAACGAUGUUUUCUUUCCUCUCAAUUUAGUUUUAAUUUAAUGGAUAUUUAUUGCAAUUCGUAUGGUCGCCAGAAAGAAAGAAAAAAAAAGACCAUGCACUACAGAUUAAGUUUGCACCAAAAAUAAUAUUUAAGAAGUAUUCAACACCUAAAAAUAACAUUCUAUUUAGAUUCUACACAUUUUUGCAAUGAAAUUUCAUAUAUAACAUGUUAAAAUCAGAGUUACGGUUUAAAAGAUAUGGAUAAUUUUGUUUUAGAUAAAAUAUGGAUUGAUUAACUGAGGUCGGCCGCGGCGGCGAGUGGUGUGGCAGCGGCCUGGGCAUAGGCUAGGGUGGACCAGGGUCGACGCGAUGCGCUCGAGCGCCGCAACGGGGGCAGUGAGCGGGGAGAGGUACGGCCGCGGAGGCGGGUGGGUUGACAUCGGCAGCGGUGGCGGUUGAGGUCGGCCACGGCGGCGAGUGGUGUGGCGGCGGCCUGGGCACAUGCCAGGGUGGACCAGGGUCGACGCGAUGCCGCAAUGGGGGCAGUGAGCGGGGAGAGGUACGGUCGCGGAGGCGGGUGGGUUGAGAUCGGCAGCGGUGGCGGUUGAGGUCGGCCGCGGUGGCGAGUGUUGCGGCGGCGGCCUGGGCACAGGCCAGGGUGGCCCAGGGUCGACGGGAGGAGGCGAUGCGUACGGGUAUAAUUUUUACAGCGAAUCGUUUUUUCUUUUGCGUUGAAGAUAAAUGAUGGAGCGCGGGUUGAAUAACAAAAGUUAUGGAAGCUUUUUUAUAAAAAUAUCGCGGUGGGUUUUUCGACGGAAGCAAUAGCCGCUUUAUUAUUAGGUAUAGAUUUUGCCCGCGCGGCGGUUUGGCUUGUUCUCGCGCAAACAAGCUGUGUUUUUCGCUUCGAGUAAUUCGUCUGGUCUGUCUUGUCAUAGUCGUACUCCAACCCCUGGGUGCAUUCCAGGACGCCUAAAUUGUUGUCCUUGACCGCAACCUUCGAAAACAGCUUAUAAGCUUUGAAACUAACUAUGUGCCGUGGCUAGCUCCAUCUUUCGCAUCUGCUGCAUCUUCUUGCUUGCUUGCUUCUCACACCGAAAGCUGCAAACAAGGUUUCCAGCUAGCAUACGGGGUGCAGCUAUAGUUCUCCCAAGUACGUAAUACACAUGCUAGCCUUAGCGGCAGCCAUGGGAGUCCAACUUGAUCUUGGACCACAACCCAAAUUACAUGUGCUGGGUUAUGGGUAGAGAUUGCUAUCUUUUGCAAUGAUGGUUGACUGCGCCCGAUAACAUCUGCAAGCAACCGGUUGAACUCGUGCCCCACAAUGGUCAGAGGGGCAACUGCCAUGCCAUACCAACUAUUGUCAUGGAGGGAUGCAGAAGCUUUGUGAUGGAACGCCAACACGGUCCAUAUAGAGGCAACUCGGGCUGCGGCGACGACCUUGCUACGGAUUGUGGUAGCCACCGAAAGAAGUUGGUGAGGGUUCUUAUCUCCAGAACCGGUAGUUGACUUCGUCUGUCAGAUUAAAACUAUGGUGACGGCCUGGUUGUGCAUCGGUUUUCUCACAUCAAUGUAGCUGUUCGGAUCACGGAAAAGUGAUGGUCAAAUCACGUAGGCGAUGUGAAUGGUGGUGCUACUUGAGCACUCAGUCUCGGGUUUUGGAGUGAAAGCUUUGGUCUCACCCAAUUGGGUAAUAAUUGACAAUGGUAAUGUCUUUAAACCAUUACCUUGUUGGAGGCAUUGCUCGGAGAUGCUUGAACUAGUUUUCAGGGUGAAAGCCUAGAUUCUAGCCUUGCGUCCUUGGAUCCGAUGACCUUGGCGCUUCAGCGUGGCUCCCUUUCUAAAGGCGUUGCUGUUGAAGAACCUCGGCAUCUAUGUCGUAUCAUGAGAUGUUGGCGUGGAUAUAGUCAUUGUUAUAGUUUGUCUGAACGUUUUGGAGGCUUUUCAUAUUAUUCCUCGCCUAACAUAGCUUUGGUCUUAUAUGACUUUGCUACUUGUUAACGUGUUUUGUGGGCAUGCGUUGAUGUUGGUUGUGUGUAUGAUAACUAUUCAAAAAUCGGUUGUGUGCUUUUUGUGUUUGUAUCCUCUUAAUAUUCCAUUUUAAAGCAAUAAAAUUGACCCUUUAUUGUUAAAAUGGACUAUCCCGAUGAAAACGAAUUGGUGGAGCUCACCGAGGUGACGAGUUGUUGGGUAGCAUGGUCAACGAGCUCACGGGUGGCAACAAGGUGCAAGACGCUCAUUGAAAUCGAUUUCAUGCCUCCGUUCAUGGACUCGAAGACAUGGCCGAUCUUUCUUUUUUUUUGCAAAAGGAGGUUAAACCUCCAGCCUCUACAUCAAUCGAUGCAUGCAGUCAUCUUUAUUAAUUAUUUCACAAAGGUUUAACAAAAGUAUACAUCAAUUCACCUAAAGUCAUCACUCACACCUACAAAUUCGAUAAUGUAGAGUGCUCUCACUCCACAUAUCUAAGACCGGUGUUGUCAUCAAUCCAUCCACAUAACGUAUCGGAAGCAAUAGCCGGUGCAGCAUACCUAAAACGCACACCUCACGCACACGUUUUACAAGCCGCCAUCAUCAUCGAACCACUGACCCAUCUUUAGGAAAGAGAUCCGCAUCAUCCAUGCCAGUCCAAACAUCCGUCGACGCCACCACGGCGCCCAACGGCGUCACCGCCCUGCGCUCAUCUGUCCAGAUGCGAAGACUCCGGGAGAUCUGUCGUGCGUAGCACNNNNNNNNNNNNNNNNNNNNNNNNNNNNNNNNNNNNNNNNNNNNNNNNNNNNNNNNNNNNNNNNNNNNNNNNNNNNNNNNNNNNNNNNNNNNNNNNNNNNNNNNNNNNNNNNNNNNNNNNNNNNNNNNNNNNNNNNNNNNNNNNNNNNNNNNNNNNNNNNNNNNNNNNNNNNNNNNNNNNNNNNNNNNNNNNNNNNNNNNNNNNNNNNNNNNNNNNNNNNNNNNNNNNNNNNNNNNNNNNNNNNNNNNNNNNNNNNNNNNNNNNNNNNNNNNNNNNNNNNNNNNNNNNNNNNNNNNNNNNNNNNNNNNNNNNNNNNNNNNAUCUGUCGUGCGUAGCACCUGCCAACCAGGCAUGACUCAGCGUAGCACCUGUCGGCCAGGCAUGACUUGACAGCUCCACCGAAAUUUCGUGCAAGACGAAGCCGCUCCACCUCCUGCCUCAGUCUGCCAGCGGUGCUACACAAACGAUGCUCCCAAGAGAGAAACAGCACCGCAGUACCGCCAUCGUCCGAUCUGGAGGCCAGAUCCUAGGGUUUCCCCCGAAGCAGUGCCCACCACCAGCAACCGUUCACGACCCACACAGUGCCUACCACCACUCAGCCCUCUAGGCGACGCCUUCAGGAAGGUCACGACAUCAAGGACGCCGCCGCCGCCCACCGGAGUUAGGGUUUUCACCCGAGAGGCAAGGAAGGGGAGCAGAGGAGCAGAUGUAUACCGACGUCUCCAAAAAGAAUAACGGCACCCUAAAGCAUCGGUGGCGGCGCGGCCGGCCUGGGCCAACCAAGCGGUUUCCCCCAAUCUGAAUCUCCUCCACCGGCUUCACCCGCAGGUAGGGCCCCGCCAACCACGCCGGCACCGCCAAGAAUCCGCAGGAGAGAGGCCCACAUCAGGGCCCGAGGACAUCGGCCAGAUCUGGCGCCGCCGGCCGCCAUAGCAGCCACGUGACGGCUGACCAGGCAGCGGUCAACGAAGGGGAGCAGCACACCUCCACAAUGACGCUUCCAAGAAAGAUAGCGGCACCCGCGGGCGUCGCCAUCGCGGCUCCGAUGAGGACCAGAGCAAGGAUUUCUCCUGGAGUUGCGCUGAACAUCCACCGCCACCGACCGCUGAGCAUGGCCGCCACGCACCACCACGACCCCCAGGCAGGGUCACCGCACCGCGCGCCCUGGCCACCGCAGUUGCGCCUCGCCGACGCUCCCUGCCACCGCAGCCGCGCCCGGCCGCCGCUUCCUACCACCAUGGUCGCGCGCCCCGCACAGAUCCGGCCAUGGCAGCCCCGGAUCCGCCCUCAGGCGCCGCCGGUGGGCGACAUCUUGCCGGAUCCCGCAGCCGCCGACGCGGGGCGGCCCGCCAGAGCCCGAGGGCCGNACGCGAGGGGCCCCGCCGCCGCCAUCCCCCCGGGGCGCGCGCGGCUUCGCCGGUGUCCCCUCCGGCAGCGGCGAAGCGGGGAGGGGGUGGAGAGAGGGGCCGGUGGCGGCGCAAGAGGGUUGGCCGGUGACGACGCGGGGAGGGGGCGGAGAUGGGGGCCGGUGGCGGCGCGAGACGACGCCCCCGAGUUGGAUCGCCGGCUUCUUUGAACGCUCUGGUGCCUUCCUGGACGCCAUCUGAUAGUGAGAAUGAAUUCUUCAGACAUGGCCGAUCUAAACAUGCCGGAAGAUCCGUCGAGGGAGGAAGCCAACUAGUACUUGUGGAUGCUUGUGCCAGGUACGACAAUACAUGCCUGCUUCCACACAUGACCACGAGGCUGCUCGACAAACUAGUUUUUUUAUAAGGGCAGUACUGGGCGUCGACAAACUAGUUUUUUCAUAAGGACAGUAUUGGGCGCCGGCGCACCGGCGCCCCAGCUUAGGCCGAUCAAUCCUGCAUCGUCCGAUUAGAGUUGUUGUAAUCAUUGGAUCUGCUCUACCCGUCUGGCAAAAAAUAAACAACCCCACACCGCGCAUGCAUAGGAGAAGUCAACGGCGAUAUCUGAGGCAGCCGCAGCUAGCCAACUUCCGUCAAUGGUGAACUCCGCACUUGCCGCUGCCGUCGCUCACAGCAUCGCUCGUCUACGGCCCUUGCAGCUUGCAGCAGACAAGCAACCACGGCGAGCUAUGAUCGCGCGCAACCCCGGCGAGCGGCAAUGGCCACCGGCCCCGGCGAACGGCGCCCAUCCCCGGCGAGGAUGCCAUUAACCCGGUCCCGCGCCCACAGCCACCUCUUUUCCGAGCUCCGGCGGACGGGCUGCAUAACUGCGACGGCGAGGCACACCCACGAUACAGGAUGCUGGAACUAACAUCGAUUUUUGAUGCAUGCUUCAACCGGCAUCAUAAUUUGCUACAACCGGCAUCGCUAUUUGCUGUAACUAGUGUUGCAUUUUGCUACAUCGCACAUGGCUUUGCGAUUUUUGCUACAACCGGCAAUGAAAAAGCUACAUUCGGUGACAUGAUUUGCUGCAACGGCCACGAUGAAGUUUUUGGUGGCAACGGUGGCGUUGUGAUUUUUGCUGCAACCUUGUCGGUCCUUCGUUGUAGCUUUUUUCAUCAACGGUUGUAACAUUUUAUGUCAACGGUUGAAACAUUCUGUCAUGACAAUGGCCGUUUGUAGCUUUUUAUAUGUCUGGUUACAGCUUUAUUCAUCAACGGUUGUAGCUUUUAUGUCAAUGGUUGCAGCAUCCCGCCAUGACAAUGACCGCUUGAAGCUUUUUAUAUGCCCGGAUGAAGCUUUUUCAUCUGGGUUUGAAGCUUUUUUUGACAGCGGUUGUAGCAUGAGCGUAAAAAAUGGUUUUCCAUCGCCGUCUAGCAGCAGCCCCAUGUCCACAAGCGCGUCCGCUUGCAGCACUAACUCGAGGGCCUCCUCAGGCGAUGCGACCCCACCGGCGAAACCAUGAGAAGCUUGGCUGGGGGACGAGAUGCUCGUAGAAGCACGGGGGAGAAGAAAGUUUCUCGCCGCAUCAGGUCGGCGUCCUCAACGACGGCGGCCGGUGGUCGCCCUCAACAGAUGAGAGAAGGUGAGGGGGAGGAGAAGGUCGCUCGGGGGAGAGAAGGGUGCUCGCGUGUGGCCAAAAACUCGCGCUAGGGGAUAAGGGUGUGACGGGAUGCGAGCCACUAGAUCUAAUCGCAUCAGACGUCGCGUGAUGGACCGGCCCGAGCGUUCGGCCGGACUGUCGUAUGUAAACGUUUUCCUUUUUAUAAAGGAGGAUUACCUGCACGUGAAAUGAUGCAUGUAGUCAUUUUAUUAACUUUUUACAAAGACCUUGCAAAAUAGUAUAUUAGGUAGUUUGAAGUCAUCAUUUUAAAACAAUUAUCAUUAGUCCUAUCCACUUGAUGAAAGGAUGCCGAUAGUCCGAACCUAAUACCAAACAGACAUCGCAUGAAUGCCUAACAUCUAACAUCGGAGGUCCUAACCGAGCCACAUACUGGGUUUGGGGUACAAACCGAUCUAAUGCACUCUCAUGUGUUGUCGUCGUCAUCUUCCACCAAUCCAUCUUUAAAGAAGAACCUAACGCACUGACCUUGCUAGGCCACUUUGCCAUCGAUACCACCAUGACGUCAGACAAUGUUCUCCUCCUACGCAAUUCCAUCUCCAUGCAUCGUACAUUGAGUUUCCACGGCGCCAUGCCACCGAGAUCCGGGGCCGGAUGGCUCGUUACCCGCAGCCACCGCCCGAGGCAGAGCCAACCGUCGUGCCUCCGCCGGUCAAGGCAGGGACGCCUGCCCCGGCGCCAAGGGGCUCCGCACGAUCCCCAUGAUACGGGAGAGAGGAAGGACACCGACAUAGCCGUCGGCUUCCGGGCUAUAGGCCGGUAGCGUCCUUCGGUGGUGGCGGGGUGAGGGAGGGAAGGAGGGAGAGCCCCUGACGGCUAGGGUGUCCUCCUGCCCGAGUCACCAUAGUUGAGGCGAUGCGAGGGGUGUGAGAUCCGAUCUAAACCCCACAUUCAUUAUCCAACCGGAGAUCAUGACCACACUGGCAAGUCCCACAAGGAUGAGUCCCGACCUGGGGUCAACGGAAGGUUUGAGCUGUUCAUCAACAAGCAUGAGGUGUGCAACGCCUAAACGAACAUAAACUACCCCGUCGUGCAGAGGCAGCGGUUUGAGGAGCAACUCAGGGAUUGUCAACAUGGUGACGAUGAAGCGAUGUCCAUGGUCGUAACGUUUUGCACUACCCUUUAGUACGGUCUGCCACUGACAAGGGCCCGCGGUCUGGGGAUUUAUCGCGUGAUUAUGUUGUCGAUGGAUGCACAGAACAUCAAGGAUGUCCUCAUGUUCCCGGCCAUGAAGCCUCCAGAUCAGUUGCCGUAUGGAAAGCAGAUAUCCUUUUUUCCGAUAAUGUAAGAAAAAUUUGGAGUGCUGAUUAUAUUUUCUUCAUCGUUAACUUAUAUACAUUGAGAAAUAACUAGUCUAAACCCUCACGGUCGCAGAGUGCUGCCCACCUUAGUUGAUGGAUUUAGGUGUAUCUUUUUGAAUUUUUAUCUGUUUGUUCUUAUUUCGUUACCUUGUCUGCACUCUGUUUCAAUUUUCAUGUUACUUUGUCUUCCAACAUCUGUUGGCAAGUGAAGUUCACAUACUACCAUUCGGUAAAAGAAUGAUCUCAUGUGUAAUGCCUUACUUUUGUACACCACUGUACAAUAUGGUUUUAUAUAUCUUUUUCUUUUGUCAUUUUGGUUUCAACCAAUAUUUAGUCACAUCAGCACCAUUUAUGCAAUAAUAUAUGCUCCCUCCGUAUCAAAAUAUAAGACGUUUAUUGACACUAUAUUUUGAUACAGAGGUAGCAGCUAAUAAAAGAUACUCUUUCUCAUCCAUAUUACUUAUUGCUUAAACGGAUGUAUCUAGCACUGAAAUACAUCUAGGUGCAUAUAUUUCAGCGAUAAGCAAUAUCCAUAUGAGGCGGUAUUUAUGUUUUUUGUUGCUUCCUGUAGUUUACAUGUGCUUGUUUUUUUUGUGGGGGACACGUGCUUGGUUUGUAUCCUAUUUAUACACAACAGUGUAUUAUUCCAGAGAUAAUUUUUGUUCAGGUACAAACAAGACAGCUUAGCGCAAAUUUAAGUGUAAUUGCAAAAUUGAUCGACUGAGUGUACCCAAAAAUGCAAGCAUGCACUACUGCUAAUGCCUUGCAAUGACGGACGCAAAAAACCUAGGAGUGGCGGGCAUGACUCCCAGGGGCACCCGCCACUGAUCUCCCGUCAACAUGGAAUCAGUGGCGGGUGCGCCCCUGCCACUAGUACAAUUCUUUAGUGGUGGGCAAGCUGUGGGCGACCACCAGUGAUAACUUUGGCAUGCAAAUAAUAUUUUUUGCACACACAGCCUCAUUUGAGCUGCGGUGGUUGCCUUUUGCGUAAAACCCAUAUCAUAAACUGCAAUAUGCGGCAAGAUUACAGUGACUGUGAAACAUAUUACGACAUUAAAGAAUACGUUAACCACUAGCUAAUUGUUAUCAACCAUGAUUAGGAAUGCACCAACUAGGUUGUAUCAUCUUAGCUAGGUAUCUACCCAUCACAUAGUAAUAAAUAUGAUCGACGAUACACACAUCCAACAUUUAGUAUUACCGAUCAUCACAAGUACUUGGGCCUAGUACUCUCUAUUAGGAAAAAUUGAAAAGAAUAGGAAAACCCAAACAUCCACCAGUCUCCAAUUUAGGGCCUGCACCCAUUCAAUAUUUGCAUCCAUCCUUGAAUUUUCAUGCGUCCAUUUGAUAGGCUUUCAGUCGAGUAUCUAUCUAUGAAAUUGGUCUUCUCAUAGCAAAUGGUUGCCAUCUCACCUUCCACAUCCGUUACCGCAUGCACAACAACUCUUAGGAGCUUCUUCUGAAGAACGUAAUAGUAAAAUAGUUAGCAAUGUUGUUAAUUUUAGUAAAAUGUAUGAAAAAGGACAAGUGACACGAUCGUAAAUAAUCUAACCAUGCAUUUUCGACAAAUUUUAAUGCCGCUCAACUUGUAGACUAGUGGCACGUAUCGUGUAGUAUUUGGGUAAGCUCCAUUGGUGCCCUUAAAAGACUGGACAUCACUAUUAGAGGAGACAAGAUAACUACCAGCAGACGAGGGAGAAACUUCAAAUCCCAAAUUUCAUCUGCUUCACUAGGAUGAUAGAUGACUGAAGGUUCCUUCCUAGACAUCCCAAAAUUCCAACAACCGCCAUCAUAUCUUGGUAACUUUUCGAUGCCUCCUACUCCUAGCAUCGUGUGGCCAAGAAUAAAGUAUAUAAGAUAUAUAUGCUACCAACAAUGUUGACUCGAUCGACUGCUCUACCAAAGCUUUAGAGCUGCUCUAGAAUUCACCGCAUUGCGGUGUAUAUUAUGGGUUCUGGGAUAGUGUGUUAGUGAGUGCGUGUGUGAGGGCUGGGGAGGUUGGUGAAGAACGGAGAAGCAGCCAUGCAAAAAUAUGUAUAAUAACGUCAGUACAUAUUAAUGUUGACCGAACACACCCAUGUUACAAAGUGACUACCAUAAAUAUGUAGACUGCCCGGACUUCGUCAUUACUUACGUGUCAGUUAUUUCCGGUACAUUUACUCAUUACUUGGGUGUAGCCACUACUUUCCCCACGAUCAAACCAAAAAUAUGUAUGUGCAACCACCACAUGUCCAUCAAAAGUGUAUUAGUAAACUUAUACACUAGAUAUACAUCCAUAUAUAAACAAGAGAAGAUUUAUUUUGUAAGAAUGCAAAAAAUGCCCAUUGAUGUGCCACCAGUCCGAACGGCUCCAAACCCUAAGAUACAACUUGCUGGGCCCAAACCACUAGUGAGCUGGGUCGCUGUAUAGUGUGAUGGGUUUUUUGAUAUGGAGUCAGGUUAGGCAGCUUCAUGAAUCAUUCUGAGAGACUCGGAUGGUGCAUUCUGGUGUAAUUGCUGCACUGACGGAUAACUUGUUGUAUGAAUAUAAUGCAGAUUGUGUUGCGCACGAUUCGAUGGGUUAUGUGAAGAUUAAUCGCACAAAGAAUAUUAGUCCUAAGUUAUUCUAUGCACAUAAGCUGCAGAAGAUGAACGAGGUGAGAAUCUUGCAUAAUAGGUCAUGUGACAAUAUUGCUGAUUUAUUAACUAAAUCAUUACGGACGACAUCCUUCUAGAGAUGUGUGCCCGUAGUCGGUAUGAUGAGACUUAAGGACAUGCAAGGUUUGGGGGAACCAAUUUCAAAAAAUCAUAAAAAAUCUCGGUCACGAUGGCGGAGAACUGAACUUGACGAUUGAAUGAAUUGUACUCUUUUUCCUUGAGUGAGUUUUUGUCAUGUUUCUCACAUGUGGUUUUUGAUGAUGUAGUUCGUGCUAUACAACGACAUAUAUUGUACGAUCUUUCUUCAUAUUUUUUUCACUGGAUUUUUCUACCUUUUAAACGAAUGUUUCCCCACGUUAAGAAGGUACAUGUCCCCUACAUCUAGCUAUAUAAAGAGGAGAGCACCUAUUGUAUGUAUGGUUGAUCAAUGAAUAAUAAAUAAAGACUCCCUUCUAAGUCUUUAUGACCAUUUACUUCAUGUAUCUCUGUGUGGUCGAAUAUGACGCUCGCUCCCCUUCCGCAACCUUCGUUGGACUCACCAACAGAAGUUGCGGAACAAUUUAUAUCUCUUGCAAGCAGAACAAUUAGCAAACCUUGUUGACCCGUGUCAGCACGAGGUCAGCAAUUUUUACUACCACGUGAACAGGAGCAUGAGGGUAACACACGAUGCGGACAAGAAAUAAUCCAUCACAAUGGCUGGGCAGAAAUCCGCGUCAAUACUUGGUGAAUGCCCAGCGUGGCUCGGUGGCAGCCGAAGAUGAACAGCGAAACGUUUAAUUGGGAGGACUGAUAAGAAUAGCUUGUUUUCUGCCUAGCCUUCCGGAAAUUCCAAGCACCGCCGACAAAUCUGCAAGCAUUCUAAUGCCUCCUGGUCCUAGUGAGUGGUGGCCGGAGAAAAAUUAUAUACAUACAUAUUGACUGUGGACUCUCUAAUUAAGAUUUAAAGUGUGUCGAGAUUUCAUUGAAAUGUGUGGCAUCGGUUUUGGGUUUUGGUAUAGUGUUGGUGAGUGCGUAUUCAUGUGAGGGUCCAAGAGGUGAGUGAAGAUGGAGAAGCAACAAGGGGAAGUGAUGCUUUUAAACACAGAAGAUAAAGAACUGGCCACGUCACGGUGGUAAACAAGAGUCAUUGAUGAUGUAAGCUAAUUUUGGCGAAGGGCCAUUAAAUGAAUUUUAGGCUCAAAAGGAGAGAGGCCACAUAUACACAUACAUAAAAUACUUAAAGUGGCUCAGCUAUCCCAUGCGUUUCAAGUAGUUUGGGUGAGUGCUUUGCUGGUUGCCACAUGUCCUCGGUUUAAAGAUCCUAAAUUCUGAUGUUUUUUCUUUUUCUUUUUUACUGCCUCCUAAAAAUAAUUACUACACACCACUUAUCUUGCACGCGGGCACGUUUUCGUGAAACGUCUCACUAUUUUUCAUAUUUUUUGUCUUUUUCUUUUGUUCUCAACGUCUUGAGAGAGAGAAGAGAGAGAGAAGUAAAGGUCAGAUCGACAAGCCCUGCUCCCAAAAUUCAUAGCACUGUCAUCAUUUUUUUUGCGUGAAAACUUCUGUCCUAUUUAUUUUCAAUUAUGGAAGUAGAACAAACAUCAGAAAUAAUAAUAAUACAUCCAGUUCAUAGAUCAACUAACAUUAACUUGAUGUUGCCUCCUACUCCUAGUGUGGAGUUGCCAAGAAAAAGAAAUAAAGCAUGUUUAUGCUUCUAGCAACCGUGACUGAUUUUUCUAUUGAAGCUUUAUAGGUGAUCCAGAUUUCAGCGCAUCGCGGUAGAAGCUUCUCGCAGCAUUGUUAUUUUCAAUUAAUUGUGGUAGAAGCUUCUGACUGUGAUUUUAUGCAUAUGUUGAUCGAUCCUGCAAUGCCGCUAGUGAUUUUACUCACCUUGUUAUAUAAAGUGACUAGCAACAAUAUAUAGUCCGACUAGGAUUAUGUCUCACUCUUUAUGUUGCCAGUAAUUUCAAGUAGAGUUUUUCUAGGGAAUUUCCGGUAGAGAGUUAGAACUUGGUCAAUCCAAUAUUAUGCAAGAGUAUGUGCAAACAUCACAACGAGUCCAUGGAGUGAGAAAAUAAGCAAGACCCAAAGAUUGCGAGGAAUAUGUAAAUUUCAUUUAUACAUAGAUUAUGCAUAAUUACUAGCAUUGCCCGCGGUCAUGAAUAUUGCCACGGUCACCCAUCAUGCGGUACACAGACCCAGCAACAUUGUAAUUAAUUCUAGCGAAAAGGACAAAACUCACUUGCAUAUGUUGAUUGUUCCUGCAAUGCCGCAAGUGAUUUAAUUCACCAUGUUAUAAAGUGACUACCAUAAAUAUAUAGACAAGCACGGAGUACGUUGUUGUCUAUGGUGCCAUUUAGUUUUAGUAGCGGUACACCUUGUUCAAAAUAAAAACAAGUAUGUGCAACCACCACCAUAUCUCCAUUCAGUAGUAGUUAGACAGUGUUAGUUUGGGUAUAUUAGUAAAAUCAUACUAAGAUACAUCCAAGUAUAAACAAGAAAAUAGUUACAUAUUGAUACUGCCAUCAUUCUGUAUGUAAAAAAAAAUCCUAAUGUCCAGUUGCAACAAGUUACUUAUCAUGUGGCAAGAGUCGUCUUCAUCCGGCCCGUCAAGUGUCUUUUGUCUGUCGAGUUUUCCACCUAGGUAUCGUAAACAUGUUUACCGAGUUCCCGAUGGCUAGUUCUCAGUAAACAGUCAUUUGCCUGAAAAGUUCGGGCGGAGUACUCUUAGCCAAGAACCAAAUGUUUAACUGGGAAGAUGGAAAGAGCUUGUGUCCUACCUAGACUUCCCAGAACUCCAAGCACCGCCGGCAAAUCUUUCAAACAGUCUGAUGCCUCCUAGUCCUAGACUCCUAGUGUGUUGUGGCCAGAGAAAUUACAUACAUAUAUGCUUCCAGCAACAUAUUGACCGUGGUCUUUCUAAUUAAGAUUUAGAGUGUAUCGAGAUUCCUAUGAAAUGUGCGGUAUGUGUUUCAUGUUUUGGGAUAGUGUUGGUGUUCAUAUGUGAGGGUCCAAGAGGUGAGUGAAGAUGGAGAAACCAGGAGCAGAAGUGAUGCUUUUAAAGACAAACGAUCGAUCAAGAACUUGCCACGUCACUGAUCAGGCGGUAGCUAGAGUCUCAGACCUCAGUGAUGUAAGUUAAGGGUAGCAGAAGAGGCUAAAGUCAAUUGCAUACAUUGAUCCAUCGUGGCGAUGUCCAACCUGUUAUGCUCCUAGUAACUUCAAUCACCAUGCUAUGAAGUGAGUGCUAGACCGGCUCGGAGUACGUCUUUGUUUCAAUUUCUUCAGUACUAACGUGUACAUUAAAUGAGUUUUAUGCUCGAAAGGACAAACAUCACACACACACAGGACGACGAGUCAAAAACAAUAAUGAAUCCAAACGUGUAAGUAAAGAAUGGAGAAGCAACGAGGGAAUCGAUGGGUUUUUCAAGAUGACGACAUAAAAGUACUAGCAAAUGCGUGUUAUUCAAUAUUAUCCAUGUCACCCAUCAACUGGUAGACAGACCCCAGCAACGUUGUAAUUUUCAACUAAUUGUAGAUAAACCAGAAAGGAUAAAAGUCACAUGCAUCUAUCGAUAGAUCCUGAUUUUACUCACCCUGUUGUAAAUUUACUUUUUUACAUGGGUAAGAUUUCGAAUUUGGCUAGGGCUUUUGCCUGCUAGCCGCGCGGGAGAGAGUAGGGAGGAGGCGCGCGCCAAGUUGAUCGUGGGAGAUUGUGCGGAGCAAAGGGGUGGCUGUGAUCGGGGGAGUCUUUCCCUGAGGAUUUUCUGAGAUUUGUUACGCUAAAUAAGAGAGGAUCCAGAAUUCCUUUUUUUUCUUCCCUACUCUCACGUGAUUAUGGUAGGGGCAUUUACGUUCAAAACCAACGAAAGUUUCUCUUCCAGAUCAUGCGUUAAUAUUGAUGCAAAAAACUAUACACCAACAUCUAGGAACGCAGGGACAAUAAUGUUUUUAAUUUUCUCAAUUUCUUUUUACGCCCACACGGCAGCCUGCCAAGGCACAAGCCUUGCAACGAUAGGGCUCAACCACAAGGAUUAAACAAAGAGAAAAGUAAAUAAAACUACCUUUUUUUCUUUUGUUUACCGCGCGCGACAUGCAUGUUACUUCGCGUGAGUCAAAAACAAUAACUUCCGCAUGCAUGCCAUCAGGAUCGGGGUGGAAAUUAUAUGUAAUAUGGUCGCCUUGACAACAUGUGAUAAUGAAAUACACCCUAUAACUUGAAGAGAGAGGAAAUGUUAGUUUGAUUAACAACGCACCACAUCAACAACGCACCACCACAAGACCAUAAACUUAACUUAUCUACAACUCGACACCUUGGAUCCCAACCCCUUACAAGUACAACAAAAUCACCAGCCCACUAGCAUAACACCAACGACGCACGCAGUCGAUGAUGAUUCUCUCUUAUCGCCUCAUGGGGACUGAGGUACUCCUCGAUGCACUGCAGCAUGAGGUGGAUGCAUUGCUUGGGCUUGGGCGUCUUGAGUAAGUGUAAGACGACACAAGGUACGAUGUCGACAUUGUAGUUCAUGGUCGACAUGUAGCCAACCGCGCCCGAGCGAUAGCUAACCUCGUUGAAUCCGACAUGGCUAUAAUCGAUGACCAACAUUUUUUUAGGAAAGGAGGACCCUUUAUUAAUGAAAGAAAUAGAAUAGCCUGCGGCUCCAAACAAUCUCAUAAGGAGCUGCAAAAUAAUCAAAAAGAAAAAAAAAUGCCACAACUGACAAAAAUAAGACUAGUUGUCUAACAAUCUAUCCUAUUAUUAAACAGCCAUCCAAACCGAUUAUAGAUAUCCCGAGCUAUUAUCUUCCACCAACCUCAUAAUCAGUGAUCAGCUCCAUGCUAUGAGCUCCAUGCUUGCCCUUGGGGCCUAUGGACCACCUAUUUUCCCUCUACCGCAUGCUAUGAUCUAUGUAAUGCUGUUUAACGUUCGGUAAAACACCACGAGGCUUUCCUCUAAAUAAACAGAAAACAGCGCAGCUAAGUGCAGGGACACUUCUAGUUAUUGACCUGUUAUAGACUUAUAUGCGUUAGAAAUUAUGGAUGAACAUGAUGAACGUAUUCUCAUGCCUUCAGGUGGGAAGGGGGGUUUCAUUAUUCUUGUGACUUUCAUCCAAUAGCAUGUCUUUCCUUUUGUUUCACUAAAUGACACACUUUUGAUUGGCAGCUAGACAAAAUGGCACAAUUUUUUUUCAUGCUUUAUUUUUAGGUCUAGAUCCACUUGUCAGCUAUGUUCGAUCGAACCUUAGUGACCAACUGGCGAGUGGUUGCGACAUUAGAGAAAGGACAACAUAACCACCUCAGCUUGAUUCGUCCUAGACCCAUACUACCAAAUCGAGACAAGCAUCGGACGAUCUGCAGACGAGGGGCACACGGCUCCCAUGCCACCAAAUCCCAAUGCUCAAGUCAAUAGCUGCCAUGACAGAUGACUAAAAGAUCUUCCCUAGCCUUCCAAAAAUUCAGACCACUGCCAUCAUAUCUUCUUAACUUGCUGAUGCCUCCUACUCCUAGCGUGCGGCCAAGAUAAAGAAAAAGCAUGUAUACGUUUCCAGCAACUUUGACUGCGAUAUUUCUAGUGAACCUUUAUACUGGUGUAUUGCGGUGUAUGUUUCGGGUUGGGUUUGGGAUAAUGUGUGUGUGGGGUUCGGGGAGGUUAGUGAAGAAUGGAGAAGCAGCGAGGGAGUCGGUUGGUUUUUUAAGAUGAUGAUGUAGAAGUACUUGCAUAUGUGUGCGGUCUUGAAUAUUAGCCACGUCACCCAUCAGUCGGUAGACAGACCCUAGGGACGUUGUAAUUUUCAAUUAAUUGUAGCAGAAACCAGAACGGACAAAAGUCACAUGUACAUGCAUAUGUUGGUCGAUCCUGCAAUGCCGCUAGUGAUUUUACUCACCGUGUUAUAUAAAGUGACUAGCAUCCAAAUGUAGACCGGCUAGGAGUAUGUCUCACUGUUUAUGUUGCCAGUUAUUUCAAGUAGAGUUUUUGUAGGGAACUUUGUCAAACCAGGCAAAAUUAUGCAAGAGUAUGUGCAACCAUUAUUAGAGUAUGUGCAAUCAUGUUUAUUUCAUUGCAUUAGUUCGUUCAUGCAUGUAGUUGAACUGAAGGCUUGAGGCUGCGGCAGUGAACGUGCUCGUAGAAGUGUGAGACAAGUACACAUGCAAGCUAAUAGGGCCUGAUUAAUUAGUUGAGUUAGCAUGAGCUGAUCAGUACCAUGCACGUACAUGCAGUUUGCAUGGAUGUGUUGGUUAGCUACAUGCACGUACAGCUCCGUGGAGUCAAGGCGGCCGAGUCCUACGGCAGAUCAGUGUGGAGCUAGAACUGGACGCAAUUGGUUGGGCGUGCGUCAAGUGUGCCGUUGCGGGUAAGCUCAUGUCUGUUGUAACUUGGAUUCGACUCAAUCUGCAGGAAUAAUCGGAUCAAGCAGCUGGCUUGGCUGGCGCGUCUGCGAGCGACCCUACACGUACGGACAAUAUUUAGGGAAAUUUACGAGAAUGAUUAGGUGAGCUAAGAUGAUUGAAAGAAAUAAGGGCGAGGGGGCCACACCCCUGAGAAUCGGGGGCGGUGGAAAUUAGUUGAUGAAGGAGUCCGUAAACCCUCCGUAUAACUCCGUAUGUUUAGAAUUUUCGCGCGUCUGCAUGCAACGUAGUGGGUUAGUGGGUGCGUGUGUUGUGUAGGUUUGGUACUUGAACACAUGUACUCAGCUGAUUUGCGUUGUGGGGAAUGCAAGAGAAAAAUGUAGCCAUUGUGAUAGCCAAGGAAGAGAGCAUCUCGACAAAGCCUUUGUGUUCUUCCUUAGUACAUGUGUUUGUAGAGUUUCUCCGUGGUGUGUGUUCUUGAGAGAAGAAGAGAGUGUUGCUAGGAGGUAGAAGAAGGCGGCGCAGCGACGAGACGGCGCCGACAACCACCACCACGAGUCCAUUGAGCGACGAAAUAAGCUAGUCCCAAAGAUUAUGAGGAAUAUGUAAAAAUUCAUUUAUACAUAGAAGACUCGUUCAGGCAACCACCGAGAAGAGAUGGCAUGAUCUGGAGACAUCGUACAUGCAUGCCACCUAUUAAUCUACUUGAAGAAGUAUGGGAGGUCGAGCACGUAGAGGAGGAAGUAUGCCCAGACGGCGCCGGAUACACCGCCGAAGAAGAAGCCUCCGGUGAACUGCGACCACCCUUCGGCGGUCUGGAGCUUGUCGGCCUCCUUCUUGCGUCCGGUGAGGGUGAGCACCGGCGCGGUGGACGGCUCGCCCUCGUUGAAGGAGGCGACGCCGUACAUGGUGAGGCAGACGCUGAGGAUGGAGACGAGUCCGAUGGCGCCGAGUGUGCCGGCCUGUCCGUGCACGGGCGUGUUGCGGAGCGGGCCAGUGAGCGCGAAGGGGCCGACGAGGAGGUAGCCAUGGGCGAGGCCGACCUCGAUGCCGCGGAGGAGCGGGCUGACGGCGGUGCGGUAGGCGGGGAGGUUGGAGAGGUACCACGCGACGAGGGGGCUGGAGGUGACCGGCGUCUCCAGGCUGCCGAUGAACGGGUCGCCGUUGAUGGGCUGGACCACUUGGUACGUCGGCUGAGAGGAAACACCAAAACAUGUAUGAGAUGCAAAGCAAGGCCUACAACAAGCUAAACCCUACUUGUAUCCCACAAAUUGUGGUUUGUUUUGGAUGAAUAAAUCUCUGUUCGUCCUAAAAAACAACACGCUAAACCUUAAUUUUAGCUCUCUCUUGCAUGCAAUUGCAAGUUUGCGACUGACCUUGUCAGACUUGACAGCCUUGACGACGAAGCGGGGCCUCCGGGUGAGCGAAGCGCCGGACAUGCCCCGCGGCUUGGAGCACGCCAAGCCGCUCUUCAUCACCUGGCUCGCCAUGGGAGGAGCAUAUGCAGUGGCCAUCUCGAUGUCCUCCUUCGACUCCCACACGCUCAACUCUGCUCUGCCUGCAGCGUCAAAUGGAUGGAUGUGUUACAAGAAGAAGAUCUGUCCAGAUGGCAAGAUGUUUUAGUGGCUCCAAGGGAGAGGGGAGAAUCUGGGUCCUGUUGGGCGGGACCCUGCAUACGAGAUAUGGUCCGGAGCUGUGUGGCUUCCAUUGGCUGCAAUCCUAUCCCUUAUCCGAAUUUCCGGAUUCUGUCUGCGUGUCACUCUGUGUGUGGUCUCUAUUCGUCUAUGGCUGCACCCAGACCAGAUUUUUCAUCUUAUUGUGCUGAUAUAGUCAUACACUUAAUACACAACAUAAGAUUAUAAGUGUUAUAUAUAUGUCAUCUAUCAGUUUGCAGUACAAAAUCUAAAUACUCAUCGAAAAUUCUUAUUUUUAGAUUUUUUAGUGCGGAUUGAUAUGAGACAUAUACUCCCUCCGUUCCUAAAUAUAAGAUUUUUUAAAGAUUGUACUAUAAACUACAAACGGAUGUACAUAGACAUAUUUUAAAGUAUAGAUUCACUCAUUUUGUUCCGUAUGUAGUCUCCUAAUGAAAUCCCUAAAAGGUCUUAUAUUUUGGAACGGAGGGAGUAUAAAAUAAAAUAUGUAAAGCACAAAAACAUGUGGCACCUGUUUUAAAAGCAGGUAAAAUAAAAGUAUGCAGGUAAAAAAAGCAUAAAAGUAUGAAGGUCUUAUAAUACAAAGUACUUUCUCUGUCCAGAAAUACUUGCCAUAAAAAUAAAUUUUUUAGAUGUAUUUUAGUUUUAUGUACAUACAUUUCUAUCAAUUUGUACAACAAUUAAUUUCGGACGGGGGAGUAUUAUGCUAUACUGUGGAGUUCGAAUGGAUUGCACGUAUACAAAAACAUGAGCAUUUUCAUCCCCAGACAUUCACGCUUAUAUUUGCGCUACACAUAUAGGCAGCUGGUGAUGCAAAAUCUGUAGGUAUGGUAAACUAAAAAAAUGUAAACAAUAUAGCUUCUUCCUUUAGAGGAUCAAUUAGGUGAAAAUGAGCAAGAUAUGUAAAUGAAAAAAAUAUUUUCACCGUUCAAUACACUUCGGCGCUUUCAAUACACCUCGGCGCGUUCCUGAACGACGUCUUCCGGCCACCUCGGUGUGGACAUGGCUGCAGCACCGGUCCAUCAGUCAUGCCACCGCGGUCAAGGCCGCCUCCCUCCGUUGGAUCGCCCACGCUCAGAGUAAUAGGUGGUCAGCACAUGGACGUAGGGGCUCGGCGCGGAGGGUUUUGGGAGCAGGAGCUUUGCAACCUGAACUGGAUUUUGGUAGGUUGAUCUCUUUUGCGUGGGUCCAAUCCAUGCGUCUUGAUCAGGGGCGCUCAACCCAUUAUAGUUGGUGGACCCUGUGACCCGCGCUAUAUUAACAGGAGUGAGGGUCGGGACACGAGACACGAGGUUCGUCGCCGUCACUUUUUCCACCUGCACACCCUUUCGAUCUAGGGUUAGCGCAGUGCUCACGGAAAGCACUACCGCCACCACAUCUCUCUGUCGCCGCCGCUGUCACCACCUCACCGUUGGACGCCGGCGGGUGCACCUCAAGUGCUGGGCAAGGUAAACACAUCCUAUAUACUACCAGAAACCCUAGUCGAUCCGAUCCACACAGUCUAUCAAUGGUAUCAGACUAGUUUCGGUUUAGGUUUUUCGGUAGCAACAGCAACAGCAAAAGCAAAGCAAUUCCCCUCCCCAAAAGAACCCUAGAAGGGCAAAGUGAACCGGAGAGGGCCUCGGGCCUUACCGGCAGAGAGCACUGCCGCAAGGCCGCGCCGACCCUCUCGAUCUCGACGCGCGUUGGCAAGCCGAGGCAUCGGACGAAGGUACCACCCCUUCGGAAAAAGAAUAAAUCGGAUCGAAUCAAAAAAAAUGCAAAGAAACCCACCCCUUCGGGGGCAAAGAACACCACCGCAAGGCAUCGCAGCCACGUCGUUCGAUGGUGGCGCGCUUCCGCUAAGGGAAACGCGCCACCGGCGAAGGGGGGGCAACGACGCAAAAGCAUACCCAGAAUACUCCUUUUUCUGUAACAGAAUAGGAGACGGGCAAAGGGGCAAAAGGCACUCCACCGCACCACUUGACGGCGGCGCGCUCUCCCUCGGGAGCUCGCACGCACCGGCAAGGGGAGCAGAGGGAGCCGGUGCCUGACGCCAUCGUAGGUGGCUCUGGCCGCCGUGGUGGUGCUAAAGGAAGAUGGUAGAAGGGAGCCGCGGCACGCGCGGCGCGGAGGGCUCCGCCCCCGACGCCGGCGGCCGGACCUUGCACCGCCGUCUGGUGGCCGCUGCUGCCCCGAACGAGAGAGAUAGCUCUGCGGGAGAGCAGCUAGAGAAAAGCGGCUGCGAGAGGGAGAGGGUGGUGCGCAUGGCGCGGUGCCCCUUGGUCGCCGCUGCCGGCGGCCAUCCCGAGAGCUCUCCGGGGGGCAGGGCAGCCGCCGCGCGAGAGCGAUCGAGCUCUUGGAAAUAUGCCCUAGAGGCAAUGAUAAAUAGUUAUUAUUAUAUUUUCUGUUUAAAUAUAAUAGUUUAUUAUCCAUGCUAUAAUUGUAUUGAAUAAAAACAUGAAUACAUGUGUGGAUACAUAGACAAAACAAUGUCCCUAGUAAGCCUCUAGUUGGCUAGCCAGUUGAUCAAGGAUAGUCAAGGUUUUCUGGCUAUGUGCAAGUGUUGUCACUUGAUAACUGGAUCACAUCAUUAGGAGAAUCAUGUGAUGGACUAGACCCAAACUAUGAACGUAGCAUAUUGAUCGUGUCGUUUUAUUGCUAUUGUUUUCUGCGUGUCAAAUAUUUCUUCCUAUGACCAUGAGAUCAUAUAACUCACUGGCACCGGAGGAAUACCUUGUGUGCAUCAAACAUCACGACGUAACUAGAUGACUAUAAAGGUGUUCUACAGGUAUCUCCAAAGGUGUCCGUUGAGUUAGUAUGGAUCAAGACUCGGAUUUGUCACUCUGUUUGACGGAGAGGUAUCUCGGGGCCCACUCGGUAAUACAACAUCACACACAAGCCUUGCAAGCAAUGUGACUAAGUGUAAGUCACGGGAUCUUGUAUUACGGAACGAGUAAAGAAACUUGCCGGUAACGACAUUGAAAUGGGUAUGCGGAUACCGAUGAUCAAAUCUCGGGCAAGUAACAUAUCGAAGGACAAAGGGAAUGACAUGCGGGAUUAUAUGAAUCCUUGACACUGAGGUUCAAUCGAUAAGAUCUUCGGAGAAUAUGUAGGAUGCAAUAUGGGCAUCCCGGUCCCGCUAUUGGAUAUUGACCGAGGAGUGUCUCGGGGCAUGUCUACAUAGUUCUCGAACCCGCAGGGUCUGCACACUUAAGGUUCGAUGAUGUUUUAGUAUAGUUUAGUUAUAUGCGUGGUUACCGAAUGUUGUUUGGAGUCCCAGAUGAGAUCACGAACGUCACGAGUGUUUCCGGAAUGGUCCGGAAAUGAAGAUUGAUAUAUAGGAUGGUUUCAUUUGGUUACAGGAAGGUUUUCGGGCAUUACCGGCAUUGUACCGGGAGUGACGAAUGGGUUCCGGAAGUUCACCGGGAGGGGGGAAACCCACCCGGAGGAAGCGCAAUGGCCUUAGGGUGGCGCACCAGCCCUUAGUGGGCUGGUGGGACAGCCCAAGAGGGCCUUGGCGCCAAGAGAAGAAAAAAAACCAAAGAGAAACGGAAAAAAAGAAGGGGAGGUGGGAAGGAAGAGAAGGAGUCCACUUUCCAAUCCUAAUUGGAGUAGGAUUCCUCCUCUCUUCCUUGGCCGGCGCACCCUUGAGGGCUUGCCCCACAAGGCAAGCCUCCUCCCCCUCCCUCCUAUAUAUAGUGGUGAUUUAGGGCUGAUUUGAGACAAAUUUUGCCACGUGCAACUCACAUCUAUACACCUUAGUUUUACCUCUAGAUCGGAUUUCUUCGGAGCUCGGGCCGAGCCCUGCAGGAGUAGAUCAUCACCACCACUGGAGCGUCGUCACGCUGCCGGAGAACUCAUCUACUUCUCCGUCUUGCUUGCUGGAUCAAGAAGGCCGAGAUCAUCAUCGAGGUGUAUGUGUGCUGAACGCGGAGGUGCCGUCCGUUCGGCACUAGAUCGGAACGGAUCGUGGGAUGAAUCGCGGGACGGUUCAUGGGGCGAAUCGAGGGACGUGAAUACGUUCCACUACAUCAACCAUGUUUCUUAACGCUUCCUUCUGUGUGAUCUACAAGGGUACGUAGAUCCAAAUCUUCUCUCGUAGAUGGACAUCACCAUGAUAGGUCUUCGUGUGCGUAGGAAUUUUUUUUGUUUCCCAUGUAACGUUCCCCAACACGAGCCCCUCAGCCGCGUGAGAGCAGCAAGGAGGAGAGCGGAGCGGUAGGGAGAAAAAAUGGGCUUAGGGUUUGCACUGGGUGGCUGUGGCUUUUUUUAACCCACGCGAAAUGGACGAGCAACCGUCGGAUUAGAUCCGAUGACCCUGAUCGUCUCCAGCGAAACCCUAAGAGCAGCCGGGCCACUUGGGCCGAAAGUGAAGCUGAUCCGGCCCACCUGAGGCCGGUGGGCCAACAGGCCGAAGUUGCGCCCAGGCCAGAGAAUCGCGGGAGGCCUUCUCGGGCCAGGCCGGCUUCAGCCCAGAGGGCAAGCUGACAGUUUUUUUUGUUUUUUUGUGUGUGUAGUCGUUUAGGCAGUUUCUAAUAGUUUAUAUUUCUUUUCUAUGCAUUAAUUUUCCAACAAAAAUUUUGUUUCGAAAUUAAAAAAGUAAAUAGAAAUUUUUCUGCAAAGAAAAAUAAAUGUUUCUGAAAAUAAAGAAUAGAGUUUUUUUUCAGAAAAAGAAAAGUUCAUGGAUUUUAUAAAAGGGAUAAUAAAGUUCAUGAAUUUUAUUUUUAACAGAAAAAAAAUUGCAAAGAAGAAAAAGUACAUGAAUUUUAUAUUCACGUUUUCCGCUGCGAAGUAUUUAUUUUAGUGCUCUUUUACAAAGAAAAUAAAAGUUAAGAUAGAAUUGAAAUUAAAGAGCACAUUAAAGUGAUUGUUUAUUAAAAGAGAAUAUGAUUCUGUUAACAUUGUUAAUAACAUAAUCAUGUUUAAUUAUUAUUAGAACUGAAGGUGCAUUUAUUUCUAUUUUUGCCCAACGGUAAUAUAGUUUGAAUUGCAUAGACAGUUGUAUGUCUAAUUUGACCAACGUUAGAUUAAAGCAUAUGAUUGUUAUACAUAUCUCAGUUACAUUGUGAUUUCAGGAGGCUUCCAGCUGAUGAAUUGCCUAGAAGAUGUUCCGACACUCACAGGUGAUAACUACUCUGAGUGGAGGAAGAAAGUAGACAUGGAUUUUGUCUGUGCUGAGGUGGACUGGGUUCUUGAGGAACUACAUCCCGUUAAUGUUGGAAUUAUGCCCUAGAGGCAAUGAUAAAUAUAGUUAUUAUUAUAAUUCCUGUAUCAAGAUAAUCGUUUAUUAUCCAUCCUAUAAUUGUAUUGAAUGAAGACUCAUUUACAUGUGUGGACACAUAGACAAAACACCGUCCCUAGCAAGGCUCUAGUUGGCUAGCCAGUUGAUCAAAGAUAGUCAGUGUCUUCUUAUUAUGAAAAAGGUGUUGUUGCUUNNNNNNNNNNNNNNNNNNNNNNNNNNNNNNNNNNNNNNNNNNNNNNNNNNNNNNNNNNNNNNNNNNNNNNNNNNNNNNNNNNNNNNNNNNNNNNNNNNNNNNNNNNNNNNNNNNNNNNNNNNNNNNNNNNNNNNNNNNNNNNNNNNNNNNNNNNNNNNNNNNNNNNNNNNNNNNNNNNNNNNNNNNNNNNNNNNNNNNNNNNNNNNNNNNNNNNNNNNNNNNNNNNNNNNNNNNNNNNNNNNNNNNNNNNNNNNNNNNNNNNNNNNNNNNNNNNNNNNNNNNNNNNNNNNNNNNNNNNNNNNNNNNNNNNNNNNNNNNNNNNNNNNNNNNNNNNNNNNNNNNNNNNNNNNNNNNNNNNNNNNNNNNNNNNNNNNNNNNNNNNNNNNNNNNNNNNNNNNNNNNNNNNNNNNNNNNNNNNNNNNNNNNNNNNNNNNNNNNNNNNNNNNNNNNNNNNNNNNNNNNNNNNNNNNNNNNNNNNNNNNNNNNNNNNNNNNNNNNNNNNNNNNNNNNNNNNNNNNNNNNNNNNNNNNNNNNNNNNNNNNNNNNNNNNNNNNNNNNNNNNNNNNNNNNNNNNNNNNNNNNNNNNNNNNNNNNNNNNNNNNNNNNNNNNNNNNNNNNNNNNNNNNNNNNNNNNNNNNNNNNNNNNNNNNNNNNNNNNNNNNNNNNNNNNNNNNNNNNNNNNNNNNNNNNNNNNNNNNNNNNNNNNNNNNNNNNNNNNNNNNNNNNNNNNNNNNNNNNNNNNNNNNNNNNNNNNNNNNNNNNNNNNNNNNNNNNNNNNNNNNNNNNNNNNNNNNNNNNNNNNNNNNNNNNNNNNNNNNNNNNNNNNNNNNNNNNNNNNNNNNNNNNNNNNNNNNNNNNNNNNNNNNNNNNNNNNNNNNNNNNNNNNNNNNNNNNNNNNNNNNNNNNNNNNNNNNNNNNNNNNNNNNNNNNNNNNNNNNNNNNNNNNNNNNNNNNNNNNNNNNNNNNNNNNNNNNNNNNNNNNNNNNNNNNNNNNNNNNNNNNNNNNNNNNNNNNNNNNNNNNNNNNNNNNNNNNNNNNNNNNNNNNNNNNNNNNNNNNNNNNNNNNNNNNNNNNNNNNNNNNNNNNNNNNNNNNNNNNNNNNNNNNNNNNNNNNNNNNNNNNNNNNNNNNNNNNNNNNNNNNNNNNNNNNNNNNNNNNNNNNNNNNNNNNNNNNNNNNNNNNNNNNNNNNNNNNNNNNNNNNNNNNNNNNNNNNNNNNNNNNNNNNNNNNNNNNNNNNNNNNNNNNNNNNNNNNNNNNNNNNNNNNNNNNNNNNNNNNNNNNNNNNNNNNNNNNNNNNNNNNNNNNNNNNNNNNNNNNNNNNNNNNNNNNNNNNNNNNNNNNNNNNNNNNNNNNNNNNNNNNNNNNNNNNNNNNNNNNNNNNNNNNNNNNNNNNNNNNNNNNNNNNNNNNNNNNNNNNNNNNNNNNNNNNNNNNNNNNNNNNNNNNNNNNNNNNNNNNNNNNNNNNNNNNNNNNNNNNNNNNNNNNNNNNNNNNNNNNNNNNNNNNNNNNNNNNNNNNNNNNNNNNNNNNNNNNNNNNNNNNNNNNNNNNNNNNNNNNNNNNNNNNNNNNNNNNNNNNNNNNNNNNNNNNNNNNNNNNNNNNNNNNNNNNNNNNNNNNNNNUGCGGAGCUCGGGCGGAGCCCUGCUGAGACAAGGUCAUCACCAACCUCCGGAGCACCGUCACGCUGCCGGAGAACUCUUCUACCUCUCCGUCUCUCUUGCUGGAUCAAGAAGGCCGAGAUCAUCGUCAAGCUGUACGUGUGCUGAACGCGGAGGUGCCGUUUGUUCGGUACUAGAUCGUGGGACUGAUCGCGGGAUUGUUCGCGGGGCGGAUCGAGGGACGUGAGGACGUUCCACUACAUCAACCGCGUUCACUAACGCUUCUGCUGUACGGUCUACAAGGGUACGUAGAUCACUCAUCCCCUCUCGUAGAUGGACAUCACCAUGAUAGGUCUUCGUGCGCGUAGGAAAUUUUUUGUUUCCCAUGUGACGUUCCCCAACAGUUAAACCUCGAGAGCCAGUGAGAGAUGCAAAAGACACUGAUGUUGUAUGGGAGAGAAAGCAGAGGGACUAUGCUCCAGUGGAGAUGUCCUACUCCCUCAGCAACCAAAAGUGGGUCAAUGCCAGCAAAAAGUGUCUAGCAUUUAUAAAGAAUACAAUUGAGAACGCCAUUGUGGGCUCAAUUGCAGAGUGCACUUCCGCAGGGGAGAUGCUUACAAAUAUAAAGAUCCAGUUCACUGGCUCCUCAAAGACAUAUGCCACCUAGUUGAUAAAACAGCUGGUUACAUAGAACUACAUUGGAGGUGACCAUGGCAUUAGAGAGCACAUCCUUCGGAUGAGCAACACGGUAGUAAAGAUCAAGCCAAUGGAUGCGGAUCUGGAAAUCAAACCAACACUCCUCGUCCACUUUGUCAUGGCUUCACUGCCAAAGGAGUUUGAAACCUUUGUUGUAAACUAUAACAUGUCACUUGAAACAUGGGACAUUGAAAAGACAAUAGCAAUGUGUGUCCAAGAAGAGGACAGACUAAAAGCCUCACAUGGUGGUUCAAUCAACUAUGUGAAGGACAAUAAGAAAAAUAAUUUCAGUCAAAACAACGAAGGUUCUCCUUCAAAGCCACAUGGUAAAUGCCCCUCGCACUUUCAGCAUCAGCAAAAGCCUCUUCCAGUGGACAGGGACACUUGUCUCCAUUGCAAGAAGACAUGGUACUACAAAAAGGAUUGCCCUGACUGGCUAAAGACCAUCAUGGGAAAGAGAGGUAACGACAUUGUUUCCUUUGUUAAUGAAUCCCUUUAUUCACAGUUUUCGAAAUCUACUUGGUGUAUUGACUCAGGAGCAACUGUUCAUGUUGCAACUCUUUACAGUGAUUCCGUUUGACGAGGACUAUGCAAAGAAGAGAAAGAAGUAUUGAAGUCGCAAAUGGCGUCCAAGCAGAAGUUGAAGCUGUCGGCAACAUCUCCUUGGAGUUGGCUGAAGGAUUCAAUCUUUUUCUUAGAAACGUCCUAUUUGUUCCUUCAUGUAAUAGAAAUUUAAUAAGUGUUUCUUGCUUAGAUAAAGACAAUUACGAGUGUUAUUUUGGACAUGGAAAGUGUGCCAUAUGGUACAAUAAUGCUUAUGUUGGUGUUGCCUUACUUCACAACGAGCUUUAUUUGUUAUCACUUCGUAAAAAAGUGCAUUGCGUGUGUAAUGUGAAUGAGCAGUAUUCCUCGUCGAACAAAGAACAAAAGAAGAAAAAAGAGAACUCACGACUCCUCGAAGUUAUGGCACUGUUGUUUGGGCCAUAUUUCGAAAGGGAGGAUAGAAAGACUAAUUAAAAGUGAGAUUCUUCCUCCACUAGAGUUCUCAGAUUUAGAACAAUGCAUCGAUUGCGUUAAGGGAAAGUAUGUAAAAUAAAUUAAAAAGGGUGCAAACCGAAGCACCGAAACACUAGAAAUCAUCCACAAUGACAUUUGUGGACCAUUUUCUGUGAAAAGUGCGGAUGGCUAUGACUCGUUCAUAACAUUCACGGAUGGUUACUCUCGUUUUGGUUACACUUAUCCAAUCAAAGAAACAAAUGAAGCAUUGGAUAAAUUCAAAAAUUUCAAUGUUGAAGUUGAAAAUCAGCUUGACAAAAGAAUAAAGAUAGUGAGAUCUGACCUGGGCGGGGGAGUACUACGGUCAACACACUCCAUAUGGCCAAGUCCCUGGACCUUUUGCAAAGUUCUUGCUGGAAACUGGCAUAAUAGCCUUAGCAAAAUGGAGUAGCUGAAAGGCAUAACCGUACCCUUAUGCAUAUGGUGCACAGCAUGAUGAGUUACUCCAACCUGCCAUUGAGAUUAUGAAUGGAGGCACUUAAAACCGCCAUUCACAUUCUCAAUAGAGUACCAAGCAUGUCGGUACCCAAAACACCGUACGAGUUGUGGAUACCCAAAAGUACCAUCCUUGCAACCCUUUAAGGUGUGUGGGUGCCAAGCUGAGGCCAAGAUGUUUAUUGGCUUUCCUGAUAGAUCAAAACAGUGAGUUGCCACUACAUUGGCUAUCCAAAUAGAUCAAAAGGUUUUUGUUUCUACUGUCCAGAAAGAUACACAAAGUUUGUAGAAACGAGACAUGCAGUCUUCUUAGAGGAAGAAAUGAUGAGGGAGAGCAUGGUAGCUCGGAAAAUUGAUCUUGAGGAGAAGAGGGUGCAUGCACCUAAUCCGAUGAUUCAAGAGCCAUUUUUCUCACUACCUGUUGUGACUCCAACCAUGACAACAGACAAUUUUAGAAGAUGUGCUAGAGAAUGAGGCACUUAGAAGGUCUAACAGAUCUAGAAGAUUAGCUAUUUCUGCUGAUUAUAAAGUUUAUAACAUAGAAUUGGUUCAUAUGGAAAGUGAUCCCACUUCACAUGAAGAAGCCAUGAGAAGCCCUCACUCAUCAAAGUGGCUGGAGGCAAUGGAAGACGAUAUGAAAUCGGUGAGUUCCAACGAUGUUUGGAACUUAGAAAAUAUUCCUAAAGGAGCCAAAACAGUAGGUUGUAAAUGGGUCUACAAAACAAAAUAUGACUCUAAUGGAAAUAUAGAAAGGUAUAAAGCACGACUCGUGGCAAAAGGAUUUACACAAAGAGAAGGGAUAGACUACAAUGAGACUUUUUCCCCAGUCUCAUGUAAGGAUUCCUUCAUAAUCAUAAUGGCAUUAGUUGCACAUUUUGAUUUAGAGUUGCAUCAAAUGGAUGUAAAGACGACAUUUCUAAACGGAGAUUUAGAAGAAAAUGUCUACAUGAAACAACCCAAGGGUUUUAUCAUGGAAGGCAAGGAAGAUAUGGGAUGUCGCCUAAAGAUAUCCAUUUAUGGACUAAGGCAAGCCUCUAGACAGUGGUAUCUAAAGUUUAGCAAUACUACUAAAAGAUUUGUAUUUACAGAAAAUGUUGAGGAUAACUGUGUCUAUGCAAAGCUCAAAAAUAGGAAAUACAUUUUCCUAAUCUUGUAUGUGGAUGAUAUCUGGCUUGCAAGCAAUGGUGUUAGUCUAUUACAAUAAACAAAGAAGUUUGUAUCCUUAAACUUUGAUAUGAAAGAUCUUGGUGAUGAUUCAUAUGUUUUGGGCAUUGAAUUCACCGAGAUAGGGAAAAUGGAGUCUUAUGACUAUCGCAGAAAGCAUAUUUAGAGAAGGUUCUUAAAAAGUACAAUAUGCAUGCGAGCAAGGCCACACCCGCUCCUAUAGUCAAGGGUGACAGUUUUGGGAAAUUCCAAUAUCCCAAGAACCAGUACGAGAUCAAUGAGAUGAAAGCAGUGCCAUAUACUUCGGCUAUUGGAAGUUUACAAUAUGCACAAGUGUGCACCCGCCCUGACUUAGCUUUUAUCACCGGGGUACUCGGUUGAUAUCAAGAGAAUCCAGGCCUAGAGCAUUGGAAGAUGGUAAAGAAAUCAUUGCGCUAUGCUCGAGGCACAAAGGAUGUCAUGCUAACAUAUAGAAGAUCUGAUUCCAUAGAGAUAAAAUGGUAUUCAACCGCAAGAUUUUGCGGGAGAUAGAGAUGAUAGAAAAUCCACGUCAGGAUACGUGUUCACUCUCGCUAGAGGGGCUAUUUCAUGGAAAAGCUCCAAACAGACCGUAGUUGCAUCGUCCACGAUGCAAGCAGAGUUUAUAGCAUGUUUUUGAAGCCACCGGGCAGGUGAUAUGGUUAAAGAAAUUUAUACCCGACUUGAAAGUGGUAGAUUGUAUUCACAGGCCACUAAAAAUGUAUUGUGACAACCAACCCACAAUAUUUUAUGCUCACAACAACAAGUCGAGUAAUGCUACCAAGACAAUAGAUAUAAAGUAUUAUAUUGUGAAAGAUAAAAUCUAGGAUUACACUAUAAGUCUCAAGCAUAUAAGGACAAAGGAUAUGCUUCCGGAUCCGCUAACGAAAGGCUUACCACCCAAUGUGUUCAAGGAACAGUUAGCCGGCAUGGGGUUAAUGGAAAGCCUAUAAUUCCUGGAUCAUAAGAGGCCCAAAAGGAACGGAAUUUGUUUUUUAACAAAACGUAUAUUGUAGCUGUAUGAUUCUAUCGGCAAUUAAGCUGUGACGAUGAGACAUGCUCUAUGUACCAAUAUGUGAUGGAACAAAUAAACUAGAAAGUAUAAAGUUAAAGUAAAAGUUGAGAUCAAGGGGGAGAAUGUUAGGUUGAUCUCUUCCGCGUGGGCCCAACGGCCCACCGGACCCUUGAUCCAUGCGCCCUGAUCCGGGGCGCCCAACCCAUUAUGGUUGGUGGGCCCCUGUGACCCGCGCUAUAUUAACAGAGGUGGGGCUGGGGCACGAGACACGAGGUUCGCCGCCGCCACUUUCCCCACCUACACGCCCUACCGAUCUAGGGUUAGCGCGGUGCUCACGGAAAGCACUAGCGCCACCACAUCUCUCCGUCGGCGCCGCCGUCACCAUCUCACCGAUGGACGCCGGCGGGUGCACCUCAAGUGCGGGGCAAGGUAAACCCAUCCUAUAUACAGUAGCGUAGCCAGACCAGCGUGCCAGGGUGGUCCAAUAAUAUAAAUAUUUACAUACAUUUAUUUAUUUUCAAAGAAAUAUAUUUUUAACUACACUAUAUACAUACUUUGGGGAAAUUCCAGGGUGGUCCAUGGACCACCCUGUCCACCCCCUAGCUACGCCACUGCCUAUAUACUACCAGAAACCCUAGNNNNNNNNNNNNNNNNNNNNNNNNNNNNNNNNNNNNNNNNNNNNNNNNNNNNNNNNNNNNNNNNNNNNNNNNNNNNNNNNNNNNNNNNNNNNNNNNNNNNNNNNNNNNNNNNNNNNNNNNNNNNNNNNNNNNNNNNNNNNNNNNNNNNNNNNNNNNNNNNNNNNNNNNNNNNNNNNNNNNNNNNNNNNNNNNNNNNNNNNNNNNNNNNNNNNNNNNNNNNNNNNNNNNNNNNNNNNNNNNNNNNNNNNNNNNNNNNNNNNNNNNNNNNNNNNNNNNNNNNNNNNNNNNNNNNNNNNNNNNNNNNNNNNNNNNNNNNNNNNNNNNNNNNNNNNNNNNNNNNNNNNNNNNNNNNNNNNNNNNNNNNNNNNNNNNNNNNNNNNNNNNNNNNNNNNNNNNNNNNNNNNNNNNNNNNNNNNNNNNNNNNNNNNNNNNNNNNNNNNNNNNNNNNNNNNNNNNNNNNNNNNNNNNNNNNNNNNNNNNNNNNNNNNNNNNNNNNNNNNNNNNNNNNNNNNNNNNNNNNNNNNNNNNNNNNNNNNNNNNNNNNNNNNNNNNNNNNNNNNNNNNNNNNNNNNNNNNNNNNNNNNNNNNNNNNNNNUGGAAAUAUAGGGGCAAAUCCACUCACUACCUUCCCAAUAACUCAUACUCCUACACUUGUCAUGGACAAAUACCGUCUCAGGAUUCAACAACAAGACCCGUACUUUUUUAUGUAGAUCAAUAAAAAAGAGUAGGACCGAUCAAGAUUUGAAAUGCAUUGGUGUAAAAGGAAUGGGUCUUGUAUUGUGUUCGUAAGUCAAGUUAGCAUGUGGGUUGAUAAAUAUGAAGAAUGGGAAGGAGAAAACGAGCUCGUUUUAUGCAAGAUGGAGGUAGAAGAAAUUUGCAUUGGGCCUUGCAUAGUUUGUUUAUUUAGGUAGCAUUUAAUAGUUUUUGGGUUAGUAGUGCAGGCGAGCAACCGUGGAUAGGUGUGUAUAAUGCUACCUGGUUCUUUAGCAAUACCCCCCUCGUGUUCUUCUUGUGUUUGAUAAUUUGAUGACCUUGCAGUAGGUAGACCCAUGUGUCAUUGGUGCUAGAGAAAAUGACAAAUGCCAUACACAUUAAUUGUGCUAGUACAGAAGGAUAAAACACCAUCAACAUGUGUCGAUUUCAAGAUGAUUGUCCCGUUAAGUUUGUUGAUGUACAGUGUUGUUCAUAGGAUAAUUUGAAAUCCUCCAUGACAUCUGAGUAUUUCACGAGCUCGAUGGGUUUACUCUCCAAUGGAGGAGUAAAAUGGUGCUAGAGUAGCAGAGUUUCUAGUAAUGUAAACUAUGGCCAUCAACAAAGCUAAAAAGGCUAGUGCAACACCAUCCCUCAUGUUGUUCCGGUAAGUUAAUGAGCCUGUAACUCACAAAUCAAGGCAUGUAAGUGGCAUUUGUCCUUUUGUAGUUCUACAAUUAUAAUGCUAUUGUUUGAGGUGUGUGUACGACAUGGUAUAUAGCCAAUAGGAGACGCAAGUGCACAACAGUGAUGUGGUUGAUAUUAAAGAUCAUGCGCAAACUUGUCCUACCUCAUGUCUUUUAAAGACAACCCUGUCCAUUUCCCUCUCCACUUCUCUGAUGUCCACUGUCAUCACACACACACACACACACACAGUGACUCAUGAACACAACCCCAAAACUGACACCUUGUACACCAAUGUGAUUGAAAUCUGCAAUAGGUUUUAUCUUUUUCACUAGGGAAAUCAGUUAUAAUAUAGUAGCCACUGUCAAAAUUGAAUACUGGCAUACCGAAAAUGGUCUUUGGUGGCCGAGCUACCUGCAGGCCGAAAUCACCCCCGCCCACGCGCCCUCGUGAUCGAUGCAAGUGUGUAGUACAUGAAUGUAUUCGACCGUACUUAACAAAGAAAACACCCGUAUCUCGCCAGCAGCAAAAAGUGCGGGCACAGCUAUACUAGGAGGCACAACACAGCCGCAGGUCGCUCUCAGGAGCAGAGCAUGCCAGAGAGACGUGUACACAUCACCGAAUCUGGAAGAGUCAAGAUGUGCUAUGGCAGGCGACCGUUGACGACGAACGUUUUCACAAUCUAGCCAUUGCCCGGUACUUGUAGGGUAUUUAUAGUUGAGGUUCCCCUGCAUCGCAGCAUCACAGCAUCGCCAUGCCUUCAUCUUCAUCCUUAGUUCGUUCGAGGGGCAACCAGGGGCACCUCCCGCUCAUCAUGUUGAUAUUUGUCGAUUCUUAAUAUCAUGAAACAAAUGUUUUUUUAAUUUGUUUGGACCCCCCCCCCCNNNNNNNNNNNNNNNNNNNNNNNNNNNNNNNNNNNNNNNNNNNNNNNNNNNNNNNNNNNNNNNNNNNNNNNNNNNNNNNNNNNNNNNNNNNNNNNNNNNNNNNNNNNNNNNNNNNNNNNNNNNNNNNNNNNNNNNNNNNNNNNNNNNNNNNNNNNNNNNNNNNNNNNNNNNNNNNNNNNNNNNNNNNNNNNNNNNNNNNNNNNNNNNNNNNNNNNNNNNNNNNNNNNNNNNNNNNNNNNNNNNNNNNNNNNNNNNNNNNNNNNNNNNNNNNNNNNNNNNNNNNNNNNNNNNNNNNNNNNNNNNNNNNNNNNNNNNNNNNNNNNNGUUUGGACCCCCCCCCCCCAUUUCGAAACAUGCUAUCAUAUUGUGCACAUGCAUACAUUUUUGAACCCCGCUUUACCUCCGCGUUUUUUUUGUACCUUUCAUUAUUCAUUUUUAUAAAUACUUUCAAAAAACAUGAAAAAAGAGCAAGUAUGUGCGACGGGUGCAGCUGGUGGUAGAAAAACACUUUAGCUCCAGCAGCCGCUGCAGUAGUGCUCGUCCACCGCAAGUGCAGUAGGUGUUGCUUGGUCAAAGGGGACAUUUGAUGUCUGUUUACAACAUUUGGCCAGUGCGCCGACACUAUUCAGCGGAUUGACCGGUCCAGACAAACACACACCAGGUAAAAAAGCAUGUCCUUUUUUAAAAAACCUAUUCCCGACCAAUACUUUUUUAUGUCGAUUAAUCUGGUAGCCGCAAAAAGGGCCGUUCAUAUUUUUUGAUAACGUUACAAAUAAAACACAUGCCACAAGGCCCGUUCUGUUUUUCGGCAUAGCAAUUGUCCCCCAAACCUAUCUUUUUUUAUCAUGCGUUUACCCUAAAACAGAAAGACAUUCCAGUGAUAUGAGAACAGAAGCAUGACAUUUUUCUUUUUUGUUGUUGUCAGCAUAGCAAAAAUAGUUCAAAACACAGAAAAUAAAGAGUUUUGACAAUUUUAAAACAAGACAUUCCAAGCUACAUAUACAAACAAUAGUACCACAAACAGAUAGAUUAACUAAAAUCCGCAAACAGUUUAUACGAGUUGCAUGGUAGCAUAUAUGAAGCAUAAAAUCCAAAACAAAACAUCAACCAUAGAAAUCUGCUCUUGAUGUGUUGGUGCAGGUGUUCCUUCUGUGUCCUGUCAGGCUGCACCUUGAGCACCGAGGAGACUUCCUCGGAGCCUUUGGGAGAUCGCCAUGUUGGGGGCAUGUAGUGCUUUUGUGCCCUUGCCCACGGCAUAUUGAACAAAACCGAGUCCUCUUAGCUGGUUGUUCAUAUGGCGCUUUGUCCCGGCUUGUCGUUGGCCGCCCUGCUAACCUCUUUUUUGAGGGUGCUCCAAAGCUAUCCGAGCAUUGCGAUGAGCUCUGCACCUGAUGGGCCGCACCAAAGUGUUGCUUUUGUACUGUACCAGAACAUGAAGAAUCACCGGCACCCUCUCUAUCAGAUAAGCCCAUGCCGUCGCGUAUAGCAGCAACCGGCUGCAGCAAUGUCUUGACAUCCCUCAGAUGUUCCAUGGCAAUAGCAUAAGCAUCCACAUUGCUGUCGCCCAGCCUAACAAUUUCAAGGCAAAGGAGAUGCAGAUUGUUAUGUCGCCGGAAGAGUACUUGAGAGGACCCUGAUCUUUCUGGUAACGUAGGAACUCUGGAGGUAGUAUAUCCCUUGCAUCCUUUGUCCAACGCUUCAGCACAUGCUUGGCAGGGACCUCUUGCAGACCAAGGUGGAUCAUGACCUGGGAACAAUAACGAUCAAAUGUCAAAAAGGAAACAGGUCACCCACCCACCCACACACAUGCGAUUGCCUUUUACAUGUACAUAUACCAGUGCCAAUAAUUUUAGUACCUUCAACGCAUGGCUGCACACCAUGCCAAAAUGUUCAAACAUCCCACAUUCGCAGUUGAAUUCGUCAGCAGGUUCGUUCACACGGACAAGAAAUUCAUUUUUUGACCAUUUGUCCCUCGAAACUUUCUUCACAUGCACGGCAAUGUACUCACGCCGAGCCACAACUUCAGUGAGGACAUACGAGCCACCCUCGUACAACAUCUCCCCGAAUUUUUCAAACAUGGCCCUCGUGUAAAUUUGGGAUGCAUGUAUCUCAAUUGGGAGGUUCUGUGCCAGGAUAACACCUCCCUGCAUGCGUAGUAAACGUCAUUACCAAAUUGUUCUAUAAAUCAGGACCUAUCAUUUAGCAUGACACAAAUAAAUGAUGUACUAGGGGUUUUGGCAGGAAUAACAUAAUUAUGCAGCACAUCAUUCAUUCGCUUACCAGCUUUGUUCUCUUCUCCUGAUAACUCUCCUCUGAAUCUCUAUCAAAUUGCAUCUUCUCGUAUUGUCUGACAAAUAAAUGCUUCGGGGACCCUGGUGGAACAUAUCCUUUAAGCAAAUGGUUUGCACUCUCACUCCGUUGUGUGCUGGUCAUCUUCGCACAGAAGACAUCCAUAAAAUAUGGCUUAGCCCACUUCCUUCGCAUCUCAUAUAUCUGGGUGAGAAACGUAUUUUUCUGUAGACCAUGCCUCUCAACCAUACACUCCCAACCAUCCUCAAACUCUUUCUCACUAACAACGUGGUGCACCAUCUUGUUGAACUCCUGUUUGAAUUCACUUCCUUUGCCGAGCAGUGGUCCGAGACACUCUUUUGCUUUUUCACGACAUGCCAUGUGCACCAUCGAUGGGUUGUAUGUUUCAUGACAUCGUCUAUUGCAACCUCCAUUGCACGGGCUUGGUCUGAAAAGGAAGCAUAUGUUUUUUUGUCAGGACGGAUGAGAGAAAAAAACAUUACUGUUAUUUUUUAUUACUACCUGUGAGCAUUGUCCGUGGUUGCGGAGCACCUAUCAUCUGAAAGAAUUCCGUGAAUAUCCAUUUGAAAGUGUUGAUUUUCUCGUCGUUCAUCAGCAACCCACCAAAAAUAAUGCUCUGGAAGUGAUUGUUGACACCAACAAAUAGACCAAACGGCAUAUCAUAUAAGUUUGUUUUGUACGUCGUAUCAAAUGUGACAGCAUCACCAAAACACUUAAAUUGCUCGAUGCUCCGCCCUGUUGUCCACAUCAAAGUCUUCACCCGACUAUCAUCAUCAACCUGUACACUAUAUUUGAACUCAGGAUCUUCAGCUCGCAUUGCAUUGAACACCUCUAUUGUUUUUGUGGCAUCAUUUUCCGACUGCUCUCUGCUAAGUUUUCCACACAGAGUUUUCAGAGACCUUUUUGUGAAUGGCACCUGCUUCACAGAUCCGAAAAAACUUCCCACUACGCUGUAAAUCUUGCUCAGGCUUAUAUUGUUCUCCCUAAGUUGUUUCAUUAGGUCCCUUGUGUACCUAUCUAUAUGCCGGUGCGACUUCCAGUGCAAUUUCUCCAUACAGUUGACCGACGGCGCAUGGUUGUGGUCUGCUUUGUGCUCGCAUAUGUACCAACCUUUGUCCUCUGACCUAAGCACACACAUCAGUGCUAAGCAGCGAGACCUCGUCGAGCGACUGUUCGCUUGCAACGGCCUACCCUACAGAUGUUUCACAAAAAACAAAAGGACGACAUCAACAAACUUGGAUUUAUGCGGUUUUUAACAAAUGCAUUCAAUCUUCUUUUUUCAAUAGGGUGGGGGGGGGNNNNNNNNNNNNNNNNNNNNNNNNNNNNNNNNNNNNNNNNNNNNNNNNNNNNNNNNNNNNNNNNNNNNNNNNNNNNNNNNNNNNNNNNNNNNNNNNNNNNNNNNNNNNNNNNNNNNNNNNNNNNNNNNNNNNNNNNNNNNNNNNNNNNNNNNNNNNNNNNNNNNNNNNNNNNNNNNNNNNNNNNNNNNNNNNNNNNNNNNNNNNNNNNNNNNNNNNNNNNNNNNNNNNNNNNNNNNNNNNNNNNNNNNNNNNNNNNNNNNNNNNNNNNNNNNNNNNNNNNNNNNNNNNNNNNNNNNNNNNNNNNNNNNNNNNNNNNNNNNNNNNGGGGGUUAGUUAAUCGCGCUUAACGCACAUGCACACACGAAUUCCUGCAUACAUUUUGUCCGAUGAACAUUCAGCCUGCUUUUGGCGUACCUAAUGCCAAACCCACACUCCCAAGAGUACAGGUUGUAAAACUCGUAUGCUUCUUCAACAGAAUCAAAGCUAGUCCCGAGUGCCGGAUUAACGACAGUACCAGCAUUAUUGUCUGCGUAAGCUCGCAUAGAAGCCUCCAGCGCAGGUACUCUGAUUGGGUUUGCAUCCCUCUCUUCCGAAGCUUUCCCAAUCCUAACACUGCAGGGGUUUGUUUUUCCGUAAUGCACAUCAACAUUUUUUUGUGAUAGGACAUACAGAGACAAAUACGAGGAUCCUUUUGAGAACAAGGUAUCAUGUGCAGGGUGCAAAUGCAAAAAAAUUGGACAAUCCUAAGCAUGGGUAGCAUCGCUGCACUAAAGCACAAAAAAGAGGAAAAGACACAGACUUGGGAUGUGCGCGUAUUACCGCCGAGUCCAGCACGAGCCAUUUGAGUUGUUGACGACGACACCCUCUGCAUCUCCAUCUUCUACCACAUGUUCAACGGGCGCGGACAGAUGAGCCGCAUCGUUAGAGUCAACAAUGACCUCACUUUCGCACUCAUCUCGGAUUUUCUCUUCACUGCUGCCACCACUCAUGGUUCAGAAAAGAUAGCGCAGCAGGUGGGCGCUCACGACAUUCCUGGAUCGAAGCAAUCACAAACUCGACGCCUUCGAUCUCGCCAGCCAAAAUAUCACCUGCAUCGAUCCUGGGGAUCAGCCUGCAAACACGAAAACCAAUAUCUUCCCCAGGUCAGAUCUGGCGAAGAAGGUAGCAGCAAGCAACCACGAACAGAUCGUAACGGAGCCAACAAACACAAUCCCACUGCCAAAAAAAUAGAUCCCCCUAACUAUAUACGCAAGAUAAGGAGGAAAUUACAUGCGGGGGGGGGGNNNNNNNNNNNNNNNNNNNNNNNNNNNNNNNNNNNNNNNNNNNNNNNNNNNNNNNNNNNNNNNNNNNNNNNNNNNNNNNNNNNNNNNNNNNNNNNNNNNNNNNNNNNNNNNNNNNNNNNNNNNNNNNNNNNNNNNNNNNNNNNNNNNNNNNNNNNNNNNNNNNNNNNNNNNNNNNNNNNNNNNNNNNNNNNNNNNNNNNNNNNNNNNNNNNNNNNNNNNNNNNNNNNNNNNNNNNNNNNNNNNNNNNNNNNNNNNNNNNNNNNNNNNNNNNNNNNNNNNNNNNNNNNNNNNNNNNNNNNNNNNNNNNNNNNGGGGGGGGGGGGGGGGGAUUAGUUUUCCUCACCUGGAUCUUGCUUGCUCGUAGAAGAACUCAAGACCAUCCAUGGCUCCAGCUAGCUGCGCGCAGGGUGUGGGGGGAAGGUGGCUGCGGGGUGUGUGUGAAGGGAUGGGCCAAAACGCAUUUAAGGCAGCACUCACACUGGCCGGCAGCUGCUCUUUAUUUUUUUCAAACCAGCCCACAAGGCACAUUACGUGCUGGCGGAUGUCUGCGUGCCCCCACCCACGUACAAUGGCGGCACGUCUGGACACGGCACCAGCGUAUUUUGUUUUUUCAGUCAUCGUAUAAAUGCAGGGAUAUAUAGCUGCACAGAUCUUAUCGUUGAUGUAGACGGCGCGAGAUUCCGGCCUGCAGGCCGCUCGGCCACCAAAACGCCACUCUCCUGGCAUACUCCUUUAUGUGACUCCUAGAGUAGGAGUGUGAGGCAUCGAGAAGUUGGCAUGAGGGUUGAGAAAUGGAAAACGUGCAUGGAAUUUUAAGAAAGAUAAGCAAUAUGCUACUCUCAUCAAUUCCACAUGAGACAUAUAAGUUUGUUUUUCCUUUGUGGGCGUCGCACAAACUCACCGGGUUACCAGUCCUAUAUAUCCGAGUGUGUUCCAGCACACAAAGCACUCUUGUUGUGUUGAUGUGCCAAAGUCAUUUUCACUUGAUCCGUAGGACUGUCAGACCAUGCGGGAUCAAGCCUCUCCAAUGGCCCUGAUCGCGCCAGCCAAUUCAAGAACAGUACGAUCAACUUCAUAAUCUAUGGAAUCAGUGGACCAUUUAGUUUGGGGUCGCUCUGUUGAUGCGUACAACUAGCAUAAUCCAAAUCCAAUCAUAGUAUAUGGUAUCUAGCUUCAAGAACAGUAGGAUCAACUUAAUACCCCAUGGAAUCACUAGAGUACUGUUUUAGUUUGGGGCCGUUGUGUUGAUGCGUGCAAAUAGCAUAACCCAAAUACAAUCAUACUAUAUGGUAUCUAGCUGACGGUGUACAUUGUGCUUCUAUCUUGGGUUCAUAAUCCGCUCAGUUAUCUUCUCUAUUCUUCACGGGAAUAGUCAUUUGAAGUAAUCUAUGAAUUUACUAGACUGGGUCAUAACUAGUGGCUCAUGAGACGUGACACGAAAAUAUGAGAGAACAAAAUUACAGUGGCUACACUUAUAUUAUUUGAACAUGAGAUUUUCCACCAAAAGCUUUACUUAUUGGAGAUUUACACUAUUGAUUUUGGAUUACACACAUAGCAAUGCUGGUGGACUUUUGGUUUGAUUACACAAGCUAUCAAAUAUAGAAAUCCUAUAAAUCCUAAUUGUCACACCUUUAGGAACAAUUUUUGGUUCGGUUAAGCAUCAUUUGGGAUAGCAUGUGCAUCAAGAUCUAUGUUGGGAGAACUGUAAUGACCAAGAUCUUGGUGCGCAUACAUGACCAAGAUUUUUUUUAAUUUACUAUAGGAGGAAUCUGAUAGAACUCCACCUACUGUUACAUGGGCCAAUGUUGGGAGAACAAUAAUCUAAUAACAGAUGGUGGCCAUCUUUUAAACAGUUGGUGCUUGUUGAGCUCUCCUCAAGUUAAUUGGUUGUACAUAUCCAGCCAUUAUUCUCAUAAAUAAAGUUUUAAAUUCAGAAUAAAUGCAAUUUAUGCAUUUAUACAACAUCUACUUAAAGCUUAUUCAUAUUUAUACCCAUUUAGGACGUAAUCCCUCCGUCCGAAAAUGUAAGGUCAUUUUUGACAAUUUUGUGUGUAUUUAUCUCAAAUGGUUUGUAUGUUGCAACUUGGGAAUCCUAUUUACCAUGUGAUCCCUUCACCCCACCCCACCCCACCCCCGGUUAGUUUUGAAUAGUGUUGUUUCCCAAAGUUUUACAUGAAACUUCUGUUUUCAGAUAUUUCCCUAUUCCUAUUUUGAUUUCGGAUUCUAUUUAAUAUUGCGUUUUGUUUUAAUUUUACUCAUUUUAUAAUUUCCCAUUUUCUCUUUUUCUUAGGGUAUGACCUUUUUACUUUUAGUUCUCUUUCAGGUUUCGUUUUGUGUUCAGUUUUAAGAAAAUACUUGAUGGUUUUAAACUUGUAGACCAUAUAAUUUGAAACGUACGAGCAACUUCUUUUUACCACACGAGCUCUUUUGAAACAAUGACUAUUUUUUCAUAAAAAGGGGAGUUUAUAAUAUGGGAUGAAAUUUUUAUUUCAAACAUAUAAACAUUUACGUUUAAGUGUGCAUGAUCAUUUUUAUUAUUUCGCUAUAUAAUAACUUUCUACAUUCUUAUAUAGGUUUUAUGUCUAGAAUUCUUUUAUUCUCAUUAUUCCGCUAUACAAAAAUCCAUCUCCAUUUACAUGUGCAUCAAGAUUUGUGCGGCUGCUACUGUUUUAUUCUCAUUAUUCUGCUAUUCCAAAAUUAUACCGAACAAAAUACAUCUAGUGGAUCCCACUUAAGCAUCCAUAGUACUAUUUUUAUCAGUCUAACAGGACCCAUAGUACUACUUUUUAUCAGAAAAGGACAUGCAUGCAUAUGUCUCUUAUCUCUCCCUUGCAAACAUAUCCUUGGCUUUAUUCUAUCUUAGCCAAUUAAAAGCAUCCGUAUCUUUAAUGAGUUUGUUUUUGAAAAUAUAUAUAAUUUAACUCCCGGUGGCAAGGCGUUUCUAACUAGACCAAUCUUGGAGACAAUUUUAACACAUUUUAAUUUCAAUGUUUCACAUUUUGUAUGUGAAAAAAAACAAUUUCGAUUUAAAUAGAUAUUUUUUGUGAAACAUGUGAGUGAAAAGUAAAAUGUAGGUUCAGGAUUGUGAAAUACUAACUACAAAAGAUGAAAAUUGUAAUGUAUCAAUGCGAAACUGGUUAUUUCAAAAUGUGAAACGAAUUAUUUAAAAAUAAUGAAAUGGGUUAUUUAAGAAACAUGUAAUUGAAAGAGAUAUAUAUUUUUUUGUAAAACAAGCCAGUGAAAGAUGGAAUGUAAGUUCUAAAUUGGCAAGUAGUAACCACAAAAAUAAAAUUGUAAUGUAUCAGUGUAAAAUUGAUUACUUGAAAAUAUGAAACAAUCUAUUUCAAAAGAGUGUAACAGAUUAUUUGAAAAAUACGCAACUGAAAUAGAUAUUAUUUUGUGAAGCAAGCCAGUGAAAAGUGAAAUGUAAGUUCGAAUUUUGAAAUAGUAGCCACGAAAGUGAAUUUGUAAUGUAUCAGGGUGAAACUCAUUAUUUCAAAUGUAAACAAAAAGGAUAUUUCAAAAUAGCCAAAUAGGUUAUUUGAUAAACAUGCAAUUGAAAUAUAUGUUAUUUUUGUCAAACAUGCCAGUGGAAGUGAAAUUAAGUUUGGAUUUGUCAAAUAUAAACUACAUAAAGAGAAAUUGCAAUAUAUCAGUGUGAAAUUGAUUAUUUUGAAAUAUGAAAUAUAUGUUUAAAUUUAAACAUGGUUGAAAAAUAUGAAAGAAUUAUCUCAUUUUAAAGGUUUUGGCACAAGGAGUUCAAAUAUAAAAAGGUUCAAAAAUAAAUACACAUGGUUUAAAAGAUAUGGAUGUUUCAAAUUAGUCAAGGUGAAAGAAAAUGUUGGAUUUACUUUUUUUAGAAAAAGAGGAUUUUUUUUGGCCUCUGCAUCAGUAAGAUGCAUGCAGCCACUUUAUUAAAUAAAGCAAUCAAAUGCGGUUCCAAAUAAUAUCUGAAGGUUCAAUGAAAAAAGCAAAGACAAAGAGAAGAUGCCGCAGCCGGCGGAUAUAGAUCUAGAUGUCUGUCCAUCUAUCUUAUUACUGAACCGUCAUUCAAACCGGUUGUAGAUAUCCCGAGCUACCAUCUUCCGCUGGACACACCCAGUAACCAAAGGCUCACUAGUUGUCGUAGAAGUAAGUAACAACCAUAUAUGAAUUAAGCCGAUGCCUUGUAUAGUACCUACAAAAAAUUUAUAGUUGUUUGCCUGUUAAAAGUCAUGUACUCCAGCAUGUAAAGUUACAAAGUGGUGGGCCAGCUGCUGAAAUACCUAUAUUUCUUACCCAGGGAAAAACCUUCUUAUGAAAAAAAUGAGUAAGGAUACGAUCCGAGGUGUCACUGGCUGGUUGGCUAGGUAGAUGCUAGUACCUGGCACCGCUCACUUUUCUGCGUUCGCGUAGUAAGCCAGCCCACGAUGCCAAUCAUUGUUCAAAAAAAAAAAUCUUGUUUCUUCUGUUGGUUUUUCCCUUUUAUUUGUUCUUGAUUUCUAUGUUUUCUCUUAAGUUUUUUUUUCUUUUUCAGUUGUUUUUCGACUUAUUUGGUUAUUAAGUCGGCUUCGCUCAUCAUUGAACACUUUUCUAUAAUUUCUUAAUACAUUAUAAUACCAUAUUUUAAAUAUAGGAACACUCUUAAAAUUGGUGAUUAUUUUAUAGAAUUGAAUAAUUCUUAGUAAAAUUUUGAAUAUAAUAUUUCAUACAAAAUUUAAUUUUUUAUAUUAAUUAUUUUAUAAUUUUGUAUGUUUAUAAUUUGGGCAUAUAAAAAUAUGAAGAAAAAGGGAAGCCGGGAAACCUGGAAAUAUAAUCAGAAAAGGAAAGAAAAAUCACUGAAAAAUGAUAUUGGAAGCAGUCUGUUAGUAGCGCACAAGAGGCAAACAUGGGCCAGCACUUCGUCAGAUAUAAAUCAGCAAAUAGGGUAUCUCGCUAAUAAAUUAUAUAGGAGGGCAAGAACGUAUUCUACGCGUUGUUCGUGGAAUAGCAGUGUAAUCGUACGUUAUGCUAUCCCGUCCUUGUCAUGGGCCCUCCCAUGAAUUGACAAGCUUGGAAACAAAUUUAGUUCGAUCCUUUCAAAACUUGUUUCAUUACCCUGUUUUACCUCUUUCCAUUUUUAGAAUACACCCCAAGAAAAUAUUUUUCUCGGGAAGUCAUUCAUAAUUCUAUUUGAACUCUCUCAUCCGUCCAUCUUCUGGUACGGGCCGCAAAACAUUCAGAGUUAAGGCCAUCUUUAAAGCAGACCCUCAAACCUUCCCCAAGUGUAAGGCCAAACAUUCGGACACGGUUGGCCAUCCAACGACGUCCUACAACGGUUCGUGGAGUAGUCCGAACGUUCUUUUUCUGGCAAAUCGGAAGCAAACUUGGGGGAGUUUUGCGGGAGUCCGGAUACCAGCCAUGUAGGACUUCGACACCCCUGUCCAUCCAAAACCCCAUCCAAAACACCGUUGGGACACUGUGUCUCCAUCAUUCCCUCUUUCUCCUCGUAUGCUUUCUCUCUAGCCGUCGCUGCCCUACCACCCCGACCGCUCGCCAGACCAGUGCCAAAACUACGUGACGUCGACCGCUACACCGCGCAUCCACGACGCUUUUGCUCCGCUGGCGGUCCAAACCUCUCGUUGGUCUACCGCGACGUAGAUACCAUCCGCCCUUAUGGUAGUCACCACGCUCGACAAGUUUUUUUUAAAUUCGCAUGCUAAGUUAUUUGUCCCUUCUUUGAUGCAAGGGCAUUAAACAUGGAGUACAUAUACAAGCACUACAUUGAGUCGUCCGACGAGAAGGACUACACGGAUAAAACGACUAUGAUGUAGUCGAUCCUUGCAAAAGCGGAGCAAGUGGAAGAAUAUGUUCUUAAUUUCAAGGGAACGGUUGAGUGCUCAAUCAGAAAAGGGCACGUGUCAGUUUGACGCUGAUGGACGACUGCUUUGUCCUUGAUGCCCGUUUUUGCUAGCAAUUUUCGUCGGUGCUUUUGGACACGAGAAAAUGUCUUUGGUCGCUUCUACCAUGGCAUCCGGUCCUUUGAUGACUACUUCAUCCUCAAGAUGGAUGUGGUUCGAAGGAUGAAUUACCUGGUUAUCAUAAUUGCACAACCAUAUUGCAGUUGCUUGGAUAUGGUACUAUCGCUGAUUCACGGUAUGAAUACCUCCCAAUGCGUGAGAGCUCAUGCGAAGACUCCAUGGUCAUAUAUGCUACUACCGUGGUCUCGGUGUUUGGACAUCAGUGCUUGAAAGAACCAACUUUCGCAGAUACCGAGAGGCUCUUGGCAAUGUUGAAGCAAGAGGAUGGCCAAGUUUGCUUGGAUCUCUUGACCAGGCUCGUCGACAAGGGAGGACGAGGUGGGCGACGGCACAAGGCCCCCAAAUAAGUGGGUACGUACAAUGUAAACACACUUUGCCUAACCAGCCAUAAUCUAACAGCCAGCCAGCCGAUUAAACGUACCCAAAAGCCUGCUAAGCAAAUCGUACCUCAGCCCAUGAGUCACGAGGCCUGCUUAAGUGCUUAUCCAUGAUACAUGUAUGGAUCUCUAAGACUUGUGGCUUCCGCCAAUUGAUCAUAGGCGACUUCCGCCAUCGCCCAGGACACCGUCCGGCUGCUUUCAGCGUUUUCCGCCAGUCACCCAGAGCAGAGUCCGAUGCCUUCCGCCAUCGGCUAUUGCCCACGACCUGGCUGCCCUUAAGUAUCGAUGUUUUCUAUUUAAUUUUAUCCCUUUUCUUCAUCAAUAGUACCUGAUUAAGUUUGACCUCUUUGAUCUAGGUUAGGAGGAGCCGAGUAGGACGAGAUUAUUUGUUCUUGCGUUAGAUAUCGGUUACAAAUUUAUUUGUCCACAGUGCUAGGAUAGGAGUAGGAUGAAAUUAAGUUUCUUCUUGAUCAGUUGUAUACAUAUUUUUAUAUUUUAGAUACAUUAGUUCUUCUGUAAUCAGAACUUGUUGAAAUUUGGGGCCCAAUUUUGAUUUUCGCCCCGGGGCCCCGAAUUUUUGAAGACGGCCCUGCUCUUGACUGCAUACAUUGCAGCUGGAAGAACUUCCCAAAAGCUCGACGAGGGCAAUAUUAGGGCCAUGUUAAGAAGCCCAACAUAAUUCUUGAAAAAGUUGCAUCAUGGGAUCUCUAAAUUUGGCACGCUUUCUUUGGCAUGCCCGGAUCCUAUAGUGGCAUCAAUGUGUGUAGCAUCUAGAUUGUUUGCUAGAUUGACCGAAGGGAAAGCUCUACAUGGGAUACUACCUGGUUGACGGGAUCUAUCAUUUGUGGGCUAUACCUUUGUCAAGACCAGCUUUGAGCAUGUUGAUCAGAAAAAGUAUCACUUUUUCGAAAGACAAUAAACAAGUAGAAAAGAUGGGAGAGGGCAUUUGGUUUGCACUAGAACCGUUUUAUAGUUGUUGGUGGGCAUGCUAAACAUUGAGAUCCGGAGACCUUGUGGAAGAUGAUAACUUUUUGUGUGAUCGUGCAUAGCAUAAUCAUGGAGGAUGAGGAUGAAGGUAUUGCAGUACACCGGAUUUGUUAAAAUAUUGAUCACAUAGCACAACCACGGCUUGGCCACCGCUUGAUCGGGGGCACAACCACGACACACAGCACAAUGAACAUUGUGAAUUGCGAGCAAAAACAGAAGUCAUGACUCCACUGCACAAGAGCAGUGAGGUGGUGUGGCAAUUACAAAGUCACAAAAAUAAGAUUAUCUCCAUGGUGAGACUGAUUGCUUGGGUGCCCGCAACUACCGACACUAUCAUGCAAGCUGCCUGUUCUCUCUAAGGUCCUGACGCGUCUCAUUUCAAUGUGGGGAAUAAGUAAAUGUAUCUCAUCACUAUUUCAAAGAACUGACAACCGUUUCCAAUUGUGUGAUCAACAAGAUUAGAACCAGUCAAGCUNNNNNNNNNNNNNNNNNNNNNNNNNNNNNNNNNNNNNNNNNNNNNNNNNNNNNNNGAGUUUGAUCCAAUUCCUGUUGCACAGAAUAUACAACGAAAUCUCCAUCGCGGAGAAACCCAAUUGUUCUAUCUCCCAGACAGAUGUUUUCAUUAUCAAGAUCUUGGGCGAGAAAACCAUGCAUGCUUACCCAAAUGAGUUGUAUCAAUCUCCAAUAAUUAGAACUUCUGGUGAAUAUGCACCUUGAUAAAUCGGGAUUUUUUUUUAACUUCAACAUAUUUCGGGAAAAUGUUAUUCCUAGGUCAAUGAUACUCUGACAUUAUCAUGUUCAAAUGAACCAAAUGUAGACGCUGAUAUUAUCAUGCCAGGACUUGGUAGUCAUAAAGUCAGUGACUCGAUCUAGUAAAGUGAUACAUUACUCAGAGGACAGAGAUGAUAUUUUCCCAAAGAGCACAAGGGUGGCCGAGCGAGCAUUGAAUAUGAGACAAAACACACAAGUCAGUCAUCAUCAUUUGGGUUUCUUUUGGGCUCCGUUUGGGUUGUUGCCCCAAUAGACUUCCUUUUUCAAUGGAGUACGAUUUUAUUAACUUAAAAUGUAGCAUCAAGUAGAUAAAAGCAUGAUGAGUAACAUCUGUCCCCUGCAUAACAAAGAUGAACACAGUCACAAAAAGAAUAAGAUAUAGACAUAUCAACAACAAUAGAGUUAUAUGUUGAAAAUAUGCCCUCGAGACAAUAAUAAAUUAGUUAUUAUUAUAUUUUCUUGUUCAUGAUAAUCAUUAAUUAUCCAUGCUAGAAUUAUAUUGAUUGGAAACUUAAAUACAUGUGUGGAUACAUAAACAACACAUUGUCCCUGGUGAGCCUCUAAAGGACUAGCUCAUUGAUCAAAGAUGGUAAAGAUUUCCUGGUCAUUGACAUGAGUUGUUAUUUGAUAACGGGAUCACAUCAUUGGGAGAAUGAUGUGAUGGACAAUACCCAAACUAUGAACGUAGUAUAUGAUCAUGUCAGUUUACUACUACUGUUUUCCACAUGUUAAGUAACUGUUCCUAUGCCCAUGAGAUCAUGCAACUUCCAGACACCGGAGAAAUGACUUGUGUGUAUCAAACGUCACAACGUAACUGGGUGACUAUAAAGGUGCUCUACAUGUAUCUCCAAGGAUGUCUGUUGGGUUCGCAUGAAUCGAGACUGUGAUUUAUCACUCCACAUGACGGAGAGGUAUAUCUGGACCCACUCGGUAAUAAAACAUCCCUUUAAGUUUGCAAGAAAUGUGACUAAGGAGUUAGUCACGGGAUCUUGUAUUAUGGAACAAGUAAAGAGACUUGCUGGUAAUGAGAUUGAACUAGGUAUAGAGAUACCGACGAAUGAAUCUCGGGCAAGUAACAUACCGAUAGACAAAAGGAACAGCAUACGGGAUUGAUUGAAUCCUUGAGAUCGUGGUUCGACAUCUUCGUAGAAUAUGUAUGAGCCAAUAUGAAAAUGUAGGUCCCGCUAUUGGUUAUUGACUGGAUAGUGUCUCGGUCAUGUCUGCGUAGUUCUCGAACCCGCAGGGUUUACACACUUAAGCUUCCGUGGCAAUAUAAGCAUAAUUGAGUCAUUGUGUUGGUGACCGAAGGUUGUUCGGAGUCCCGGAUGAGAUCCCGGACAUGACGAGGAACUCCGAAAUGGUCCGAACGUGAAGAUUGAUAUAUAGGAUGAAGGUCAUCGGAGUCCGAAAGUGUUCUGGGGCGCACCGAGGGCAUGACGGAAUACCGAAAGGGGUUUCGGAGGCCCUAGCAAUUGUUGGGGGGGGGGGCUCAUGGGCCAAGGAGAGGGGGAACCGCAGCCCACUAGGGGGCUGGGCGCAGCCCCUCACCCCUGCCCACUUCGGCUGAAGGGGAGGAGGCCUCCUCCUAGGGCGCCGCCAGCCCAACUUGGGUUUGGGAGGGGCCACCCAACCCUAGCCGCCGCCCACCUCUUGGCCGCCGCCCCCUAGGGGAAACCCUAGGGGGCCCUCCCCUCUCCCUUCCCCCUAUAUAUAAAAGAGGUAGAGAGAGGGCAGUCACAUGACAACUUGUCGCGGCGCUGCUCCUCCUCUCCCUCGUAGUUCUUGUCCUCUAAAUAUCGACGGCGAAGCCCUGCUGAGCUGUCACCACUAACACCUGACCAUGCCGUCGUGCUAUCAGAGGACUCGGGCUGCUACUUUACCAUCGCUCGUUGGAUCGAGGAGGCCAAGUCAUCACCAAGUUGUACAUGUGUUGAACGCGGGGGUGUCAUUCGUUCGGCACUUGAUCGGGAGUCCGCACGAUGGUUCAUGCGAAGACGUACAACUAAAUCAACCGCGUUCUUGAACGCUUCCGCUUAGCGAUCUACAAGGUAUGUAGAUUCGACCUCUCCUCUCGUAAAUGUGCAUCCCGUAGAUUGAUCUUGGUGAGCGUAGUGAUUUUUUUGUUUCCCAUGCAAUGUUCCCCAAUAGUAGCAUCAUGAGCUAGGUUUAUGCGUAUAUGACAUCACGAGUAGAACAGAAAGGAGUUUGUGGGCGUUGAUAUUCAGAUUGCUUCCCUCCUUAGUAUUUUCUUGAUUCAACGGUAUUGUGGGAGGAAGCGGUCCGGACUAAAUUUACUCGUCCACGUACGAGAGACCGGUUUCCUCGACUCACAUGUAACUCGUUACAUAAAGAUGGCUGGCGGGUGUCUAUCUCUCAUACUUUAGUUCAAUCGAAUUCGACGGAGGCGGUCCUUGUAGAAGGUUAAAUAACAACUUGCAUAUCACCAUUGUGAUUUUUGCGUAGGUAAGAAGUGUUCUUACUAGAUACCCAUAGCAGACACGUAAAACAUGCAACAACAAAUUAGAGAACGCCUAACUUAUUUUUACAGGGUAUGUUGUGAUAUGAUAUGGCCAAAGACAUGAUGAUAUAUAUUUUGAUGUAUGAGAUGAUCAUGUUGUAAUCACUAGUAGGAAAAUGGGCAUUAUUCUCGGUUUUAGAGGGUCUUUAGUCCCGGAUCUCCAACCAGGACUAAACUAUCGGGAUUUAAGGCCCAAACCUUUAGUCCCGGUUGGCUUACGAACCGGGACAAAGGUGCUCCACGUGGCUGCUGUGGGGCGCCCAGGCAGGAGGACCUUUAGUCCCGGUUCGUAACACCAACCGGGACCAAAAGGCAGCCAUGCGUCAGCAGCUCGCAUGCGCUGGGUUUUUUUUUUUGAAAGGGGGUUUAGGGGUUUUGGAGAAAUUUAUUAGGGGUUUCAUAUUGUGUUUCUCCCUUUUCUUUUUGUGUCCAUCAUAUUUGGUUUCUUAUGCUUGUUGGUGUUUUUGGUCGGUUUCAACUAGACGCUAGCUAGUACGUACAUAAAUCAUUACACGACAUCGUAUAUUACUCCUCACCAUUGUACAUACUAGUUAAAAAGUUCUUCAUCAUUCUAGGUAAAAUAGCAUAAAAAAGAUGAACUCCUCAUCAUUCUGGUUGUUAUCAUAGUAGCAAAUGAUCAAGUUAUCACAAGGUUGAAACACUAACUACUACUGUCUCCUAGGUAAAAAAGCAAAAUAAAGGCAAACUCCGACGUCUCCAUAUUGAAGAACACAGAUCAACCUAUCUCCAACUUGUGGGAUGCACAAGUAUUCCCCUUCAAAUGAUAUCAUGGAUGCGUGUAUUGCAUUUCUCCAUCCUUUGAUUUUCAGAGUGUUUUCAUUUUGAGAUAUCAUGUAUUUACCACAGUAAUUAACCGGGAUUGGCCGUAAGCUAACCAUUUGCAAAUCACCGGUGGUAAACAUCCAUUUAGGCACGGUCUCUAGCGGAAAUACUUUUUAAUAAUAAUAAUAAUAAUAAUAUAGUUAGCAAACUAGUUUUCCUUAAGAACAAUGUAUAAAAAAAUUGAUUAAUGACACAAUGGUAUAAAAAUCAUACAAAUUUGUCUGAAGUGAUGUUAUCAAGGCUCAACUGGUGCACUAAUGACACAUAUCCAUGAUAAACAUUGUCAGUCAUGUAAUUUUUAGCAUGAUUGUGAACAUCAUGAAUAAAUGAGAUAAGACGAUUUUUCUCCAACCAAAUAAGGUUGGAGGCAUAACUAUAGUAGGUCCGAUCUACUAUGUGCCGUGUAGUUCUUGUAACACGGAAAUAAACUAAUAUUUUUAAAAUAAAGAAAUUUAAUCGGGAUGACUAUAAAAUACUUUUUAAUAAUCAAUAUAGAUUACCUAACAAAUUUGUUGACGAAACGCACCUCGAGUAGAACUAGAAUCAAGUCAUUCUCGACAUGCACCCAAAUUUCUAUAUUAUUAUCACACACUUCCUACGAAACGACAACGUCACCGCCAUGCAGGAGCAAUCAACCUCACCGCCAGCAAACAGAGGCGAGCGAAGACGCCGCCGAACCUUCACCAUGGCACACACCCCCACACCAGCCCAACUGAGCUCCCUCCACCGCCCUGCACUGCCAACCAGCCACGGGGACUGUGCUAGAGCAGGAACCACCGCCACUGCCUUCAGCCGCCAUCGCCGCCAACCAGCAGGAAGCCGGCCUCUAGCCCGCGCCGCCCGACUACCGGAUCUGGCCGUCACAGCCCCCGCCGAUCCCUGUGGCGCCGGCGAAUAAGGGGGAGGGGAGGGGAGGGGCGCUCGGCGUGAUCUAGGUCGCCCUCCUGGUAGCCGCGUGCUGCGACGCAGGAGGGGUUGGGAGAACACAAUUUUCUUCGCUGUAGAGGCAAAGUUGGGCCAGCACUUCGUCAGAUAUAGAUCAGCAAAUAGGGUAUCUCGCUUAAAAAUCAUAUAGGAGAACGAGAACGUAUUCCACGACUCGUGCGUGGAAUAGUAGUGUAACCGUACGUUAUGAUAUCCCGUCCUUCUCAUGGGCCAUCCCAUGAAUUUACAAGCUUCGAAACAAAUUAGUUCGAUCCUUUCAAAACUUGUUUCAUUCCCCGGUUUUACCUCUGUCAAUUUUUAGAAUACACCCCAAGAAAAAUAGUUUUCUCAGGAAUUCGUUCCUAAUUCUAUUCUGGUACGGGCCACAAAACAUUGGGAGUUCAAGGUGUCUUCAAAGCGGAACCUCAAGCCCAGGUUUGCUCGGAUCUCUUGACUGCAUACAUUGGAGCUGAAAGAGCUGUCCAAAAGCACUGUGAGGGAAAUAUUAGGGCCAUGUUACGAAGCACAACAUCAUUCUUGAANNNNNNNNNNNNNNNNNNNNNNNNNNNNNNNNNNNNNNNNNNNNNNNNNNNNNNNNNNNNNNNNNNNNNNNNNNNNNNNNNNNNNNNNNNNNNNNNNNNNNNNNNNNNNNNNNNNNNNNNNNNNNNNNNNNNNNNNNNNNNNNNNNNNNNNNNNNNNNNNNNNNNNNNNNNNNNNNNNNNNNNNNNNNNNNNNNNNNNNNNNNNNNNNNNNNNNNNNNNNNNNNNNNNNNNNNNNNNNNNNNNNNNNNNNNNNNNNNNNNNNNNNNNNNNNNNNNNNNNNNNNNNNNNNNNNNNNNNNNNNNNNNNNNNNNNNNNNNNNNNNNNNNNNNNNNNNNNNNNNNNNNNNNNNNNNNNNNNNNNNNNNNNNNNNNNNNNNNNNNNNNNNNNNNNNNNNNNNNNNNNNNNNNNNNNNNNNNNNNNNNNNNNNNNNNNNNNNNNNNNNNNNNNNNNNNNNNNNNNNNNNNNNNNNNNNNNNNNNNNNNNNNNNNNNNNNNNNNNNNNNNNNNNNNNNNNNNNNNNNNNNNNNNNNNNNNNNNNNNNNNNNNNNNNNNNNNNNNNNNNNNNNNNNNNNNNNNNNNNNNNNNNNNNNNNNNNNNNNNNNNNNNNNNNNNNNNNNNNNNNNNNNNNNNNNNNNNNNNNNNNNNNNNNNNNNNNNNNNNNNNNNNNNNNNNNNNNNNNNNNNNNNNNNNNNNNNNNNNNNNNNNNNNNNNNNNNNNNNNNNNNNNNNNNNNNNNNNNNNNNNNNNNNNNNNNNNNNNAUUAGAACCAGUCAAGCUUUUGAACACAUUGGUGUACAAGGCUUCAAUUUUGUGGACGGUGUUCAUGAGUUUGUGUGCGAGAGAUAUAUGAGUGGACACUGCAAAAGCUGCUAGAGAAAUGAGUCAUAUGUUAAGGACAUAGAAGGUAGAAGAAGUUUAUACGGGAUCUUGAAUAUCAACCAUGUCACUUAUCUGAGCAUGUGCCACGUACAAUGUUAAGUGACUAGCAAUGCUCUUACUAGCGUUGGAUUUUUCUCUUUCGAUGACCUUGGGUAGACAGUCCUAUGUGUUAUGAAGCAUUGCCCAAAAGGACAAAUCCUGCGUGUUAUACUUGUAGCACUACAAAAGUACAAACGCCAUCCGCAUGCGUUGAUUCGGGGGUGAUCGACUCAUUAGUAUGGUCCUUGGAUGGCAUCACACCAACAAUUUUACAAGCUCGGUCAAUUUACCAUUUACAGUACCAUUUAAUAAAGAGAGACAAUGGAGGCCAGACCAGACCAACGACACUUAAAAAUAUAUAUAGUGUGGCCAGGUUCCCCUGAUUUCAUCAAUGAUAGUAGCAAAUAGGGUAGAGCAUGUACGAUCAACUAGUAUUUUUUUAACAGAGCUCGACAUGGGCUAUCCGUUUGAAAGAACAGAAAACUUUUGUUUUUCAGAGUACUACUAUUUUUCGAGAUUGGCACCGGCGACAAUCAAGCAGAGUUUGAUCCAAUUCCUNCACAACAUCAUUCUUGAAAAAGUUCCAUCACGGGAUCUCUAAAUUUGGCACGCUUUUUUUGGCAUGCCUAGAUCCUAUAGUGAUAUCAAUGUGUGCAGCAUCUCGCUUGUUUGCUUGAUUGACUAAAGGGAAAGCUCCUCCUUAAAACUAUAUUGUCAAUGCGAAUGAAUACUACAUGGGAUACUAUCUGGUUGACGAGAUCUAUCAUUUGUGGCCUAUACCUAUGUAAAGACCAUCUCUGAGCAUGUUGGUCAUCACUUUUUCCAAAGACAAGAAACAACUAGAAAAGAUGGGAGAAGGCAUUUGGAUUGCUCUAUAUUCAUUUUGUAUUUGUUCGUGGGCCUGCUAAACAAUGAAAUCCGGAGACCUUGUGGGCGGUGAUAACUUUUUGUGUGAUCAUCCAUAACAUGAUCGUGAGGGAUGAGGGUGAAGUUGUUGUCGCAACUUUUGAAUUUAAGAACAUGGGUGAUCCUAUCGAAUUUCCAAAUCAGAUCCGGCCACGGUUGAUGAGUUUGUUCAAAUGCAUCAACAAGGCAUCAAGUAACCCAUGAGCAACUCAAUGAAAUUUGACCGAGCACCUGUGGGCGGUUAAAGGGGACAUCUAUUACAUAUGUGGUAUUUGAUUUGAAGCUUGAACUGUGUUAAUUUGAAAACUAUGUUGGAUUGUAAUAUUUAAGAAAGAAGUGUGAUUUGAUAUGCGGUUAUUUUGAGCUUGCUGGCUUCAAAACAAUAAACAUGCGAAAUAUUUGUGGCUAGCUUUGGAUGGCUGGCUGCCGUAGGAGUGCCCACGGACUGGACCCCACCGGUCUGCUGAUGGAUUUGAUGUCCGGUUUGGAGGUUGACGUUGGAGAUGCCCUAAGAACAUCGAAACCGGCAAGCUCCACAUGGGCAUAUUGUCCCAUAUGUGACAAAUAUAGAAGUCAUGCUAUGUGAUCAAUAUUUUGUCAAAUCAGGUGUACUGCUCAUUUUAGUAUUGUGUAUCAGGACUCAGCCUUAGCUAGAGUUUUUUUUUUCUUAACAUUGCUUAGCUAGCGUUUUGGUGUGGUGUUGUGAUGUAUAGCUGUGAGCUAGCACGAAUAUGAAAGUGGGGACGGGGUGCUCUUGAUUACAAUAAAUAAUACUCCUAAGGGCAUCAGUGAUGGAUGCACCCUUUCGCAAAGACCUUCCAACCACUUGCCGCCUCAAUAUCUCACACGGUUUGGCCACCACCGGAUUGGGGGCACAACCACGACACACAACACAACCAACAUUGUGAAUUGCAUGCAAAAACAAGAAGUGAGGAUUCCAGUGCACAAGAGCAGUGAGAUUGCGUGGCAAUAAGAAAAUUACGAAAAUAAGAUUUUCUCCAUGGUGAGACUGAUUGCUUGGCUGCCACUAACAUGAAAGCUGCCUGUUCUCUCUAAGGUCCUGACGCCUAUGAUUCCUAUAUGGGUAAUAAGUGAAUAUAUUUCAUCACUAUUUCAAACAACUGACAACCGUUUCCAAUUGUGUGAUCAACAAAAUUAGAACCAGUCAAGCU
Molecule: long non-coding RNA, 110431 nt
Filed under: Hordeum vulgare
Lineage: Eukaryota; Viridiplantae; Streptophyta; Magnoliopsida; Poales; Poaceae
Description: long non-coding RNA (HVUL_LNC006304)
Source: RNAcentral